CUGUUAUGUAUCCUUACAUUUUGUCAUCACAGCAACGAAAGGUGAAGCUUUCCAAUUCUGACAAGGCCAACAUUCACCUUGAGUUUGCGAAGCAUGACUCGGAUCUGACUUCUCCAAACUCGCAUGACUCUGCAAGCCACGGUGGGCGUUUGGAUGUGCUUUUAGUUACCACUUUCUCUCUUGGAUUUGCUUACGUAUUGCUCCUUUUGUAUUAGUGGCUCAUGUCCCACCUUGCUUUUGGACUUAUGAGCUUUUUAUAUUUCUGAUUCUUCAAUGUCUAUUGUGUGUGCUCUCCAACCUGUGGUGACUUUUCGGUUUAUUCAUGUGGCUGUUUCUUAUAGGCCUUUCGACCUCCAGUAUUAAAUAAAAGAUCAUUUUGAGCUUUUUAAUUUUAAUUAUUUUUUAUUUAUAUCUCUUCUAAUAUUAAUAAUAAAUAAUAAAAUAUAUAAAUAAAUAAAUGAUUAUAUACAAUUAAUCUUUUAGGAUGAUAAUUAUUUUAAGAUAGAAAAAUAAUAUAUAUUUAUAUAUUGUUAUGAGAGGUCUUUAGUUAUAUGCAUAAUGCACCCUUGGCCACUUGGGAGUUGGAAUUUCAGUAAUUAUUAUUGUGGUGGGUAAAGCUAUAAACUCGGUUUUGUGUAAGUUCAUUUACUUUCUUGAGGAGUCUAAGGUAGGAAAGAGAAACACCUCUUCCAAUGUAAGAAAGUUUUUUAAAACUGGUAUAUUAGUUUAGUUUCAAUCUAAUGCCUCAAUUUUUUUUUUCUUUUCUCCUUGUAUUUUUUAUUCCUUUUCUUCUUAUCUUUCCUUGUUUGCCCCUUCUCUUCUUUCUCUCUCCUUCUAUCCGCCACCAUAGUGCACCGUCACUUGUAGUUGCUUUGGUGGGACUCUACCACAGAAGAAGCAAGUGGAGCGUUGUUUCCAUUACUUUACGGAAAUUCACUUAAUCACAUUCAAUUGGUUCAUUGAGGAAUGAUUGCGGCGUUGUGUUUUUUCUUUCGUCUUUCUGUGUGAGUCAUUUGAGCGGUGCUGCGAAAGAAGAAAAAACUCCGGCGAGUGCCCACUGGUUGUCUGCGGUGGAGAGAAGGAGUGUUGUGCGGAAGAAAAGAAGAGGGGCAAACAAGGAAAGACAGGAAGAAAGGAAUAAGGAAAGGAGAAAAGGAAAAAAAUUGAACCAUCAGAUCGAUGAAAACUAAACUAAGUGUCAAGGGAAACGAAAAGCAUAAUAGCAUGAGUCAAGUUCAAAAAUUAUACAAAGUUUCACAAAGAAGAUCCAUAUAUGUUUCACAUGCUAGAUUCCUUCGAAUAGAUGGCUAUGGGUGAUAAAUUAUAUAUGAAUUGGAAAAUACAAAAAAUAUGUUGCAACUUGCAAGGGAUGCAUCAGUAACAAUUGUUUAUAAGUAGUACUGCCAUCAGUAUCAACUUUAUCAGCAAAAAAUAAGUUGCAACUUGCAAGGGAUGCACCACCCACUUACAGCUUAAUUAAUUGUCACCGAUAAAAAAAUGUUUGAUACACAUCCAAAAUCCUAUUUAACAUUUAGAUUGAGAAAAAAAUGAAAAAUAUAUAAAAUGAUAAAAUUUAUGAUAUAAUAAAAAAAUAAAAAAGUGUGGAUGCAAUAUUUAAAAUAAAAAAUAAUUUAUAAAUUAUUACUCAUGGAAAACGAGAACUCAAUAAAACUCGCACCAUGUACUUGUGAAUCCCACCAAUCACGAUACAUAGCCAUUAAUAUAAGCCUAAAAGGAAACAUCCAAUUACAAGUUGAAUGUUAAUAUAUGCACAGCCACUUACUGCAUACAAGAAGAUGCAAUAGUAACAAGGACGAUUCCAACUUCUCUACUCGCGUAAUAGCUUUGUAGCUUCCCAUGCAUGUGACCCACUAGUUCUAAUCCUAACUGAUACAAUUACAGGUAGGAAUAUUCACGAGUUGGUAAGAAUCAAAUCAAAUUUAAGGUAAAAUUAAAUUUACAUUAGUUAUAUUUGAUUAGAUUGAUUUGAUUUAAAUUUUGAUUUUUUUAUCAUUUAAAUUAAUUAAAAAGGGAUUAGUUUAGUUGAGUCAAUCAACUAUAAUAAAAAAUUAAAUUGUAAUAUUUUUAACGAUUUUUUAUGUUUAUUGUCUAUUUGAUAUAAAUAUUUAAUUUUAUAUUAACGCAAGAUAAGCAUAUUUUUGUUUUCAAUAACAUACUAUUUAUAUUUUAUUUAAAAUAUUUAAUCAGCAUGUUUGCGGACUACCCACAUAAGCCACUUAAUCUGAAAUCACUUUACACUUACACAAAAAUAAUGAAUCAAAGAUAAAUAGAGAACUAAGGCUAAACCUAAUCGGAAAAAUCUGAUAGUUGCCAAACACAAACCCUUACCCUUCCCUAGACCUGCCCUGGUCAUGCCACCGCCCCUUUUACAGGCAACUUAUGCUUCCUCCGACCACCAUCGUGCCCCUUUUACAGUUCUUCGUCUUGUUUGUAGGAAAAUAUUGGCGAAGAUAUGCUUCCUCCGACCUGCCCUGUGUGUGAUGACUGCUACUUGUGUUUCUUGUACGUCUAUUCCAGCGAUACCAACAUGCAUGGUUGUUGCUAGUUUGUACGUACAAAAUUUAUGCAUUAAUUAUGUUAUAAAAUUUUAGAUUUUUAGUUAUACGAUAAGUAUUUACGAUUGCCAAUUGUGAGGCAAUCAUUCAAUACAUUAAAAUAGAGCCUUGUGCUUGUAGAUGUAGGCUUAUGAGGUAAAAAUAUGCCCACCUGGGAUAUCCUAAAUGUUUUACGGCAAAAUCAAGAUCUAGAUGUUAUUUGAUGAUCACAUAAAGGUGCAACAGUUUCACAACAUAUCAUGCUUCAAUUCACUGGCUUCAUUCAAUUUGGCAAUCAAUUUUGUGCCCAUCUACUCGUUUCAUCACCAAAGAAGACCCCUAUACCUUAUUUUAUUUAUUUAGGUUACCUAAAAGAAAAUUUCUUUGAAAAGACAUGCAACAACAUCACAACAGAGAAGGUUACAUAAAAUAAGAUGAAAUUAAAUAAAAUUUUAUAAAAUGUAUUGUAUCCCCUUUUUUUUUUUAAAAAAAAAGAUCUUUGAGCUUUUCUUUACUUUAAUAUUGCAUUGGAUGUAAUAGAUCAGACUUUUCUAAUAAAAUGAUAAAUCGUAUAAUUUUAUUUAUAAAAUAAAUUUGUCCAUAUUUUUAAAAAUUGAAUUAUUUUUAUACAUUUCCUUUAAAGUAUCUAUUUCAUUUUGUAAUUCAUGUCAUUAAAGUGUUUGUAUCAAAUUGAUUUGGUAACAUUUUCUUUAAUUAGUUACUCAGUUAAGAUAUUUAUAUUAUUAUUCAAAUUUAUUCAAUAAAUAUUAUAUAUAAUAAUAUAUGUAUAAAUCACAAUUAAAAUAACUUUCUAUCACAUAAAUUAAUUUAAAAAGUUUUCAUAAUUUAAAUUUCAAAUUCUAUUUUUAUAUUUUAAUUAUAUUUAUAUAAAAAAUAAAAUAAUGAGUAAAAUACGUAACAUCCCCUUAAUUUUUGCAAAAUUAUAAAUCUUUUGUAUUUUUUAACAUUUUCACUUUUUUUAGCAACCUCCUUGAUCUAUAGGUUAACAUGGUGUAAUAUCCAAACAAUUAAAGAGAUUUAGUUGAUGAAUAUGGAGUGUUGGUAAUAUUUUUAAAAUAAUUAACACAAUUAGUAUAGGAGUUUAAAAAAAGGAAGAGUGAGCGUAAUUUCACGAAACUUCCGGAUGAUAAGUGUAAUGUACUCGGAAAAAUUAAUCUUCUACCAGUUAAAUAAAACUAUUUUUUUUAUCAUGUAUCUUUUUAAAUUGUAUAUGUGUAAAUAAAAUAUAUGUCACUGUUGAUACUAUCUUACACUUUUUAAUUAUGUUAAAAUAUAAUUUACUAUGCAAGACUGACUUGAUUUUAAAUCAUAUGUCAGACUUAGAAUAAGAGUUCGGACUUAUCUCGUGUAAAUCAUCUUAUUAUCUUUUACGUUUGUUUAGAGAUCAUCUGUCUUUUAUCUUAUUCAGAAUAAUGUAGUUCAUAAUUGAGCAUAUUUAUUUAAAAAUCGAAAGGCUGUAUUAUUGUAUUUUAUUCUAGUAUUUUAACAAGUAUAGAAAAAAUAAUUAAUUGAGCAUAUCGAUCCGUUGAAACUUAAAACCUUUUUACCCGCAUGAAUAUGAUUACAUGAGCCCUAUACAAUAUUGUAAAGUCAUUUACCUUGAGUAGCCAUUGCCGGCCACUUUUUUUACCAGCCAAAGAAUUUUAAUUUGAGAAUGAUUACAAAGUACGUACCCAAUCCUUUUACCAAGUGCAGUCUAGUACCCAAAUAUUUUUCCAGACUUCCACUACUAGAAAAAAUAUAUAUUUUAAAUUGACGGUUAAAACUAAAUUGUCUUAAAAUAUUAAAUAUAACAUGAUAAUAUUUUUGUAAUUAAGACAAGAAAAUUGUUUUUAAUGACAUGUAUUUUAAGACAAUUAUCAUGAGCCGUCUUAGAAUCUGAUUGGGUAACAUUGUUAUAAUUAGAGAGUAUGAAAAUGACGACGAUCAUUAACACAAAAUCAUCUUAAUUUUUUAUUCCUGAAUCUGAAAUCCUAGCUUCAAUUCUCCCAUCUAACUAUCACAGUGUUGUCCCUCCCUCGAACUCUCCCUCUUUAGCUCACCCAGUCUCGAUUGUGCCCUCGAACUCUCCACUAUCCCUCUCUCGAAGUCUCCCUCUAUAGCACACCCACUCUCAAUUGCGUACAUUAUUAACUCUUGCACUGUCCUUCACCCACUGUCCUUCGAGACGUCCCUCUCUCUGGUUGUGUACUCAGCGGCAGUAGAAAGUUUGUCUCCGUGGUGUGGCCCCCCCGUACGUUGUGCGGCCAUCCUCACACAGGUAAAAACCUUAUCUUCUUUGUCACUAUUUUAUUUAUUGAAAGUGAAAUGGACUUCCCCUUAUUCUUGAAAGAACAAUCUGGGAGGGAGGGGGGAGUAGAUAUCUCACAAAAAAUGGAGGUUAAUUUUAUGGAAUACUUUGUUUGAGAUUUUUUUUAUUAAGUUGUAAUAAGAAAUUUAUAUGUUUUUGUUUUGGAAUAGAGUUACCUGGAGUUCUUUGGGUGCUGCUAUAUCAUCCUUUUAGCACUAUUUCAUUUAAUAUUGUUCAACGCAUCAACUAGAAUUUGCUGAGGAUUAUGAACCUGAGCCUAGCUUUGUCUGCAUCUUUUGCCAAGGCAGCCAUCCCCAAAAUUGAGCAAUAUUUGUAUAAACGUUCUUCAUAAUCGUCACCUUAUAGCUCAACUUAGAUGACAACAUUGUCUGGGUUGUCGUUUGAACUCAAUGGAGAUGGAGUUUUCUUUACCAUUUCUAAUAAUUAUGACUCACAUUUGUUUUCUAUGUUUUUUUUUGUCAUAUUUGAUUGGCCAUCUGCAUAUGACUUUAUGCCAUUUUCACACUCUUAGCAGUUAUCACCCACUCUUGGUGAAAGCCUAGAUGAGUCUGAUAUCAUGUCAAGAUAGGAGAAAUGAUUAUUUUGGAAGCAUUAGAAGCAGAUUGGUACAGCCUCUGAUCUAGUCUUGUUCCUUCUGCCUUCAUGUCUUGUAAGAGUUUCACCAACUUCAGAGAACACAGCAACCAUGAUAUCUGCCAUGGCCCUUUAAUUAAGCCCCCCAUUCAUCCUAUGGUCAUUGAAAAGCUUGACACAGGUUUCAAACUAAGCUGGUUUAGUAUAAGCAGCAAUUAUGGUAGUAUAUAUAACUCACCUUAUUCGCUGCUACCCUUGUUGUCUUCAUUUAAUUGUACAGCUUCUGAAUUUACCUUCAAAUUCUUAAGAAGCUUCUGCAAAACGAAGCAUGCAACUUCAGAAUGCUACUUUCCUCCUCUACAGAAAAUGUUUGUAUUUUGAGAUCAGCUCUAACAUAGUUUUAAACUAGGGAACAACAAUUUCAUGAAAACCAUUUUCAGAAUGCUAGUGUUCAUUUCAAUUUGUACUUUGAAAUAGUGAACACCAUAAUUGUGUCGUACUUGAUCAUUUACCUCACCAACAACCAAGGCCUCUCACAAGCUAAGGUUGCUCUGCACAUUAAGGCCCUUCUCAGAUUAAUUUCUAUCAUGGCUCUUCCUGUCUUCCACCUCUUUCUUCAAUCAUCAACACCUCUUUCUUAGAUUAAUUUUAGCCUUUUUCUUUGUUGUUUUUCAGUUUGGUUUGUUGGUGAUUUUGAUUUUUGUCCCUUUGCACUUUCAGAUAUAUAGCUCCGGAGCAGCUUCCGGUGAAGUACGGUGGACUAAGCAAAGAUGGGGAGCUCGAAAAUACCGAUGCUGUCACAGAAAUCAUAGUGAGGCCGGCAGCAAAACAUACAGUGGAAUUUUCAGUUACUGAGGUGGGUUUUCCAUUACUUUUUUGUCGGAGUAAAUUGGUUUAUGAGAAUCCAAAGAAUGCGCAGCAUGGGAAUGGGGAAUCUUUGAUAGGAUUCCUUUCUUCUCAAUAUUAUCUAAUUAAUUCAUUUUUUGCAUAUUUCUCAUAUUUCAUGCCACAAAUUGUGCUAGCCUGAAGAAAAAUUCAGGAGCAAACACACUCAUAUUAGUAAAUUAAGAAUAAAUUAAAUAAAUACAUAAAGGGUAUACUCCAAUUGAAAAAAAAAAGGGAAAAUACUCCAAUACAAAGCAAGUUUCUUUGGUUAGCUAUCUUUUGCCGUUGGGAGGUUGUAAUAUUUAAAUUUUAUUUCAUGUAAUUCUCAUUUCUCAAUAUUAAUGCUAAGAGCCAAAUUUCUUCUGUGUGUUUAGCAAACCAAUAAAACGUGUGGACCACUUUGAAACAGGUUUAGGUAGGUUGUACAAAAGAUAAAGUAACCUUGAAUAUUAAAUUUGUCAGAUAACUACCUAAUGAUGUUGAUUUUGACAUUAAUGUCCAUUGAUGUAUAGGGUUACAUACUUAUGCUCUACAUCUUUUAUUUAUUAUUAGAAUCUGUUAUUGGACUUAACUCUGCAAAUUAAAGCCACAUGUAGCAAUUAAAUCCUAUACUGUACCUUAUUAUUACAAUUGAUGAAUAGAUAGAGAUCGACUUCAUGUUUGGCCUGAUUCUAAGUCUUAACUUCCCUUGAAAUCUCAUAUUGGUUAAUGUUUGGAUGGCUACCACAGUCCAGAGCUACCAUAUGGAUGGCUAUGCAUUCUUUGUUGUUGGGUGAGAUUUUAGUUUUAAAAUUUCAAUUUACCAUUUUUGUUUUUAUCAAUGUUACACUAAACUUAAGAGUGAAUGAAUUUCUCGUUUGAACUGUAGCAUGGAUUUUGGAGUAUGGGCAGAAAAUAGCCGAAGUACUUAUAAUAAGUGGGAUGGUAUGGCUCGCUGCACUACACAGGUAUGUCUUACUUCCUUGGCCACAGCAUAAUCUGUUACUCCAUCCAUUUGCAUAGGAAAUUAUGAGGCAGUUAUGCUGGAAUGAACCAUUUUCAUACAUAACAAGAAAGGGGACAUACGAUUAGGAAUGGAGGUUGUUUCACAGAUUCAACCAAGAAAUGCUUCAAUUCUGUUUGCUACUCUAAAAUUUAUAGUUUUCCUUUUGAUUUGACCACAUUACUUUGUCUUUUCAGCUUCUCAUGGAUCUGGAAUCAUUAAUAAGAAUUCCCUUUUAAACCCCAUGAAUAUUUAAAAUGUCUCUUGACAACGCCGGUAUUUGGAACCUUCGUCCAGAGAACCUCAACUCGUGGUAUCUGGGCCAAGAAGUUUUUGUGCAUGUUGUAAACCCAGAGAAAGACAACAAUGUGGUUGUGUAAAUUGCUGACAAAUUUCAGGUGAUGCCACUCUUGAUUUCUCAUAAGCACACUCUUAAAUCUUGCACCACAUUUUGCAGCAGGUUUAAUAUUAAUUGGGUGCAGUCCAGGAGGUAUGAAAUUUAAUUUUGUGGUUCUUAGUUUUCUUAUAAUUCUAUCCAUCAUAUUCAAAAUGGUCGAUCUUUGUUUGGUUGCAGGCACAGCUAGUAAUAUUAUAACAUAUCUUUCACGGUAUAUUCUCAGUUAUAUAUAAUUCCAAUUAAUUAAUGCUUUACUUUGUUUGAUCAUAUCGAUGACCAGGUGAUCUAAUGACCCUUUUGUUUUGCUAGUGGAGAUGUGGCGCUAUCUGUAAUAAUGACAACUGCAAGUACCCUAACUGCCAUGGUUGGUAUAGCUAUAAUUUGAGUCUUAAUCUUUGGUUUCCAUUUUUUACGAGCAAUUAAUUAAUCCAUGACAAGAUGUGGGUAGGCAUUAGUACAAUGAUACAAUCAAUUAGUAAUGGUUUCAGUUCCAUGCAUCUGCCCACGUUUGUACUUGGGCAGACAAAUUAAUUUUCUCCAUCGCAGCCCUUUUGGCCCUCCCUCUCUGGUUUUGAAGACUAGCAUAAGACAUGUCUUGUUUGAUUUAUUACAAACAGUGCAGAGUGUAUUAAUGAUUCUUACUUUAAUUAUAUUCUUUUGUCUCUAAAAGUAAAAAUAUGAAAAUCUUUUAGUAUUGGUUCUUAAUUAUAAAAACUUUAUUCGUUUUUAAUUUUUGAAAACUACAAAAGUGCUUUACAUAUUCUUCCAUAAUGACUUCACAAGCAUUCUCUAAACUUUGACUGCAGUCAUGAGGUUUAAGAUAUUCUUCCACAAUAGGAUUGAAUUUUCGAAUUAAAUUCUUAAUAUCACAACUAAUCAGGUUUCAGGUGAAUAAUAUUUUUUUUCUACAGCCCAAGUAACUGGUUGGUCUGUUGUUGUUUAAGGUUGUUCCUGUGUAUCAACACAUGGAAUCUAUCUUCAAUAAAAAAUGAAAUCUUCACACAUGGUGAAUCCUGUGUACUUAAAUUUCAAUUUGGGUUUGGCAACUUAAUCAUGAAAAUGUGCCAACUACUUGUCUCUGACCAUGCUUUUCAUGCAAAACUAUUCAUAUGUCAAUCUGUUUUGAAUGACUAAUACUUGGUAGAAAAGCUAUCUUGAAUCCUAACGACAUUUAUUUUCUUUCAGGUUACAGACAAAAGGUGCUUUAAUUUAUUCCCAGAAGUUGGUCGAUGUACAUAAUAGAGUUGGUCAUGCAGGGGGAGUACGUGGUCUCAUCAUUGUUUGACAUCUUCAGUUGUUUUCCUAAUGUGAGUCCUCCUUGCUUAAUAUGUACUCAUUCAUAAAAUAUUAAUUUAUUUAUAUAAUGCUUAAUUAUAUAAUAAAAAAAUUACAUGUACUUAUCAUAAGUAGUUGAGAAUAAUAAUUUUUAUUCUUUCACCUAUGAUUAAGGUUUUCGUUAAUUUCAUAUUAUAUAAUUAUGUCUUAUACUGAAUUAAUUUUCUAAUUGAGUUGUUUAAUAAAAUAAUAUUAAAUUAUCUUCGUAAUCAUUAUUUAUCAUUUAUUUAUUAUUAUGUUGCUUAAUAAUAUAAUAUUAAAUUAACUAAAACCAUCAUAUAUAGUAAAAAAAUUAUAUGUACUUAUGAUAAUUAGUAAACAAUUCAAAGUCGCAUAAUUUUUAAAUUUUCAGGUUAUAUUACGGUUUUAUUAAUUUAAUAUUAUAUAAUUUUUAAAUUUUCAGCUUAUACAUUAUUUAUAUAUAUUAAAUAUUAUAUACAUAAUUUUCAGCAAAAAUAUUAAUUUAAUAUUAUUAUAUAAUUUUUAAAUUUUCAGGUUAUACAUUAUUUUUUAAUUUUAAAUAGAAUAUAAUUUAAUAUUAUAUACAUAAUUUUCAGCUUAUUAUGUAAUUUAAUAUUAUUAUAUCAUUUUAUAAUUAUCAGCUUAUACAUAAUUGUUAAUAAUAACUAAUUAUAUUUAGAAGUUAUUCUUUAUAUUUAUUUAUAUUAAUAUUCUUACAUAUAAAUAUAAUAUUAUUAAAUGAUAAUUUAAACUAUUUAAUAAUAAUUAUCUAUAUUUUCUAAUAAUAAUAUUGUAAUUAUUAUUAGAAAAUAUAAAUAAUGAUUAUUAAAUAUAAAUAAUUAAUUUAAAUUAUUUUUAAUUAUAUUUAUAUAUAAAAAAAAUUAUACAGAAAUCUACGUCGAUGCUUACCUGGUGCACUGACGUUAAAGGAUGCACUUUCAUGUCAUUUGGAGUGAAGCAACGACGUUAAAGGAUUGGCUUUUUAAGUUGUUUGUUUCCCUGAAAUGACGUUGAUGUGUGCUGUUUUUAAGUCGUUUUGAUGUUCAGAAACGACGUUGAUGCAUGCCGUUUUCAGGUCGUUUGUUUUCCAGAAACGACGUUGAUGCACGCAUCUUUUACGUCGUUGCAUCGUCGGAACGACUUAGAAACUACAUGUUUCUACGACGUUGUUGGGUAAAGGAUCGAUGUAGACAUUUAUUUUCUCCACAUCGUUGCUGCGUAACCAACGACUUGUUUUGGGACUUCAUUCAAAACGGCGGCCAUCGUUGAAGGUUCCAGCGUAAACAACGACGUCAACUUUAAAGAUGGACUUCCACCGUCUUUGAAGUGCUUAUUCCACCAUCGUUAAACGCAGUUUUUCCAGUAGUGUCUUCAUUGACUAUUCUUUGGGAAUCUACAACCCCACCACCUUUGUCUACAAACCCCUAAUUGAAAAGAGAGUAUAAUAAACACAAAAAGCUUGUGGGGAAAAUUAAAAGAGAGGGAGGGAGAGGGAGAGAGAAGAGAAAAAAUAAAAUUAAAAUAAUAUUUUUAAGAUAGACACCAAAGUUUACGCUCAUCCCCAGACAGAUUAUCAACAAAUGAAUGAAAAGUAUAAUAGUAUAUUUAUGAAUCACAAUUAAAAUAAUAUUUUAUUAAUUAAUUAAUUUUAAAACUCUCACAAAGAAAGAUAUGUUAAAUCGAACUAAGAGGCUUUGCCACUUUUAUUGAUUUAUAUUAUACUAUUUUAUGUACUCCUGUUAUUUUUUAUCUUGUUGUAAAAACUGAAAAAAAAACAUAAAAAUAAUAAGAUAAAAACAACAAUAGUAUGAAAAAUAAUAUAAUAUAGAUCAAUAAAAAAAUAUAUGUUAUUUUAAUUAUAUCUAUAUCAAGAUUAUUAGACUUGAGAGUACUUGUAAUAAAAAUUUAUAAGAGUUAAUUUCAUAUAAAAAUAAUAUAUAUACAUAUAACAUACCAAUUAAAUAUUUUAAUGAUAAAAUAAAAUAGUAAAACAUAAAUUUUAAAAUAUUAUAAUAAUUAAGUCUAAUAAUAUAUUACUACUGGAUAAUAACUUGAUGAUGUUAUAGUAAUGAUACAUCAUACUCAUCUUGAAUUUGAUAUUAUUAGAAAACAUUAAAGAUGUAUUAAACACUAAACAAACAUAAAAUAAUCCAAAUAAUUAGUUGUUAUUAAGAAUCAUUAUCAAUGAAAAAUAUGAAUGUUAUCUUUUAUCUUCGUGGCUUUAAUGGUAGUUUUAUGCAGUUUUAGAAUAACCUAACUUUUAACCCUCUUAGGAUUGAAAAAUAGUAAUAUACAGAGGACAUGAGGCUUAACUUGCGAACAAUAUAUAUUUAAAUGCAAUCAAGUACAAUCAGCAUUUGUGGUAUAAAUCUAGUUGGAAUCAUGUCUGUUUUCAUCAUGCAGUGGCAUGCCUUUAGGCCUUCUAAUAAAAUGGUAAAUAUUAUUUUAUCCGUAUAUAAUACAUUCGUUGUUGGAGGAAGACAUAUUUUUACCAUAAUUUCUUAAAAAAGAAUAAAUCACUCAAUAAAGUGUUUCCUCCCAAGUCGUAAGAAUCAAGCUCUAGAUACGCUAGGAAAUGUUUUGUAAAAUGAAAUAUAUAAAUAGGAAGAACUUGUAAAAAAAAAAUAGAGAUAAACAAUGAAGAAAAUAACCAUUAAUUAAAAUUCAUGAAAUGAGAAUAUCUAAGUAUAAAAUUACAACUAAUCUGAACCAAUCUGCUAAACAACCUAAUCUUCUAUCAUUUUCAUUUGAUAUUUAAAUUAUUAACUGCUCAAACAAAACUCAUAAAAGAUAAAAUCUGCAACAAUAAAAGAACUCUAUCUAAAACUUAUUCAAAAUUCAAGUACAAGGCAAGUAAGGCAACUCUAUCUAAACUCUAUCACGCCACUGCUGACCCCGACCCUAUCACGUGCAUGCAUAUGAACUAUUAUUUACAAGUUGUCGCCACUCCCCAAGAACGAGAGCAAGUGCCAAAUGACUCCAAGCCCUAAACCGCAGCCAGCAACCCAGAACCAGUCCCCCAUGCCACUAGUUGUAUGUGCAGAUUACAAAAAGAGACAUCACAGAACAAAUGGAUGAAAAGUAAGGCAACUCUAUCACGCCACUACUGACCCCGACCCUAUCACGUGCAUGCAUAUGAACUAUUAUCUACAAGUUGUCGCCACUCCCCAAGAACGAGAGCAAGUUGCCAAAUGACUCCAAGCCCUAAACCGCAGCCAGCAACCCAGAACCAGUCCCCCAUGCCACUAGUUGUAUGUGCAGAUUACAAAAAGAGACAUCACAGAACAAAUGGAUGAAAAGUAAGGCAACUCUAUCACGCCACUACUGACCCCGACCCUAUCACGUGCAUGCAUAUGAACUAUUAUCUACAAGUUGUCGCCACUCCCCAAGAACGAGAGCAAGUGCCAAAUGACUCCAAGCCCUAAACCGCAGCCAGCAACCCAAAACCAGUCCCCCAUGCCACUAGCUGUAUAUACAGAUUACAAAAAGAGACACCACGUACAGAACAAAUGGAUGAAAAGUAUAAUAGUAUAUUUAUGAAUCACGAUUAAAACAAAUUUCUAACAAUUAAUUGAUUUUAAAAGCUUUCAUAGUUUUAAUUUCCAAAUGCUAUUAGUUUUAUUAUAAUAGUUUAUUUAUACUUGUAUUAUAUUACAAAUAUAAUAAUGAAUAAAUUACGGUUAAUAUACCUCCUGAAUAUAUUUUUUAAAAAUACAAAAACUUUCUCUAUUUUUUUAUAUAAAAAAUCAAGGUUGCCAAGCCAUUGUUCAAAGCAAGGGUGAUCCAAUAGUAGGCGAGAACUAAAAUAAAUUUUAUUUUAUUUUAUUAAAUGAAAAAUAAUAUGUUGUAUUUUUUAAAUAAAUAUGGUCUUUUUAUUUUAUAAUAGCUAAUAAUUUUUUUUAUAGAACUAAAAUUUAAAUUUUAGUUGUUUUAUUGUUGUUUUCACUCUCAUUCAAAGGAGUAAAAGAAUGAACUUGUCCCCGAUAACCACCCCACACAGCGUAGUAAAUUUUCUACAUCAAAAUUAUCUAUGUAAAAUUCCAGCAGCAGCUGGAAAAGACUCCGAUUUCUUUAUUUCCAGUACACCAAAACACUCUCCAUGCGUGAAGUGAAACUAGAUGGUAUUUGCUGAAAGUGAUCCCGUGGAGAUUUUGGCAGAUCAGAGAGGGUAUUCAGACAAACUAUAGAAGCCACCGAUGAAUCAGUGAGUAGAAUAUGCUUCUUGUUUGAAGAUAAUUAACUAUCCUAUGACACUCAAGGACUUGAGAGUCUAAAUUCAAAAAUGAAAUCUUUUAUUUACUCAUAACAUUUAAUGUUAUUUAUAAAAUUUAAUGUUAUUUAUCAUUUAAGAAUGAGACAUUUUAUUUAUUCAUAUAAUUUAUAAUAAGUUUUAAAAGAUAUAUUAGUACUAAAAAAAUUAAGAUUAUUUUUUUGAAACCUUAAAGUCCUUACUUGGGGCUGCUUGGACUUAAGCCCGGCCUUAUUAUCCCUAGUGGGCAACUUGUUAAUGUCCUUAUUAUCCCUAGUGGGUAACUUGUUAAUGAUGAAUUGAAGACCCUUCAAAUCGUGUGUGCUACCUUAAGUAGGCGUGGAAUAUCAAUUGUUUCCACACUAGGGACAAAACUUCAUCAAACUCAUGAACUUACUCAGUCCCUUCCAGUUUGGAAUUCGCAAUAACGACCCUCAGUCAUCUUCCUCAAUAUAUUACUCCUCAGCUCUUAUAUUUAGACGCACACAAUCAUGCAGCUCUAGGGAAUCAAGAAAAUUAUUAUACCCUUUAAGAUGAAACCGUACCUACGUGCAAUAUUCCUAGUAUUCCUUAUCCUUCUCGACCAAUCAUCCAUUUCGGCGAGUGCUUCUUUUAAUUUUAAUGGAUUGCGAAACAUUGCAAAGUUGCCCUCUGUCGAGAAACUUUUGAAGUUGGGAGAGCCAGCGAAAAAGACGACAGAUAUUGCCAAUGAAAUUUUAAAGAAACUGUUUGAGUAUUAUAAGGACGAUUUACCACUAAAGUCCCCUCCCCCACCGCCAAUGUACCGUUUACAACCAAAGUCCGAUCUCCCAGCGCCAAACGCACCACCGAAGCAAAUCAAUAUUACAGGCCUGUACAUCGUCAAAGAUUACUUAUCUGACUACGGCUACAUUGAAUCCUCUGGGCCAUUUAACGAUUCUUUCGAUCAGGAAAUAAUAUCAGCCAUUAAGACCUACCAGAAUUUUUCCAAUCUUCAAGUUACCGGCGGCCUGAACAAAGAGCUUAUUCAGCAAAUGUUGUCCAUACGAUGCGGUGUCCCCGACGUUAACUUCGACUACAACUUCACCGACGACAACAUUUCCUAUCCCAAAGCCGGACACCGCUGGUUCCCAAACAGAAACCUCACAUACGGUUUUCUUCCCGAAAACCAAAUCCCAGACAACAUGACUAAGGUGUUCAGAGAUUCCUUCGCGAGGUGGGCCCAAGCCUCGGGGACUUUGAGUCUCACGGAGACAACCUACGACAUCGCCGACAUCCAGGUAGGGUUCUACAACUUCACUGCCUUGGGCAUUGAAGUGGAGGUGUAUGGUGGCAGCCUUAUAUUUUUGCAACCGGAUUCUAGUAAGAAAGGGGUGGUACUUAUGGACGGUAACAUCGGCUGGUUACUUCCAAGUGAAAACGCCACACUGUCUAAAGAUGAUAGAGUUUUGGACUUGGAGACUGUGGCGAUGCACCAGAUAGGGCAUCUACUUGGACUUGAACACUCUCCCAAAGAGGACUCUGUUAUGUAUCCUUACAUUUUGUCAUCACAGCAACGAAAGGUGAAGCUUUCCAAUUCUGACAAGGCCAACAUUCACCUUGAGUUUGCGAAGCAUGACUCGGAUCUGACUUCUCCAAACUCGCAUGACUCUGCAAGCCACGGUGGGCGUUUGGAUGUGCUUUUAGUUACCACUUUCUCUCUUGGAUUUGCUUACGUAUUGCUCCUUUUGUAUUAGUGGCUCAUGUCCCACCUUGCUUUUGGACUUAUGAGCUUUUUAUAUUUCUGAUUCUUCAAUGUCUAUUGUGUGUGCUCUCCAACCUGUGGUGACUUUUCGGUUUAUUCAUGUGGCUGUUUCUUAUAGGCCUUUCGACCUCCAGUAUUAAAUAAAAGAUCAUUUUGAGCUUUUUAAUUUUAAUUAUUUUUUAUUUAUAUCUCUUCUAAUAUUAAUAAUAAAUAAUAAAAUAUAUAAAUAAAUAAAUGAUUAUAUACAAUUAAUCUUUUAGGAUGAUAAUUAUUUUAAGAUAGAAAAAUAAUAUAUAUUUAUAUAUUGUUAUGAGAGGUCUUUAGUUAUAUGCAUAAUGCACCCUUGGCCACUUGGGAGUUGGAAUUUCAGUAAUUAUUAUUGUGGUGGGUAAAGCUAUAAACUCGGUUUUGUGUAAGUUCAUUUACUUUCUUGAGGAGUCUAAGGUAGGAAAGAGAAACACCUCUUCCAAUGUAAGAAAGUUUUUUAAAACUGGUAUAUUAGUUUAGUUUCAAUCUAAUGCCUCAAUUUUUUUUUUCUUUUCUCCUUGUAUUUUUUAUUCCUUUUCUUCUUAUCUUUCCUUGUUUGCCCCUUCUCUUCUUUCUCUCUCCUUCUAUCCGCCACCAUAGUGCACCGUCACUUGUAGUUGCUUUGGUGGGACUCUACCACAGAAGAAGCAAGUGGAGCGUUGUUUCCAUUACUUUACGGAAAUUCACUUAAUCACAUUCAAUUGGUUCAUUGAGGAAUGAUUGCGGCGUUGUGUUUUUUCUUUCGUCUUUCUGUGUGAGUCAUUUGAGCGGUGCUGCGAAAGAAGAAAAAACUCCGGCGAGUGCCCACUGGUUGUCUGCGGUGGAGAGAAGGAGUGUUGUGCGGAAGAAAAGAAGAGGGGCAAACAAGGAAAGACAGGAAGAAAGGAAUAAGGAAAGGAGAAAAGGAAAAAAAUUGAACCAUCAGAUCGAUGAAAACUAAACUAAGUGUCAAGGGAAACGAAAAGCAUAAUAGCAUGAGUCAAGUUCAAAAAUUAUACAAAGUUUCACAAAGAAGAUCCAUAUAUGUUUCACAUGCUAGAUUCCUUCGAAUAGAUGGCUAUGGGUGAUAAAUUAUAUAUGAAUUGCAAAAUACAAAAAAUAUGUUGCAACUUGCAAGGGAUGCAUCAGUAACAAUUGUUUAUAAGUAGUACUGCCAUCAGUAUCAACUUUAUCAGUAAAAAAAUAAGUUGCAACUUGCAAGGGAUGCACCACCCACUUACAGCUUAAUUAAUUGUCACCGAUAAAAAAAAUGUUUGAUACACAUCCAAAAUCCCUUUAACAUUUAGAUUGAGAAAAAAAUGAAAAAUAUAUAAAAUGAUAAAAUUUACGAUAUAAUAAAAAAAUAAAAAAGUGUGGAUGCAAUAUUUAAAAUAAAAAAAUAAUUUAUAUAUUAUUACUCAUGGAAAACGAGAACUCAAGAAAACCUCGAACCAUGUACUUGUGAAUCCCACCAAUCCCGAUACAUAGCCAUUAAUAUAAGCCUAAAAGGAAACAUCCAAUUACAAGUUGAAUGUUAAUAUAUGCACAGCCACUUACUGCAUACAAGAAGAUGCAAUAGUAACAAGGACGAUUCCAACUUCUCUAUAUAUUCGCGUAAUAGCUUUGUAGCUUCCCAUGCAUGUGACCCACUAGUUCUAAUCCUAACUGAUACAAUUACACGUAGGAAUAUUCACGAGUUGGUAAGAAUCAAAUCAAAUUUAAGGUAAAAUUAAAUUUACAUUAGUUAUAUUUGAUUAGAUUGAUUUGAUUUAAAUUUUGAUUUUUUUAUCAUUCAAAUUAAUUAAAAAGGGAUUAGUUUAGUUGAGUCAAUCAACUAUAAUUAAAAAUUAAAUUGUAAUAUUUUUAAAGAUUUUUUAUGUUUAUUGUCUAUUUGAUAUAAAUAUUUAAUUUUAUAUUAACGCAAGGUAAGCAUAUUUUUGUUUUCAAUAACAUACUAUUUAUAUUUUCUUUUAAAAUAUUUAAUCAGCAUGUUUGCGGACUACCCACAUAAGCCACUUAAUCUGAAAUCACUUUAAUUUACACUUACACAAAAAUAAUGAAUCAAAGAUAAAUAGAGAACUAAGGCUAAACCUAAUCGGAAAAAUCUGAUUGUUGCCAAACACAAACCCUUACCCUUCCCUAGAUCUGCCCUGGUCAUGCCACCGCCCCUUUUACAGACAACUUAUGCUUCCUCCGACAACCAUCAUGCCCCUUUUACACUUCUUCGUCUUGUUUGUAGGAAAAUAUUGGCGAAGAUAUGCUUCCUCCGACCUGCCCUGUGUGUGAUGACUGCUACUUGUGUUUCUUGUACGACUAUUCCAGCGAUAUCAACAUGCAUGGUUGUUGCUAGUUUGUACGUACAAAAUUUAUGCAUUAAUUAUGUUAUAAAAUUUUAGAUUUUUAGUUAUACGAUAAGUAUUUACGAUUGCCAAUUGUGAGGCAAUCAUUCAAUACAUUAAAAUAGAGCCUUGUGCUUGUAGAUGUAGGCUUAUGAGGUAAAAAUAUGCCCACCUGGGAUAUCCUAAAUGUUUUACGGCAAAAUCAAGAUCUAGAUGUUAUUUGAUGAUCACAUAAAGGUGCAACAGUUUCACAACAUAUCAUGCUUCAAUUCACUGGCUUCAUUCAAUUUGGCAAUCAAUUUUGUGCCCAUCUACUCGUUUCAUCACCAAAGAAGACCCCUAUACCUUAUUUUAUUUAUUUAGGUUACCUAAAAGAAAAUUUCUUUGAAAAGACAUGCAACAACAUCACAACAGAGAAGGUUACAUAAAAUAAGAUGAAAUUAAAUAAAAUUUUAUAAAAUGUAUUGUAUCCCCUUUUUUUUUUUAAAAAAAAAGAUCUUUGAGCUUUUCUUUACUUUAAUAUUGCAUUGGAUGUAAUAGAUCAGACUUUUCUAAUAAAAUGAUAAAUCGUAUAAUUUUAUUUAUAAAAUAAAUUUGUCCAUAUUUUUAAAAAUUGAAUUAUUUUUAUACAUUUCCUUUAAAGUAUCUAUUUCAUUUUGUAAUUCAUGUCAUUAAAGUGUUUGUAUCAAAUUGAUUUGGUAACAUUUUCUUUAAUUAGUUACUCAGUUAAGAUAUUUAUAUUAUUAUUCAAAUUUAUUCAAUAAAUAUUAUAUAUAAUAAUAUAUGUAUAAAUCACAAUUAAAAUAACUUUCUAUCACAUAAAUUAAUUUAAAAAGUUUUCAUAAUUUAAAUUUCAAAUUCUAUUUUUAUAUUUUAAUUAUAUUUAUAUAAAAAAUAAAAUAAUGAGUAAAAUACGUAACAUCCCCUUAAUUUUUGCAAAAUUAUAAAUCUUUUGUAUUUUUUAACAUUUUCACUUUUUUUAGCAACCUCCUUGAUCUAUAGGUUAACAUGGUGUAAUAUCCAAACAAUUAAAGAGAUUUAGUUGAUGAAUAUGGAGUGUUGGUAAUAUUUUUAAAAUAAUUAACACAAUUAGUAUAGGAGUUUAAAAAAAGGAAGAGUGAGCGUAAUUUCACGAAACUUCCGGAUGAUAAGUGUAAUGUACUCGGAAAAAUUAAUCUUCUACCAGUUAAAUAAAACUAUUUUUUUUAUCAUGUAUCUUUUUAAAUUGUAUAUGUGUAAAUAAAAUAUAUGUCACUGUUGAUACUAUCUUACACUUUUUAAUUAUGUUAAAAUAUAAUUUACUAUGCAAGACUGACUUGAUUUUAAAUCAUAUGUCAGACUUAGAAUAAGAGUUCGGACUUAUCUCGUGUAAAUCAUCUUAUUAUCUUUUACGUUUGUUUAGAGAUCAUCUGUCUUUUAUCUUAUUCAGAAUAAUGUAGUUCAUAAUUGAGCAUAUUUAUUUAAAAAUCGAAAGGCUGUAUUAUUGUAUUUUAUUCUAGUAUUUUAACAAGUAUAGAAAAAAUAAUUAAUUGAGCAUAUCGAUCCGUUGAAACUUAAAACCUUUUUACCCGCAUGAAUAUGAUUACAUGAGCCCUAUACAAUAUUGUAAAGUCAUUUACCUUGAGUAGCCAUUGCCGGCCACUUUUUUUACCAGCCAAAGAAUUUUAAUUUGAGAAUGAUUACAAAGUACGUACCCAAUCCUUUUACCAAGUGCAGUCUAGUACCCAAAUAUUUUUCCAGACUUCCACUACUAGAAAAAAUAUAUAUUUUAAAUUGACGGUUAAAACUAAAUUGUCUUAAAAUAUUAAAUAUAACAUGAUAAUAUUUUUGUAAUUAAGACAAGAAAAUUGUUUUUAAUGACAUGUAUUUUAAGACAAUUAUCAUGAGCCGUCUUAGAAUCUGAUUGGGUAACAUUGUUAUAAUUAGAGAGUAUGAAAAUGACGACGAUCAUUAACACAAAAUCAUCUUAAUUUUUUAUUCCUGAAUCUGAAAUCCUAGCUUCAAUUCUCCCAUCUAACUAUCACAGUGUUGUCCCUCCCUCGAACUCUCCCUCUUUAGCUCACCCAGUCUCGAUUGUGCCCUCGAACUCUCCACUAUCCCUCUCUCGAAGUCUCCCUCUAUAGCACACCCACUCUCAAUUGCGUACAUUAUUAACUCUUGCACUGUCCUUCACCCACUGUCCUUCGAGACGUCCCUCUCUCUGGUUGUGUACUCAGCGGCAGUAGAAAGUUUGUCUCCGUGGUGUGGCCCCCCCGUACGUUGUGCGGCCAUCCUCACACAGGUAAAAACCUUAUCUUCUUUGUCACUAUUUUAUUUAUUGAAAGUGAAAUGGACUUCCCCUUAUUCUUGAAAGAACAAUCUGGGAGGGAGGGGGGAGUAGAUAUCUCACAAAAAAUGGAGGUUAAUUUUAUGGAAUACUUUGUUUGAGAUUUUUUUUAUUAAGUUGUAAUAAGAAAUUUAUAUGUUUUUGUUUUGGAAUAGAGUUACCUGGAGUUCUUUGGGUGCUGCUAUAUCAUCCUUUUAGCACUAUUUCAUUUAAUAUUGUUCAACGCAUCAACUAGAAUUUGCUGAGGAUUAUGAACCUGAGCCUAGCUUUGUCUGCAUCUUUUGCCAAGGCAGCCAUCCCCAAAAUUGAGCAAUAUUUGUAUAAACGUUCUUCAUAAUCGUCACCUUAUAGCUCAACUUAGAUGACAACAUUGUCUGGGUUGUCGUUUGAACUCAAUGGAGAUGGAGUUUUCUUUACCAUUUCUAAUAAUUAUGACUCACAUUUGUUUUCUAUGUUUUUUUUUGUCAUAUUUGAUUGGCCAUCUGAAUAUGACUUUAUGCCAUUUUCACACUCUUAGCAGUUAUCACCCACUCUUGGUGAAAGCCUAGAUGAGUCUGAUAUCAUGUCAAGAUAGGAGAAAUGAUUAUUUUCCUCGUUUAUAUUCACAAGUGUUUGUACAUUCUUGACAAGUAAAAUGUGAGUAAAAAAAUGAAAUCAUAAAUUGUAAUAAAUCCUAUAAUUAUAAUUACAGUAACUAUGAAAGAAAAAAUCUGUCAUAUCCAAGCACUUGGGAAACCCACCCUUAAAACUUAGCUGCUAAUUAAGUAGGGAAAGCCAAGCCACUUAAAUACUGCACUGAACAUCCCAUAAUACCUUGAGAGCCUUAUAUAAAAAAGUAAAAGUAGGUUUCUUUAUAGGAUUUAUUACAAUUUAUGAUGCAAUAAGAAUUUUCUUCAUUAUCUAAUGAACUAAGGUGAGUGGUGACUAUCACAUAUUCUACUUUGAGAGCCUUAUAUAAAAUUUAGCUAUUAACAACGAAGAAUUGACCACUAGUAUGAAAGCAUUGUCGUGUCACUCUUUUUCAAAUAAUGCCUACCCAAACAAAAAAACACACUCUCUUCCAAUAGGAUUCUUUUUAUUUAAUACAAUAUAUACAGAAUUUUAAAAUUAUUUAAAUGUAGGAAACAAUAACAUUAACAACAAGAUAGGAUAUCUUAAAGAAAAAAGCUGAUAGGUUGAAAUAUCAACUCAUAUCAUGACCCAAUCCACACUCAGACUGUACCGCCAUACGCGUAGUUAAUAAUGUAAUUUACACCUCACUCUUAUGUCGUCAGCUAUUUGCCUCAGCUUAUACGUCAUCAACACUCUUUCCAUUUUAAGUGUUUCAUUUUUACUUUUAAUUUCCCUAACGAUUUGUUUGACGGAAAAGAAAGUAGAAAAAAGAAGAAGAAGAAAGAAAACAUAACUUAUCAAAUAUUUUUUUAUUGAAAAGAAAAUAUAAGAAUAAAUUAAAUGCCAAAGAACCAAAAGAAAACAAUUUAUCAAAUAUUUUUUUUAUUGAAAAGAAAACAUAACUUGUCAAAUAUAAACGAUGAAAAUAUUUUUUUUUAAACUUAAUAUUCCUAAAAGUAAAAUAAAAAAAUACAAAGAACCAAAAGUAAUAUAUAUCCGGAGGCCUAAAUGCCAAAAACAAUCACACAACUAAAACGAAAAGGCACCGUAUGGAUGGGGCAACACAUUCAACAAUUAAUGAUACUCCAAAUUAAAUGAGUAAAUUUAUAAAUGUACAAUCCAUUUUUGUGUGGAUUAGGCGAGGGAAUUAAGAGAGAUGUGAUAUCAUAAGAAAUAUAGAUAUUAAAAAAAUAUAAGAUGAAAGAGUAUGAGUUCUAAGUAGGAUGUAUGUUUAUAAUAAUAAAAUCCAUAACAUCCAAGCUUGAGUGAAACAUAAGACUUAGACUUGGUGUAUAUUUGAAUUAAAGUUGACGAUUUUAAUAUUAUAGUAGUUUUAUUGUAUAAGUUCAAGAAGGACUUUGGUCUUGCUUUUUUGGAAAUUUGAUUUCGAAUAUAAGUGUGUAAACAUACUCUUAAAGAUAACUAAAUAUAUCAUGUGAAAUAAAAAUGAGUUUAUGCUCCAAACCGAGUUUGAAACACCAAAAUAAAAUCCAAACAUGUUGAUAUCGAUGUUCUUAAUAAUCUAAUGCAAAAGAAGCAAAUCCAAGACACAAAAUGAUAACUAAAAGCAUUCCCCAAAUCCCACCAUGGCCAAAGUUGCCAUUAGUAUAAUGUGGCAGCAUGUUGUGCUUAUUAUAAGGGUACUGUUGAGGUAAGUGACGUUGUACUAGAAAUUCAUGUCGAGGACAACACAUCGUGGUAGGACCUACAGAUGGGGUGACAACACAUCUUUAGCAGGACAAUUAAAGAACAGUCGAUGAAGAAAAAUUGAAUAAAAAACAAAAAAGAAUCACCAAUUCGAAACAAAUAGUAUAGCACUGCACUACUAACUGACCCCAUCAACCGCAAGUGGCAAAUGACUCCAAGCCCAAAACGCAGCGAGCAAAACAAAACCACCAGUCCCCCACUAGCUAUAUAUGCAAGUUUACAAAAAGAGACAACAGAUCAUCAACAAAUGGAUGAAAAGUAUAAUAGUAUAUUUAUGAAUCACGAUUAAAAUAUAUUUCUAUUAAUUAAUUAAUUUUAAAACUUUCAUAAAGAAAGAUAUGUUAUUUUAAUUAAUUUGUAUCAAGAUUAUUAAAAUCAAGAGUACUUGUGAUAAAAUUUCAUAACAGUCCAUUUAAUAUAAAAAUAAUAUAUAUUUAUAUAUAUAUAUAUAUAUAGUAUAAUAUUUUAACAAUAUAAUAAAGUAAAAUAAUAAAUUUUAAAUUUUAAAAUACUAAAAUAAUAAAUCAUAAAUUUUAAAAUGAUAACUUACUAAUGUUAUAAUAGUAAUAGAUCAUUCUCAUCUUGAAUUUGAUAUUAUUAAAAAAUAAUAAAAAUAUAUUAAACACUAAACAAACAUAAAAUAAUCUAAAUGAUUUAUUGUUGUUAUUAUGAAUAAUUAUCAAUAAAAAAUAAAAAAUAUGAAUGUUAUAUUUUAUCUUCUUAGCUUUAAUGGUAGUUUUAUGCAGUUUUAGAAUAACCUAAUUAACUUUUAACCCUCUUACAAUUGAAAAUAUGAUUCUUAUUUCCUAAUUUGGCCCAGCUAUGUGAACAUCCCUUGGCAGUCCAGUCCUACUGGGUGUUAUCUUUGUAUUUAAAGAUCAUUGUUGUUAUAAACUAUUAUCGAUGAAAAAUAUGAUUGUUAUCUUUUAUCUUCUUUUUAGCUUUAAUGGUAGUUUUAGAGUAACCUAAUUUUUAAGGCUCUAACAAUUGAGAAAUAGCAAUAUAUAGAGGAAGAAGAGGGUUAACUUGCAAACAAUAUCACUUGCAUUCAAUUCCACGAGCUUCCUCUCCAUCUAUCCGUCGUCGAAUGCAGUUUUUCUCUUCCAAGAGGGAGGCGGCAAAAGCCUUAAUAAAAUAUUUUAUUCUAAUCUGAUAAUUGAGAUGGAUCAUUUAUCUUAUACAAAAAUAUGAGAAUGAGAAUAAUCAAAUAUCAAAUAUCAAAUUUAUCACUGUUUUAUGGUUGAUUUUGUCACAACUAUCAUCCUAAUUACAAAAAUGAUCAUCUCAACUUUCAAUGUAGAUUAAAUUUUUAAAAUAUUUAAUUUUUUUGUUUUGUAUAUAAAUUUUAUAAUCAAAGAAAUUUUAAUUUGAAUUUAAAAUAUUUUCAUUUUAAUUCAACGAUGAGAAUGAUCUUUCUCACGUGAGAGAAUCAUCUCAUAUAAAAUAUUUUAUAUAUAUAUGGAGCUUAAAUUUAUUAUAUGUAUCUAAUAAACUAUUAUUUUUGUUUUUUAGGUCUUUAAAUAUUUUUUUUAUAUUUGAUCAAUUAUAUACUAAAGUUUUUGUUUUCAAUUUCUCUCUAUUGUUGAAAAGGUGUCACGUAAAAAAAAUGAUAUAUAUUAAUCCGAUGGAACUAAUAAAGUAUUAAGAAGCUAAAAUAAAAAUGUAUUAUUUUAAAGAUUAUUUAAAAGAAAGAAUAAAGCUCAAACCAUGAAUAUGAUGUUUUACGAAUUAACAAUACUAAUUAAGAAAAAGAAGCUAUAAUUGCCGGAUUGUGCCCGCAAUGAUUGUGAUAGUAUAUUGAUAUAUUUUGGUGAAAAGGUAAAGAAUAAGCAGUUGUGGGUUGUGAGUUGAUUUAGUUUGCGUUGGUGAGGCAAAUUUCUCCAUUUGGGAUACUUUUAAAAAGUAUUUCCCCAGAUGGGGUUCUUUUGCUUUUAUUUUUGGCAGGGGGCACUUUUUUACGUGAACAGUGUGUCAUGCAGGACCCAAACCGUCAUUGGCAAUGGCGAGUUUGGUGUCACUGAGCAAGUCGCUUAUGGCACUGGCGAUAUGUGCCUAAACCGCCAUUAGAGCUGGCGAUUUGUACAAGCCAUAGGGAACCGCCAGUCAAACUGGCGAGUUCCAUGGUCUGACGCUGCAGCUACGCCUUUUCCAGUUGCAAGGUUGCAGGAGGUGACAGAGGUUGCAGGAGCUUUAAAGGGGAGUUGCAACUGCCAUUGGCGAGUUGCCUGGAAGUUGCAACUCCCAUUGGCGAUUUAGGGCACAAAAAAUAGCCAUCACCGGUGGCGAUUUUAUGCUUAUAAAUACGUUUCAACUGUAUGUUUUCUGAAUGCACAAGGAGUAACAGAAAUAGCUUAGACGAAGGAGUAACAGAAAUAGCUUAGACGAAGAAAGGCUUUGAGUUUUCUGAAUGCACAAAGGAGUUUUGAGUUUUUUGAGUGUUUAGGGUAUAGUUUUUGAGUUUUCUGAGUGCUUAAAUUUAUGUCAGUGCAGGCUUUGAGUUUUGAGUUUUAGAAUGUAUAGUUUUUAGUAAUUCUUUAAUUAAAUUAGUUUUAUAUUUUUAUUUCGUAAUGUCCUGUAAAAUAAUUUGUAUUAUUAUGUUUUUAAAGUAAUUUUUUGUAGCAGUUUCAAUGUAUAGUUUUUAUGAAAUUUUUAAUUAAAUUAGUUUUAUAUUUUAUAUGAUUGUUUCUGUGUAAAAAUAGAAGAAAUUUGUCAUCAUAUUUUUAAUUGGUUUGAAAUUUGGUUCUUGAGGGUUAAAUUUGUGAAUGAGGUUCCUAAAUUUUUUAGACUAGUUUGAAUUUAUAGUUGUUAAUAAUUUUUUAAUUAAAUUAGUUUUAUAUUUUAUAUCCUUUUUUAUGUGUAUCAAAUAAAAGAAAUAUGUCAUGAUAUUUAUUUAAAGAAAAAUUUUUAGUCAUGAAAAUUUUUUGUAAAUAUGAAAUUUUUAGUAUAUUUUUAAUUAGAUUAGGUUGGUGUUGAUAGUUUGUUAAAAAUAACAUGUUCUUAUAUAUAUUAAAAAAAAUUGUAAUUGAUAAUACGUUCCUUUUUUGGAAGUCAAAAUAAUACGUUCCUUUUUCGAAAUUAAUAAUUUGUGUUAUAAUUUUAUGUAAGUAAUUAUUUAUAACAGUUUGAAUGUAUAGUUUUUAUUAAUUUUAUAAUUAAAUUAGAUUUAUAGUUUAUUUUGUAGUUUCCCGUAAAAUAAUUUAUAUGAUAAUUUUUUUAAGUAAUCUUUAAUUAGAAGUAGAUUUUUGCUUUAAAGUAAUUUUUUUUAAGUAAUUUUUUUAUUUAUUAGUUUGCAGUAAAAUAAUUUGUAUCAUAAUUUUCUUGUAGUUAUUUUUAAUUAAAACUAGAUUUCAGCUUGAAGAAUUUUUUUUUAAGUAAUUUUUUUUUAUUUCUUAGUUUCUAGUAAAAUAAUUUGUAUUUGUAUUAUAAUUUUUUAAAGUAAUUUUUAAUUAAAACUAGAUUUCAGCUUUCAAGUUAUUUUUUGUAAGUAAUUUUUUUUAUUUGUUAGUUUCCAGUAAAAUAAUUUGUAUGUUAAUUUUUUUAAGUAAUUUUUAAUUAAAAGUGAAUUUAAGCUUUCAAGUAAUUUUUUUAUUUCUUAGUUUCCAGUAAAAUAAUUUGUAUGAUAAUUUGUUUGAAGUAAAUGUUUAAAUAAAAGUAGAUUUCAGCUUUAAGGUAAAUUUUUUGAAGAUUUUUUUUUAUUUCUUAGUUUGCAGUAAAAUAAUUUGUAUCAUAAUUUUUUUAAGUAAUUUUUAAUUAAAACUACAUUUGAGUUUUCAAGUAAUUUUUUUUAUUUGUUAGUUUGCAGUAAAAUAAUUUGUAUUAUAAGUUUUUUAUGUAAUUUUUAAUUAAAAUUAGAUUUCAAGAAGUAAAUUUUUUUAAGUAAUUUUUUUUAUUUGUUAGUUUGCAGUAAAAUAAUUUGUAUUAUAAAUUUUUUAAGUAAUUUUUAAUUAAAACUAGAUUUCAACUUUGAAGUAAAUUUAUUUAAGUAAUUUUUUUAUUUCUUAGUUUGGAGUAAAAUAAUUUGUAUUAUCAUUUUUUUAUUUCUUACAUUUUACUAUUUUGAAUUUGUUAUGAAUAAUUAAUUAAAAUAUUGUUUUUGUAGGUACAUGAUGAAUUCAGUUAUAACAGUAUUGUAUUUCAAUGGAAGGGUAUAUGAAGAUAAUGAUGAUGUAAUAUUUGAAGGCAGCAAAAAAGCGAUUCAGAUUAAACGUGGAAUUAGUUUCAAUGCUUUGAAGAAAAAAAUUGGAGACAAGGUAAAGUUAGAAAAUAAUGAAAUUAUUUCUGCUAUCAGUUGUAGAUUUUUAGUGUUAGGAAAAUAUAUUGCCUUGCAAAUUUGCGAUGAUGAAGACGUUGAAACGAUGCUGGAAAGUUUUAAACAACAACAAGAAAUGUCAGUUCUAGAAUUGUACAUAGAAAAGGAUGUGGCUGGUGGUUCAAUGUUUCAUUCUGCAAACUCCCUUACAUCAUGUGGAAUUAUGUAUCUAAUNNNNNNNNNNNNNNNNNNNNNNNNNNNNNNNNNNNNNNNNNNNNNNNNNNNNNNNNNNNNNNNNNNNNNNNNNNNNNNNNNNNNNNNNNNNNNNNNNNNNNNNNNNNNNNNNNNNNNNNNNNNNNNNNNNNNNNNNNNNNNNNNNNNNNNNNNNNNNNNNNNNNNNNNNNNNNNNNNNNNNNNNNNNNNNNNNNNNNNNNNNNNNNNNNNNNNNNNNNNNNNNNNNNNNNNNNNNNNNNNNNNNNNNNNNNNNNNNNNNNNNNNNNNNNNNNNNNNNNNNNNNNNNNNNNNNNNNNNNNNNNNNNNNNNNNNNNNNNNNNNNNNNNNNNNNNNNNNNNNNNNNNNNNNNNNNNNNNNNNNNNNNNNNNNNNNNNNNNNNNNNNNNNNNNNNNNNNNNNNNNNNNNNNNNNNNNNNNNNNNNNNNNNNNNNNNNNNNNNNNNNNNNNNNNNNNNNNNNNNNNNNNNNNNNNNNNNNNNNNNNNNNNNNNNNNNNNNNNNNNNNNNNNNNNNNNNNNNNNNNNNNNNNNNNNNNNNNNNNNNNNNNNNNNNNNNNNNNNNNNNNNNNNNNNNNNNNNNNNNNNNNNNNNNNNNNNNNNNNNNNNNNNNNNNNNNNNNNNNNNNNNNNNNNNNNNNNNNNNNNNNNNNNNNNNNNNNNNNNNNNNNNNNNNNNNNNNNNNNNNNNNNNNNNNNNNNNNNNNNNNNNNNNNNNNNNNNNNNNNNNNNNNNNNNNNNNNNNNNNNNNNNNNNNNNNNNNNNNNNNNNNNNNNNNNNNNNNNNNNNNNNNNNNNNNNNNNNNUUAUUGACAGGCAUGAUCAGAGAAGAUCCAUCGAUAAAAUUUCAUUGAUUCAAGAGAGGAUUAACAGUCAAUUUGCGUACAAGGUGUCGUACAAAAAAGCUUGGUUGCCGAAACAGAAAGCCAUUGCUAUUGAAUAUGGUGAUUGGGAUGAGUCAUAUGCGAAACUUUCGUCGUGGCUAACACACAUGCAAAAUCAUUCUCCUGGAUCGUAUUUUCAAAUACUACAUGACGAUUUUAUCGUUGGAAAUACGGUUAGUCGCGAACACCGCCAAUUUCAUAGAGUUUUCUGGACUUUUGGCCAAUGUAAAGAGGCUUUCAAGUACUGUAAGCCAAUCAUACAAGUUGACGGCACACAUUUGUACGGCAAAUACCGUGGGACCCUCUUAAUGGCCACAUCACAAGAUGGAAAUGGUGGCGUCCUUCCUCUAGCAUUCGCGGUGGUUGAAGGUGAGACGUUGACAGCGUGGUCAUGGUUUUUGGCACACUUGCGUGAACACUUCACUGAUAAAAAUGUUAUUUGUCUCAUAUCUGAUCGACACGCGAGUAUAAAGUCCGCUGUCGCUAACGAAGCACUUGGUUGGCAACCUCCCCACGGUUAUCAUGUCUACUGUGUGCGACACAUAGCAAGCAACUUCAAUCGAAAAUUCAAUAAUGCCAAACAAAAAGAAAUGUUGAAGAAAUUGGGUAAGAUUUCAUAUUUGAUGGUCACGUUUAUUUUACUUUCAUUUAUACUUAAAAUUGUUAUUCAUAACUAAUUUUAUGCAGCCUACACUCCAUGCAAGCACAUUUUUUAUCAAAAUUUAGAAAAAUUUCGUGAACUGAGUCCAGCCAUAGCAACAUGGAUUGAUCGCAUCUCAAAGGAAAAAUGGACGAUGGCUUACGAUAGAGAAGGACGUCGAUAUGGCCACAUGACAACGAACCUCUCAGAAUGUAUCAAUAAGGUUUUAAAGGAUUGUCGCAACAUUCCCAUAACAACAUUGGUGAAAUCAACGUACAGUAGGUGUCGAAAGUACUUUGUUGAGCGUGGCCGCCAAGCCCAAAGACAGUUAAAUGAAGGCCAAGUAUAUUGUUCAAAGCUUGUUAAAGAACUGAGGAAAAAUCAAGAACAAGCUUGUACGCACAUCGUUCGCGUGUAUGAUAUCCACUCCACAAGGUUUGAAGUAGAGGAGAGCUUCAACCCUAUAACGCAACGUGGCGGACAAAAGUGGGCAGUAAACUUGAAUGAUCGUCAUUGUCAAUGCGGAAGGUAUUCUGCGCUUCACUAUCCAUGUUCACACAUUAUUGCAGCUUGUGGUUACGUGAGCAUGAACUACUACCAAUAUAUAGAUGUUGUUUAUACAAACGAGCACAUCUUAAAAGCUUACUCCGCACAAUGGUGGCCUCUUGGGAAUGAAGCGGCUAUUCCUCCUUCUGAUGACGCAUGGACACUUAUCCCCAACCCAACUACAAUUCGUGCGAAAGGUCGGCCAAAAUCAACAAGGAUAAGAAAUGAGAUGGAUUGGGUCGAACCAUCUGAGCACCGAACAAAAUGUAGUAGAUGUGGAGCUGAAGGGCAUAACAGGCGUCGCUGUCCAAUGCAAUCUGAGCGUGGGAGUUGUUCAAAUCGUUGAUUUAUGUAUGUUAGUUGAGUGACUUGUAUUUGUUUACGUUUUGUUCAAUGUAUUGAAUUUCUGGGGUUCAAUGAAUUCGGUACUUAAAAACAUUUUGCCUUUUGUACAUGACUUAUUUGUGGGGUUCAAUGAAUUCGUUAGUUAAAACCAUAAACAUAAACCGUAAACCUAAACCACUAACCUCUAACCCUAAACCCAAACCCCUAACCUCUAACCCUAAACCCCAAUUUUUGAUUACUACCAUUACUAACCCAUAACCCCUAACCCUAACUCAUAACCCUAACCCUAACUCAUAAAACUAACCCAUAACCCCUAAACCUAACUAGUAAACCCUAAGUAGUAAACAUAACUCAUAAUCCCUAAACAUAACACAUAAACCCUAACCCAAACUCAUAGCCCUAACCAUAACUCAUAAAACUAACCCAUAACCCCUAAACCUAACUAGUAAACCCUAAGUAGUAAACAUAACUCAAACCCUAAACAUAACACAUNNNNNNNNNNNNNNNNNNNNNNNNNNNNNNNNNNNNNNNNNNNNNNNNNNNNNNNNNNNNNNNNNNNNNNNNNNNNNNNNNNNNNNNNNNNNNNNNNNNNUAACUCAUAAACUCUAACCCUAACUAGUAAACCCUAAAAUUAACUCAUAAACCUAACCAUAACUUAUAAACCUAAGUAAUAAACCCUAAACUUAACUCAUAAGCCUAACCCUAACCUAUAACCCCAACCCUAACUCAUAAGACAACCCCAUAAUCCUAAAACCUAACUCAUAAACACUAAGUCAUAAACCUAACUAAUCCUACAAAUAACUUAUAAACCCUAACCCAAACUGAUAACCCUAACCCUAACUCAAAACCUUAAACCUAACCCUAAACCCUAACACCAACUAAUAACCAUGGCCCUACCUCAUAACCCUAACUCUACCUCAUAACCCCUAAGUCCUAAAACUAACUCAUAAACCCUAACCCUAACUUUAUAUUUGUCAACUUUAAUUUUGCUAUAUGACUAUAUUUAUUAUUGUAGUUUGAUGCGCGACAUAAAAGUAGUCAUUAUGGUGUCCGUGAUGGUGAUUCAAUAACAAAUGGUGAUAAAAAACACAAAUUCCAUAACAAGUACAAUGAGAUACCAUAAAUUAAGUUUGAAAUUCAAAUUACAGACAUACAAAACAAAUUUGAAAUAGAGACAUCAAAAUCAGUCAUCAUGGGGUCCGUGAUGGCGCGAGGAUGUGCCACAUGGUCGAUCCCACCUUCGGGCUUGACGAUCCGGAUUUCUUCUUGCGCGCUGUCUCCGCCCUUGNNNNNNNNNNNNNNNNNNNNNNNNNNNNNNNNNNNNNNNNNNNNNNNNNNNNNNNNNNNNNNNNNNNNNNNNNNNNNNNNNNNNNNNNNNNNNNNNNNNNNNNNNNNNNNNNNNCAUUGGGGCAUCAUGUUGCUGCGAAGGGGUCAUGGUCGGCCAUGAAAAAUGAGGUUGUGUUUCCGCAACACCACCAAACGAAUGUUCGCUUGCAGACAUAUCAGUGCCAUGGCCUUCGAAAGGAUACUGAUACAUCUGCGAAGGAUACUGAGCAAAUGUUGGUGGCGUGUAAUACAUUCCAUGGCCACGCUGCUCCAUAUUUUGGGAAAAAUCUUCCGCUUGAACAAUCUCCCUUCGUCUGUCAAAACCUCGAGUUUCAACACUUGACUGAAGCAUGUGAAACUGUUGUGGGGGAAAUCGACGCUCUGAUGCUGGACCAUGUGCCACAGGCUCAGUGAUCCUCUCUUGCUCUUGGGAUAAAAUCGCUAACUUUUCCACGUAUGGCACGAGAUCAUCAACUGUCCAUGUGUUUCGCCCUUGUGGUGACACCAUAUACUGCAAUGUCUCGGUAACUUCACCCUGCAAUUAUUAGGGUAUGGAAAUUAAUGUCGAUGCUUUAAAAAGUUAAUUGAAGUUAAAUAAUUAAAAAAGAAAUAAAUACCAAUGUAGCCGUGUUUGCAUUGUUUGGGUCGAUAAACAUUUUUGUUUUGCUCCUAUACCACACCAUGUAAUCCGAGUUAAAACUCAAUAGGCCCUCUUGUCGAGCAUAAACGUCGACCCUAAACUCAGCUCGAUUAUUCCACUGACUGAUAAAUGGGGCCAACAGCUGGAACCAAUUUUCAUCCAUUUUGCCUUUCAGUGUUAGCCCGUGGACAUUCCAUGGUUGCGAAGGAGACUCCGGAAUAGGUUGUUGCAUUCCAAAUUGUCGCAACACUCUAUCCGGUUGGUGCCACUUUACAACAUGGAAACAAAUGAGUGGCACCACUGCGCACCACGCCAUACUGCCAAACCAAACAAAUGGGAGGCAAGAUCGACAUAAACAGUUGCUGUGUAAGGCUCCCACAGAAACUGCAUACAAUAACACAACUGUAAUUUUAUCUUAAACCAUGACAUUUUAUUUAUUAUUUAACAAAUACAUGAUGAUCUUCUUACCUCAUGUCGUUUCAUGAUAUCCAAUUUGCGACGGAAAACUAUUAGAUCAUCAUUGCCAAUAUGUUGGUUUCCACGUCGCAGCCACCUACAAAAAAAUAUGAAAUAAUUAGUGCCGAUGCAUUACAUUAUUAAUUAUUUUCAAAUGAAUUUUUUUAAAAAAAAAGUAACCUGUGUCCGAGUGGUUUGUUUUCCAUUAUAGGAGGAGUUCUCUUUGGAGCCAAAGUCGUGCAGCGUUCCCAUGCCCACAUUUGGAUUAAGAUGCACAUACCUCCGAUUGAUUUUAUUUUGUAAUCGGUGGCGCUGCACAUCUCUCUGUAUAAAUAAGCAAGCACGACAGGUCCCCAUGCAUACGUGCUGCACUGUUCAAAGUUCCGUAAAAAUUGUAGAUACCUUAGGGAAACUUUACUUCUACUUUUGUCAACAAAUAGAACUCCUCCUAUGAAUCUGAGGAUCCAUGCACGGGAAAACCUUUGUAAUUGUUCUACACUACCGUCAUGGAUAUUAAUUUCUGAAAAAUGGUGAGCCAGCCAACUUAAUUUGACCACACCGCCUUGAAGUUCACCUUCCUGUGGUCUGACUCCCAAUAAUUCUUCACACAAUUCAGCCCAAUCAAGAUUAGUCUGACCAAUUAAUGGUGCCCCUUUAGUAUGAAGACCUAACAAGACUGAUACAUCUUGAAGAGUAAUCGUAGCCUCUCCGCAUCUCAAGUGAAACGUGUGUGUCUCGGGCCUCCAUCUUUCAAUCAAGGUUGUAAUUAAUGAAGAAUUAAUUUUCAGGUACCCCAUUUUCAUUAUCCAAUAGAAUCUUGAUUGGCGAAGCAGAGAAAUAAUUUUCUCUGGUAUUUCUUCUUGUCCUUGAUACAUGGGUACAGCUCGUCUGAUAUGUAGUUUUCUGUCUACUUCCCCAUUCCAAACAUGUUCGGAAACAUGUUUAGGUUGCAGCCAUAAGACGUCUCCUUCUAUUGGACCAGACUUAAUGUGUAUACUAGAUGAAGAUGAUGACAAAGAUGCCAUUGAUGCUGUAAAGUUAAAUAUAAUACAAAAAAUUGACAACAAAAAUUUUACAUUAAAAAAAUUAACAAAUUUAAUAGGUACACAAAUUUAAAUAAAUGUUCUAAAAUACUCUACAAAUAACAAAAUUGCAAAUUUAAUAGCUACACAAAUUAAAAUAAAUUACCAAAUUAAAAUACAUAGAUUUGUUACACGUACAAAAAUUUAACACAAAAAAACAUAAAAUAUUACCUAAAAUAGUCUACAAAUAAAAAAAUUCAAAAUUACAUACCUACACAAAUUUAAAUAAAUUACCAAAUUCAAAUACAUAACAAAAUUAAAAAUUUAAACACCUACAUCAAUUUUAUACAAAUAAACUUAAAAUACUACCUAAAAUAGUCUACAAAUAAUAAAAUUACAAAUUAAAUAACUACAAAAAUUUAAAUAAAUGACCAAAUUAAAAUACAUAACAAAAUUAAAAAUUUAAACAUGUACAUAAAUUGUAUACAAAUAAACUUAAAAUACUACCUAAAAUAGUCUACAAAUAAAAAAUUUAAAAAUUAAAUAGCUACAAAAAUUUAAAUAAAUGACCAAAUUAAAAUACAUAACAAAAUUAAAAAUUUAAACACAUACAUAAAUUGUACACAAAUAAACUUAAAAUACUACCUAAAAUAGUCUACAAAUAACAAAAUUAAAAAUUAAAUAGCUACAAAUAUUUAAAUAAAUGAUAAAAUUAAAAUACAUAACAAAAUUAAAAAUUUAAACACGUACAUAAAUUGUACACAAAUAAACUUAAAAUACUACCUAAAAUAGUCUACAAAUAACAAAAUUAAAAAUUAAAUAGCUACAAAAAUUUAAAUAAAUGACCAAAUUAAAAUACAUAAUAAAAUUAAAAAUUGUUACACGUACAUAAAUUUUACACAAUAAAACUUAAUUUACUAACUAAAAUACUCUAUACAUAACAAAAUUAAAUAUUAAAAUACGUACAUAAAUUUAAUUAAAUGAUCAUAUUUUUUUUCCAAUUAUUAAAAUUUAAAUUAAAUAACAAAUUUUAUACACAAAAAAAUGGUAUUAAUUCAAAAAAAUUUCAUGGAAUAAAAAAUUUAAAGAACGUAUUUUAAUAUAUAUAUAUAUAUAUAUAUAUAUAUAUAUAUAAUUAAUAAAAUAUCAUAUAUUUCAAUAAAAACUAUAAAUAAGUUAAUUAAAUAAUAUUCACAUUCUAACUGAACCUAAAAUAUCAUAUAUAAAAUACAAAUAAUAUCAUACAAACCUAAUAAAUCUAAACCAAAUAAUAAUAACAUAAUAACUAAAAUUAACCUACAAAAAAUUUUAUCACAAAUAAUAACAUACAAAUUUAAAAAAUCUUAACAAAAUCAUAUUCAUCAAUUCACUACAACUAACGUACAAAUCAUAAUAUACCAACUCAAAUUUGUAACAUAACUAACCUAACAUAUAUCUAUAUAUAUAACGUGUAAAUCAUAAGAACCUAACUUAAAUCAUAAUAUAUCACUACAAUUAAAGAAAAUAAUAAAUAUCAAUUUAACUAUAACUAACCUAACAUAUAUCUAUAUAUAUAACACAACUAAUAACAUAUUAUUUUUAAAACCUAACUUAAAUAAUAUUAACCUACCAACUAGAGUUACCAAGUUAAGAAAGAACCACUUACCAAGUACAGAGAAGUCACGCGCAAUAUGAAGAGGAGAAGAUACAAACCACAGCCCUACAAACAUUAAUAAAAAUGAAGAACGCAGUAAAUAUUUAUAUAUAUAUAUAUAUAUAUAUAUAUAUAUAUAUAUAUAUAUAUAUAUAUAUAUAUAUAUAUAUAUAUAUAGUAAAUAUUUAGCAUUCAAAAAUACUUACCAAAAACAAAAAACAGCAACAAAAUGAAGAACACGGGAGAAACUUAUGAAGAACAAGCAAAGAAGGAAGUGCAGCUGUGCUCUCUCGGAGAUCCAGGUUUUAUAAUGGAAGAAGCAGUAACGAAGGCAACCCGCUAGCCAUGCUGGCGAUCCGUGUGUGUCGCAAAUCGCCAUUACCAUUUGCGAUUUGGCCACUGACGCGCUCUGCUUCACUGCUGCACUGCCAUGGCAGGAACUAGGCUCAGCUAUUGGAACUCGCCAGUUUGACUGGCGGUUCCCUAUGGCAUGUACAAAUCGCUAGCUCCAAUGGCGGUUUAGGCACGUAUCGCCAGUGCCACAAGCGACUUGCUCAGUGACACCAAACUCGCCAUUGCCAAUGGCAGUUUGGGUCCUGCAUGGCACACUGUUCAUGUAAAAAAGUGCCCCCUGCCGGAAAUAAAAGCAAAAGAAUCCCAUCUGGGGAAAUACUUUUUAAAAGUAUCCCAGAUGGGGAAAUUUGCCGCGUUGGUGAUGCCAGCCAAAUUGAUGCGUCAAAGUGACAAAGAAAGAGGGAGUGAUGACGGAUGAUGUUGGAAGUCACGCCAAACUCAGACACAAAUAUUUUAUUUUUUUUAUUUGACUUUUCCUGGUAUCUGAUUUUAUAAUAUUUUUGUGUUAAUAUUUAAUGAUAAUAUUUAAUUUUAAAAAAUAUAAAAAUUAUAUAAUUUUAAAGGAACCAAAACAUGAAAGGGAAGCCAAAUCCCUUUUGUUUGGGCUAAUAAAACCGUUUUCUUUGAGUAUGUGUUAUAGAUAUAAUAAACUGAGACAGCAAUGAUUGAUUUUGGAAAGUAUAACUUGCGGGUGGACCGAGUAUGUGUUAACUUGCUGGUUUUAUAGAGUUAAUAUAAUAUUUAAGAUAUAAUAAAGUAUAAUCAGCAUUUAUGGUAUAAACCUAGUCAGAAUCACUUUUGUUCUCGUCAUGCAGUAGCAUACCUUUAGGCCUUCUAAUAAAAUGGUAAAUAUUAUUUUAUCCGUAUAUAAUACAUUCGUGGUUGGAGGUAGACACAAAUAUUUUAUUUUUUUAUUUGACUUUUCCUGGUAUCUGAUUUUAUAAUAUUUUUGUGUUAAUAUUUAAUAAUAAUAUUUAAUUUUAAAAAAUAUAAAAAUUAUAUAAUUUUAAAGGAACCAAAACAUGAAAGGGAAGCCAAAUCCCUUUUGUUUGGGCUAAUAAAACCGUUUUCUUUGAGUAUGUGUUAUAGACAUAUUUUUCCCAUAAUUUCUUACAAAAAUAAAUCACUCAAUAAGUGUUUGCACCCAAGUACUCAACCUAUUUAUAUUUAGCACUCAAUAAAGAUUUAUCUUUUUUAUCUUCAUCUUUAUCUUUUAUCUUUCUUAUCUUUUAAUUUCCUUAUUUUAUUUUUUAUUUUUUAUCUUCAUCAUUUUUAAUUUAAAUCUUUUAUAUUUUUUAUCUUUUAUUUUUAUCUCUAAAUCUUUUAUCUUUUUUUUUAAAAUCUUCAUCUUAUCUCCAAUCUUUCUUUGUUAGUUAUUUUAAAUUUUUUAUCUCUUAUUAAUAAUUUGAAUUUAUAUUUAUUUAAAUAAAAACAUAAUCUUUAACAUUCAAAUUUCUGAGUAUCAAAUUUGAUCCAUUUUUUAAUGAGUUAACAAUCCACUCAUACAUUAUAAUUAUUCAAUUAUUCCCUUAAAAUUUAGCUAUUAACAACGAAGAAUUGGCUACUAGUAUGAAAGCAUUGUCGUGUCACUCUUUUUCAAAUAAGGCCUACCCAAACAAAAAAACACACUCUCUUCCAAUAGGAUUCUUUUUAUUUAAUAAAAUAUAUACAGAAUUUUAAAAUCAUUUAAAUGUAGGAAACAAUAACAUUAACAUUAACAACAAGACAGGAUAUCUUAAAGAAAAAAGCUGAUAGGUUGAAAUAUGAACUGAUAUCAUGACCCAAUCCACACUCAGACUGUACGGCCGUAGGCGUAGUUAAUAAUGUAAUUUAGACCUCACUCUUAUGCCGUCAGCUAUUUGCCUCAGCUUAUACGUCAUCAACUCUCUUUCCAUUUUAACUGUUUCAUUUUUACUUUUAAUUUCCCUAACGAUUUGUUUGACGGAAAAGAAAGUAGAAAAAAGAAGAAGAAAGAAAACAUAACUUAUCAAAUAUUUUUUUAUUGAAAAGAAAAUAUAAGAAUAAAUUAACUUCUAAAAACAAAAAUUUAAUUUUUUUUGUUUUUUUUUCUAUUUAAAUUUUAAAAUUUUCUUUCCUUCCUUAUUUUCCUCCAAUCUAAUUAAAUAUACCAUAAAAAUAUAAACUCCAAACCACAUAUUGAUAAAGACAAUCCGCAAUCCAGGUUUAAUUUAUUGAUAUCUGGGUCUUAAAAUAAGGGUUAAGAAGUGAAAAAAGAAAAUGAAACUGUUCUUUAAAAUUAUAACAUUAGAUAUAUAGAGAACGUUAAAUAUUAAGUUUUUAAUAAUUUUAAACAAUAAAUAUAAAAUAAUAUAAAAACAUAUAUAAUUACUUGAAGUAUGUUCAUUAUAUAUUUUUUAAAUAAUUUUACUUUUUAUAUUUUAGGAUAAAAUAUGUAUUUAUCUCAUUUUAUCUUAAUUCCUAUUUUUUGAUCCUGCAUAAAAAAAUAUAGCGUUUUAGUCCUUGUAAAUUGUUCUAUUUUGUUUUAGUUCAAACAUAAUGACGUUAAUAUAAUAAAGAUAUAAAGAAAGAAUUUUAGUAAAAUAGUGAAAAUAAAAAUUUAACAAAUUAUAAACUUAAACGUUAUAUGAAAUAACAUUUUACUCAGUCCCUUCUAGCGUGGAAUUCGCAACAACAACCCUCAGUCAUCUUCCUCUAUAUAUUACUCCUCAGCUCUUACAUUUAGACGCACACAAUUAUACAGCUCUAGAGAAUCAAGAAAAUUAUUAUACCCAUUAAGAUGAAACCGUACCUACGUCCAAUAUUCCUAUUAUUCCUUAUCCUUCUCCACCAAUCCAUUUCGGCGAGUGCUUCAAAUAGUAGGUUUAUAGAAUUCUUUUCAAAAUUAAAGAAUUCUUUUAAUCCUAAGUCUGAAGAACUCAAAUCAAAAGAUAUAAAGAAGCUCCCGAGCGUCGAAUAUUUGAAGAAGAUACAUGAGGGAGUUAAGGACUUAUCUCAAGAUUUAUUUAUCCCGAAAAUCCCGUUUCUCAACCCGAAAAACCCGAAACUCCCAAGAAUCCCGCUAUUUAAAUCUCCCCCACCGCCAAUGUACCGUUUACAACUAAAGUCCGAUCCCCCACCGCCAAUGUACCGUUUACAACCAAAGUCCCCUCCCCCACUGCCAAACGCACCACCGAAGCAAAUCAAUAUUAAGGGCCUGUCCGUCGUCAAAGAUUACUUAUCUGACUACGGCUACAUUGAAUCCUCUGGGCCAUUUAACGAUUCUUUCGAUCAGGAAAUAAUAUCAGCCAUUAAGACCUACCAGAAAUUUUCCAAUCUUCAAGUUACCGGCGGCCUGAACAAACAGCUUAUUCAGCAAAUGUUGUCCAUACGAUGCGGUGUCCCCGACGUUAACUUCGACUACAACUUCACCGACGACAACAUUUCCUAUCCCAAAGCCGGACACCGCUGGUUCCCAAACAGAAACCUCACAUACGGUUUUCUUCCCGAAAACCAAAUCCCAGACAACAUGACUAAGGUGUUCAGAGAUUCCUUUGCGAGGUGGGCCCAAGCCUCGGGGACUUUGAGUCUCACGGAGACAACCUACGACAACGCCGACAUCCAGGUAGGGUUCUACAACUUCACUAACUCGAGGAUUGAAGUGUAUGGUGGCAGCCUUAUAUUUUUGCAACCGGAUUCUAGUAAGAAAGGGGUGGUACUUCUGAACGGUAACAUGGGCUGGUUACUUCCAAGUGAAAACGCCACACUGUCUAAAGAUGAUGGAGUUUUGGACUUGGAGACUGCGGCGAUGCACCAGAUAGGGCAUCUACUUGGACUUGAUCACUCUCACAAAGAGGACUCUGUUAUGUAUCCUUACAUAUUGUCCUCACAGCAACGAAAGGUGCAGCUUUCCAAUUCUGACAAGGCCAACAUUCACCUUCAGUUUGCUAAGCAUGAUUAAGAUGUUCUCUGCUGCCAAACUCGCAUGACUCAGCAAGCCACGGUGGGGGUUUGGAUGUGCUUUUAGUUACCACUUUCUCUCUUGGAUUUGCUUACGUAUUGCUCCUUUGGUAUUAGUCGUUCCUGUCCCACCUUGCUUUUGGAAUUAUGUGCUUUUUAUAUUUCUGAUUGUUCAAUGUUUAUUGUAUGUGCUCCCCAACCUGUGGUGACUUUUCGGUUUAUUCUCACGUGGCUGUUUCUUAUAGGCCUUUCGACCUCCAAUAUUAAAUAAAAGAUCAUUUUGAGCUUUCUAAUUUUAAUUAUUUUUUAUUUAUAUCUCUUCUAAUAUUAAUAAUAAAUAAUAAAAUAUAUAAAUAAAUAAAUGAUUAUAUAGAAUUAAUCUUUUAGGAUGAUUAUUAUUUAAAAAUAGAAAAAUAAUAUAUAUUUAUAUAAUGUUAUGAGAGGUCUUUAGUUAUAUGCAUAAUGCACCCUUGGCGACUUGGGAGUUGGGAUUUCAGUAAUUAUUAUUGUGGUGGGUAAAGCUAUAAACUCGGUUUUGUGUAAGUUCCUUUACUUUCUUGAGGAGUCUAAGGUGGGAAAGAGAAAAACCUUUUCCACUGUAAGAAAGUUUUUUAAAACUAGUAUAUUAGUUUAGUUUCAAUCUAAUGGCUCAAUUUUUUUUUCUUUUCUCCUUGUAUUUUUUAUUCCUUUUCUUCUUAUCUUUCCUUGUUUGCCCCUUCAAUUCUCUUCUUUCUCUCCCAUCUAAAUUUGUCACUAAUUAACAAAUUUCUUAUAUUUACAAUCACAUAUAAAUGAUACAUAAAAUACUGAUAUAUAUUGUCAUAUACAAUUCCAAUAUGAACAAGAAGAUAAAUUUUAAAUAAAGAUAUAAUUAUUUUAUUAGCAGUAAUAUCGAGCAUAAUAACACAUAAUGUGAAAUUCUUAAAAAUAUUUAUGUUCGACAGUAUGAAAAAAUAUUAAUGAAAAAUUUAAAGAUAUAAUGGCAAACAAAAGAUACUUUUUCAUGAAAGAAUAUUUUCAACUAGAGAAAAAUAUGAUUUAAAAUACCUAAUAUAAAAAAAUAAUGCUAACAAGUAUUCUUAGAAUAUUAAUUAAAAAACUUAAAAGUAAAAAUAUUUUUAUCGUGAAAUAAAAAAUUGUUAUUCAUAAUCAUAUUUUUAUAUUCUUCUAGAUAAAUAUUUUUUUUCCUUAACCAAUAUUCUUAUAAAAUACUGGUUUGUAAGACCUUAUAGAAAAACAUAUUUUAUUUAUUGUUAUCAAAUUAGAUUGACUCUAUAUAAAACCUUUGGUUGGGUUUUAGGACUUGGUUUUACUAUUCUUUAACUAACCUCCUCUCCCAAAGCAUCCUAUAUAUUUAUUUCUCAACUCUUAUACUUGGACUCAGUUAUUUUUCUCGGAGACCAAGAAAUUAUACCCAUUUCCAUCAAGAUGAGAGCAUACCUUUGUGCAUCCUUAUUCAUUCUCCUUGUCGAUAAAUUAAUCACUUUCGGCUCCUUGUGUCCUUCCUUCAACAAUGGACAAUAAGUUCUCUCCCACACAGACAAACGAACCACCGCCUUUUCUUACUUCGGCUUCCUUCAAUCCUCUGGUCCAUUCAACGAUUAUUUGGACGAGGAAACAAUAACUGCUACCAGCAAUAUUUCAAUCUGGAAGUUACCGACUACCUAAACGACAAGACGUUUCAGCAAAUCUCGCUGCCGCGAUGUGGCGUCCCUGACAUGAAUUUCGACUACGGCUUCACCGGCAACGUGUCAUGGCCGAAAACCAGGAACCGGUGGUUCCCGGAGAGAAACCACCUCACCUACGGUUUUGAUCCGGCAAGCCAUAUCCAACCCAACGUGAAAAAGAUUUUCAGAGAUGCCUUCAAGAGGUGGGCGCAGGCCACCACAGGGGUUUUGAGGCUUACGGAGACAACCUAAGACAAUGUCGACAUCAAGGAAGGGUUCAGAAUAUUCAACAAUAUUUGGGACCAGGUAUUUAGCCUAAGCUUUAUCAUACUGCAACCUGGCUCUAAUGUCACGACAGGGGACAUACGCCUCAAAGGUGCCAUGUUAUGGUUGCUGCCGAGUGAAAACGAGAGCCUGUCGUGGGAGGACGGAGUUUUGGACUUGGAGAGUGCGGCGAUGCAUCUUCUAGGGCUUGACCACUCUAACAAAGAGGGCUCUGUUAUGUACCCUAACGUAUUGCCAUGGCAGCAACGAAAGGUGGAGCUCUCGGUUUCUGAUAUGUAAAACAUUCAGCUUCACUACACUAACGGCAUCUCUAGCCACAGUGGGCGUUGGGGAGUGCUUUUAAUCAAUAUCUUGUCUCUUGGAUUUGCUUACGAGCUUCUUUAAUUUUGUAUUGGUAUUUGGGUUUAUGAGCUUUUGGGAACAAUUUCAUGACUGUUUACUUGAGUAUAAUGCAUGUGUUCCCCAAACAAUCAAACCCAUAUCCGUCAUAUUGUCCAAAAUUAUUUAAUUUUUUAAAUUGGGAUUGGGAUCAAGAAAGGAAAUAUCAUUAUCCCUCUUAUAUUAUAUUCAUUCUGGUAUUCACUCCAAUGAAUUAUUAAAAUUUUAUGAAUUAUUUGUUAGUUUUUUUUUUAUAUAAAUUUUACAUAAUUUAAAAUUAUUUUCUUGAUAAUUUUUGUAAACAGAUAUUCUACAAAUACAAAUAUUUUAAAAUAAAUAUGUAAUAAUUAAUUAUUUUUAAAUCAAAUUUUUAAUAUAAUUUUUUUUUAAAAUUUAAAUUGGGAACGGGACACCCAAUAAAUAAUGAACAAAUUUUAACUCGUUAAUUAUAAGUUAUCGAAUACAAAUACCAGUAUAUAUUAAAAAAUUGAGGUUAGAGAGACUUAGAAGGCAAUAUCCAUCCUAACCCCGCCCGGUCCGGUUACCUUGUCUACCCCCAACCGUGAUUUAUUCAGUUAUUGCAUUAACAAAAGAUUAUCCACUAUUGUAUGAAUUUAAUUAUAGACCAUUAAGCUGGCAUAACUUUUAAGUCUGGUUAAUAUAAGAAAUUAAAAGGGUGCGUGAAUAUUUACUACAGAUUCUGGGCUGUAAGUAAUGUGAUUAACCAUUAGUUAUACACGUACCUUAAAAGAAAAUACUCUGGGAGCCAGAACAAAUUAAAUCUUACUAUAUAUUAACUACCCUUUUUUAUAUUUUUAAUUUUGGAUAAAAAUAUUUUUACUCCAUCUGAAAUAUGGGAAAUUUAAAAUUAGUCUCUUUAAAUUUUUUUGUCUCAAUGUCUCUAAAAUUUUAACAUGUUAUUUCAUUUAGCAUGUUAAUUAAUUUGUUACUAAACAAUGUAUCUAACACCUUAUGAUUACCAAUUUUUCAUUUUCUGUCAGUUCACCCUGACAUUUUUUCACUUUCUUUGGCCAUUCUAAGGGAUUCUUGGAGCAUCAUUCACCUCUUGAUCAUGGCGCACUUGAUGCCUUGAUUUUUUGGAGGUUUAAAAUGCAUGGGCUAGGAUUUUUGAAGAUCAAGAUUAUUGUCACCUAAACACGUGGUUUUCUUUUCUAUUUCUGCCAUCUUAAAAUACUUUUAUGCUUGUAUUUAUUGAUCUUAGUUUGGGGUUUGAAUUUCUUUUUAUCAUGACCAUCUAAGCUUAUAUUAUGAGGGAUGUUGUGACUUGAAUAUUAUGAAUUUUUCUAAUGUGUUGUGUAUAUUUGUCUUAUUGUACUUAAUUUUGAAUUUGGGAAUUGACUUUAAAGUGUUAAUUAAUAGACUAAUUAGUAACCAUCCAUAGAGACGUUCCCUAAUGUUCCAUUCAAUUAAUUAUAUUUUUAGUAGUUUUUAACCGGUGAAGUUCAAAUAAUUAAGACGAAAAAAAUAGCAAAAGAAAUAUAUUAAAUGGCCACAAACAUAGGGACCGUGCUUUGGACACAAUGGGCUCGCAUAUGGGAUUUAGAUGGGGUUGCUAGAUGCAUCCAUUCUUAUUUUUCCAAUUUUACUCUUCAUUCUCGCAGAAGAUGUUCUUCUGUUAAAUUGAACAUGUAAUUUUUAGGUUGUUAACACAACGUUCUAAUCAAUUAAGUUAAUAAGUCAAUUAUAUUAUAAAAUAGAUAAUGUUAUUAUACGUAACAAAAAAUAUUUGUUAUUAGAAAAUUUAAUAUAUAUUAAACUUUGUAAUGGUAAAUAUUUUUUAUUUUAAAAAAAAUAUAUAAACUAAAUAAUUCGUAUGAUUUAUAUCAAAGUUAAUCGUAAUAAAAUUUAUUAUUUAAAUUUACUUGCGUAUUAAAUAUAUAUUAUAAAUUUUAGUGUUAUGUAUAACAACAUUAUUUAUUUUAUAACAUAAUUGAUUCAUUAACUCAGUUGGUUAAAACGUUGUGCUAAUAACCUGAAAGUCAACGGAAGAAUUUCUUCGGUAAGAGUUACGAGUAAAGGGCAGAGCAAAAUUAGAAAAAUAGAAAAAUACUGGAUGCACCAGAAAUACUUAUGGUGCACCUAGCAACACCCUUUUAGAAGGUAGCUUAUGAUAUUGUAUAACAUUUUGAGCAAAUGCCUCUUGUGCCUUGAGUCAUAUUUUUUUUUCUUCAUCCUUCUGUUUAUUAGAAAAAAAAUAGAUUUUAACUAAUAUAGAAUUUGGCUAAGAAGUAAACAAAUUUUUGUUAAAAAUUAUUUUUCUUUCACGAUCGAACUCAAAUGAUUUAAUUUUAUUUUCAACACAUUAAUCAUUUUAUUUUAUGUUGAAUAAUUUGAUUUCAAGUCAUAUGUUCUUAUCAAUUCUUAUCAAUGAAGUUUUCUCAUAUGUUAAAAAAAAGCCCCGAAAAUAAAGAAGGCCAAAAAAAAGAAAGGGCCUUAAUAAAUGGAGAUAGAAAAAAAUAGUGAGUUCAUACAAGCAAGCCUUCGGUGAAUGCCACUAUAUCAAUCCAGAAAAGUACGAUUGCUCGAAAGGAUAAAUAUAUUUAGAUGUCGAAAAUACUAUUAUACACCUAUUAAAAAAGAGUGAAUUUUAUAGGUAUAUUAAAUAUAUGAUGUGAUAUGAGAAGAAGAAGAAGAAAAAAAAAUUUUAAAAAACUAUUUAAAAUAAUGGAGUAUUCAAAAGCAACAUAUUUAGUACUGGAUCCUUUUUCUCUUUGAAGAGAAUGAGCUUGAGAUUCACUUAUGAUCCUUGUGUUUAAAUUUAAUCCGUUAGUCACGUUUGAAUCAAUAACUGUUGUAACAAUAUUUUAUGUCAAACCAAAAAAAUUACUAGCCGAGUCACGGACAAUGUCGUUUUCUUUAAGACGUUUCGUGGCACUGCCAAAAAAAUGUGCAAGCAGACUAUCAACCACGACGUCUCCAGGAUAAAACAGUCCAGAUCACUGUAUAAGAUUCCCACUGCACUGAGGGAACCUUUUCUAGAAUUACACUCUCUUGUAUGACUUGAAAAGUCACUCCAAAGCCACCCGAAAAUAUGACUUGAAAAGUCACUCUAACAGCCAACCGAAAAUAUGACUUGAAAAGUCACUCUAAUAGUCAACCGAAAAAUAUGACUUGAAAAGCCAUUAUUAUAGCCAACUGAAAAUAUGACUUAAAAAGUCACUCUUAUAGCCAACCGAAAAAUAUGACUUAAAAAGUCACUCUUAAAGCCAACCAAAAUUUUAGAGCGACAGAAAGAAAGAAGGAGAAGUUUGCCGGAAAUGUAUCGGCUGAAAUAUGGGAGGGAGAAAGAAAAGUUGAGGAAAUGCUUCUCAACUGGGGCAAGGAAAAAAGAAGAAAUGAGCUCUCUAUAUAUAGGAAGUGAAACACUAUUCAAGUGUUUAUCCUAAGCGAUGUGAGACUUGAAGCCUUUUCUUUCUUUUUUUUUUUUUUCAAACUUUCAUCCACAUUCUCCUUUGUUCUAACAAUCCCUCACUUGAAAUUUGAAAAGAGGAUUUUCGAGGAUUUCAUAAAAUUGUGCAUAAACAAAGGUGUCAUACAACUUGAACCUUUGCAUAGUGAGUAAGAUUCAGAUUUUACUAGAGUGACUCAAAGUCUUGAACUCUAUCUCCGACAUCAAACCACACAUAACCUUUUCAUAUGUGUAUUCUAUAAAGCCCGUGCGUUAAAUGUCAUGCACGUCUAUCCCGGUAUAGUAAACGCUCUAGAAAUUUUUGUCCAAAAUUUCAUAUGAAGCGGCCCCAACUUCAACAUUCACAUAGGUGAGUCUAUCAAGAGUACUCCUGUAGCCUAGGUGCUCCACUCAACGUAGAGUAUAGAUCUCAUUAAGAAUUAUGAAUUUUUUUUUUCAUAACUCAUCCUCUUGUUACUUCAGGAAUCAUGCUGCUUUCACUUAUAACAACAUAUUCAUCUCAUAUCACUUCAUAACUUGUUAUUACCCAUUGAACCUAGUCUUGGGAUCUCCAGUCAUUUAGGUCGGGUUACCAUCAUGAAUGAUCAUCAUAGUAAGGGCAAUAGUCCCAUUGUUUUAGAAGUGUUAUGGACUUUCUCUUUAGCUAAUCCUUUCGUCAAAGGAUCUGCUAAAUUAUCAUCAGUGCGUACGUGAUCCACUCUAACAACUCCUGUUGAGAGUAAUUCUCUAACAGUGUUGUGCUUACGACGUAUCUGUUGUUUCUUACCAUUGUAAUAAUGGUUCUCAAUUUUUUUGCAAUAGCCGCGGUACUAUCGCAAUGGAUCAACACAACUGGUAUCGGUCUUUCCCAUAACAGAAUCUCUGCAAGUAAGCUUCUCAGCCAACUUGCUUCCUCACUAGCAGUUGCUAGUGCUAUCAUCUCAGAUUUCAUAAUGGACUGAGCUAAGAUAGUCUGUUUCUUUGACUUCCAAGAAACAACCCCACCAGCUAUGCUAGAUAUAUAGCCGCUGGUUGCUUUGGAAUCAUUUGAAAGAGUGUUCCAAUCUGCAUCACUGUACCCUUCAAGUAUAGCGGGAAACCUUUUAUAAUGUAAUCCAAGGUUUAUGGUUCUUUUAAGGUACCUCAUUACCAUUUCAAUAGCGUGCCAAUGCUCCAUACUAGGUCUACUGGUAAACCUGCAUAAUAAUCCCACAACAUAGGCUAUGUCGGGUCUAGUACAAUCAAUGGCAUACCUAAGGCUGCCAAUGAUACUCGCGUACUCAGUUUGUCGUAUACCUUCACCAGUGUUCUUAAACAGUUUUACACUUGGAUCAUAUGGUGUACUAGCAGGUUUACAAUUAAAGUAGUCAUAUUUCUUUAAGAUCUUCUCAAUGUAGUGAGAUUGAUCCAGAGAAAUUCCCUCUUUUGACCUAGUAAUCUUAAUACCAAGGAUUACACUUGCUUCUCCGAGGUCUUUCAUAUCAAAGUUGUUACACAACAAUGAUUUCACAUCUAAUAGGUUUGCAGCUAGGAGGCCCCUCUACUAAAUGUUAGGUCUUGUUAGAUUCUAAAGAAUCCAUCUCAUUAUUAAUGGCUUCUUGCCACAAGUCAGCAUCCAAAGAAGACAAGGCUUCUUAGAGGUUUGAUGGAUCCUCCUCUAAUGUAUAGGUCAUAUAAUCGGGCCCAUACUCUUUAGCAAUUCUUGCUCUCUUACCUCUUCGAGGCUCUAUAUCUGGUUCUGGUUGUGCAAGAUUUUCACUACUAAUAGCAGGAAGAUAACUAGAUGAAAUACCCCCACUAUUCCUUAAUUUAAAAGAAAAUCAGAAACCAGAUUCUUUCUCAUCCCUGAAGUAUGCAUCACAUCUUUGAGAAUCAAAGUCUUUCUAGAGGUAAACUUCAGUUCAACAUCUCCAGUUCCAGCAACAAUAGUGGUGUGGGAAUCACCCAGCAACACUUUCUUAUUUUCACCAUUCAUGUAUGUUUUAAUCAUAGCACGAUCAUAGCAGACAUGGCGGGAGGCGCCAAUGUCUACCCACCAUCCAUCUGAUCCUCCAAUCAUAUUGAUUUCUAUUAUCACAGCUAUGUAUGGCUCUUAAGUCAUGUUAGCCUAGGGAGCACCUGUCAUUGAAGGAUUUCUGCAUUUACGUGCCAUAUGUCCCGGUUUGCCACAAUUGUAGCAGAGUAAUGGCUCACCAGGAUUAUUCUUGGCAGGUGGAUGCUGUCUAGCAUGUUGGACCCUUGGGGGGUUCUUGUUGCGGUUGGAGGUAUUGCUCACAUUGCGGUUCUGAUUCUUAAAGUUUUUGCCAAUAGGCUUCAGAAUUGCACAUGUGUUCUUCCUUUUAGUGUUGUUGUGAGACACAACCAACACUUCAUCUUUCUGAUCUUGUCUGCGUGCCUCUUCCUCAAUGCGCAGACGUGUGAUCAGAGACUCCAAAGAGAAUUCUUUGGUCUUGUGUGUGAGAAGGUUUUUGAAAUCCUUCCAGCCAGGAGGCAAUUUGUCUAUGAUAACAGCAACCUGAAAUUGCUCAUCCAAUGUCAUACCCUCUAAUAUGAUAUCAUGAGCAACUUUCUAUAUCUCAUGGGAUUGAGACUCUACUAAUUUAUCAUCAAUCAUUUGAUACUUGAGAUAGCGACUAACAACAUACUUUUUAGUCUCAGCUUCCUCAGUAUCAUACUUCUUUUUCAAAGCCAGCCAAACUAAUUUGACAGACUUAUAUGGGCUAUAAUAAUCAUAAAGAUCAUCAACUAACCCAUUCAGAAUGAAAUUCUUGCAUAGGUAAUCAUUUUCAUUACAGAGAGCUAAUUCCAUAGUCAUUUUAUCCUUCACUUCCUUCUCAACAUCUUUAGGCAUCACUGGAAUAUUAAUGUUCAAAACAUAGGCAACUUUUUUUCAUAGAAAACAUCAUCUUUUGUUUCCAACGUUUGAAAUGAUACCCUUCAAACCUAAAAGGUUUGUUGAGGUCAUUGUUGUUCGAGCCAGUAAUAUCUACGGUAUCCAUAGCAGAACCAAAAUCGUCUUAAAAUUGUUGUAACAAUAGUUUAUGGCAAACCGAAAAAAUUACUGGCUGAGUCACGAACAAUGUCACUUUCUUUAAGACGUUUCGUGACACUGCCAAAAAAUUGUGCAAGCAGCAGACUAUCAACCACGACAUCCCCAGGAUAAAACAGCCAAGAUCACAGUAUAAGAUUUCCACUGCACUGAGGGAACCUUUUCUAGAAUUACACCCUCUUGUAUGACUUGAAAAGUCACUCUAAAGCCACCCGAAAAAAUGACUUGAAAAGUCAUUAUAACAGCCAACCGAAAAUAUGACUUGAAAAGUCACUCUAAUAGCCAAUCGAAAAAUAUGACUUGAAAAGUCACUAUUAUAGCCAACCGAAAAAUAUGGUUUAAAAAGUCACUCUUAAAGCCAACCAAAAUUUUAGAGAGACAAAAUGAAAGAGGGAGAAGUUUGCUGGAAAUGCAUCGGCUGAAAUAUGGGAGGGAGAAAGAAAAGUUGAGGAAAUGCUUCUCAAUUGGGGCAAGGAAAAAAGAAGAAAGGAGCUUUCUAUAUAUAGGAAGUGAAACGCUAUUCAAGUGUUUAUCCUGAGCGAUGUGGGACUUGAAACCUUUUUUUUUCUCUUUUUUUUUCAAACUUUCAUCCACAUUCUCCUUUGUUCUAACAAUAACUUAUAUAUUAGUUCGAAUAAAAUUAGACUCGGUUUCUAUAUUUAUUUUUUCAUGUGUAUUUUUUUUAUUUAUUAAAAAGUUCUAGCAUAGGUUCCAAAUAUAUUAAUUUUAUGACUUACUCAAAAUAGUUUUAAAUUUAAAAAAUAACUAUUUGUUUUUAAUAAAAAUGUAUAAAAAAUUAGGGGUGGCAUAAGAGAAAGUUCUAGCAUAGUAAAAAAAAUAAUUAAAAAAUGGUUUUCUCAUGAUGCAUAAGAAAAUGUCCCUUAUGCAUUUUCUUAUGAUCGAUUGAUUAGUUGGUGCAAACAAAAAUGAGAAAAAAUGCUCCACAAAAUAAUUCAAGCAUGUAUUUUUUAAAAAUUUCUUAAAAGUUCUAGCAUAGUUCCAUAUAUAUUAAUUUUAAUUAUGACUAAAAUAGUUUAAAUAUAAAAAACUGUUUAUCUUUUAGAAAUAUCUUUAAAAUAAUUAAACAAAUAAUAAUUUAAGUGAAUAAAACAAAAACAAAAGUUAUAAAAAAUAAUUUUAAAAGAUUUUUGUGGAUAAAUGAGACGGGGUAUUUUGAAAUAAUUAAAAAAUAUUUAUUUUUUAAAAUACUGUAAUGGAUUAAUUGGAUAUUCGUCCAUAAAAAUGAUAAUUAAUGCAUUUAUUAAAUUGAUCAUGAACACAUUAACUUUGUUUUAUGAAUUCUGAAUGGAUAUUGAUAAAUGAAAUUGUGGUAUUUUUGCUAAUGAUAAUAUUUUUGCUCAUCAUUAUAUGUAGUUCAUCUCUCUUCUAAGAAGGUAAAAAGCUAUGCUUUGUUUGACAUGUUGUGGUAUGGUCUACUUUGAUUAUGCAUAACAAAAUUGUGUUUCAAGGCGUUUUCUUUUGACUUUAAUGGUGUUUUGGACUUGAUAAAAAAAGUUGUUUUGUAGACAUGGUAUGAGACUAAGAUGAGCAAUACUCUCCGUUCUUUUUUAAUUAGUGUAUUGAUAAUGUAAUUUAUCUUUAUUUGUUCCUUUGGUCUUGCAUUAAUUGUAAUACAUAUGUAUAAGGAUUGGAAUACCCAUUGUACUCUUUUUCUUAAAAUAAAUAAAUAAAACUUUGCUUUUAAAAUAAAUGUUAGUCGCACUCUCUUUUUAAUAUUUUCUCUCAUACCAUUAGCUGAAAAAAUUAACAAUUUUGGUGAGAUUUUGUUUCUUUUAAUGAGGUCUCUCUAUCUAUCUAUAUCGAUUUAGAAAUGAAAUCCAUCCAAAUUGAUGACAUUUUAUAAAUUUCAAGCAAUGAUAAUAGAGUAUUAGAAAAAGAGUGUCAAUUUUUUUUGCUAAUAUUCCUUAAAAAAAUAAGAUCGUAUGAGUUUUUUAGGUAGAAGCACUUUGGACAUUUAUUACCAAUCCAACUUUAAUUGUUUUUUUAUUUAUUAUUCAUUACGGUGUAUUUGGAUCAACUGAAAAAAUUAGGUUAUUUUAAUAUUUGAUUAUAUUAAUAACAAUUAUUGGUAUAAUACAUUAUAAUCGAAUAAGUUUUUGUUUGAGUUUGUUUCUUGAAAACUUAUAUAUUUUAAGAUAAUUAUUUUUGUAUGGAUGAAAAAAAUAAUUAUCUUUUAAGUAAGAAAAAAAAACUUUAAUUUUACAAAAUUGAGUUGUUGUUCAAAUUAUAUAAGAUUAACACAUUAUAAGAAAACUAAAGUUUUUAAUAUACCGAAUCGUCAUUCAAAUAGUCUUUUCUAUCCAUGUGGAGAGUUAUAAAAAUCCUAUUAAGAAAUAAAAAAGCUCCCGAUUGAAAAAGAAUAAUGAAAUCACUUAUAUCCAUGUAAAUCUUGUCUCCUAUCUCUAAAAAUAUGAAGAAUUUUUUUAAUUAUUAUUCAAAAAAAUUUCUUCUAUUAUUUUCUCUUGUAUUAUUCACUAAAAAGACUAUAAUAAUAACGGAAUUACGGUUAGAGAGUAGAAAAAAAAGGAUUCAAGGCUAACACCACCAAGGAAAAAAAAUAAUCCUUUCUAUUAGAACAUCUAAAAAGUUUUUUAUAUGAUUUUUAAUAAAAUCGAAAAAUAUUAAACAUAAACAACACAUCAGGAAACAUCCUCAAAAAUUUUGAGUAAAUGAAUGUUACUAACAAGUAGAAAUAAUAAGAUUUCUUUUUUAUCCCAUUUAUCUAAUUCAUUAUGUAUAAAAAAGCGAUCAAUAACUUGCAUACUUAUACUCUUUCAUAUUUCUAUUUGAAAAAUUUUCUUAAUAUUAACAUUCUGGAACAAAUCUUAAGAAAAAUGCUUAGAUUAGAUAUCAUUUACGAAUUGAGAUACAUUAUGUUGUUUAAACAAUUAUUAUGGAUUAAAAUAUUUCUAAAAUUUUUCAUCAUAAUUUGACAUAAUGUAUUUAUGAUGAUUAUAUUAGUAUUUUAUAUGAAAUUUCCUAAAAUUACCAACCAUUUAUGUUCACAAUUGAGCCACAAUUAAAGACCAAUAAAAUUUACUAGAACAAAUAACGUAUUUGUUAGAUUUUAAACUACAUAUUGGGUCCAUAUAUUUCUAAGCACAAACAAACUAGUACAAAUCCAAGUUGAAUUGCAUCAAGAUUUCUAAAAGGCUAUUAGACAAUGAAUAUAAUCAUUAUUGGCCUUGGCGCUUAUAAUUAUACAAUAAAUAUGAACUUAGCAGACAAUGAAUAUAAUCAUUAUUGGUCUUCUUAAAGUUGCAGUCUACAACUGAAAUCAGCAUACAUGUAAAAUGAAAAUUAUUUUUAACUUCAUUAAAAGAUGAGGAAACCAGAAAUUCACCUGGUAGAAGAAACUACUAAUGUAUAGAAGCAGAACAAAUCUGCAAAAAUGAAACGAAAGCUUGAGUAUGUUGCUGCAUAUACCAUCAAGAAUGAACAGUUAACAUGGCCUAGUGUCAUGAAUAAACACUUAAUCACCCAAAGAACCUAGAAGGAGAACAUAUGAGAUGGAAAUUAAGUCAUUUACCUUUCAACAACCAAGGUCAUGCCAUAAGUUGCUAUCUCAGGUAAUUUCCCGAAGCUAUCAUUAGUUCAUUACCAAACUAUUAAUUUCAUUGACAUAUGUCUUGCUACCAGAUUUCAUGUAACAAAGAUUUUAAAAGCCUUAUAAAAAGCCAAGAUUGCAUGUGAAUCAAAUCGUAAAAAGGGUACAAUUCAAUAGUUUUGCAAAAAUAUAAUUGUAAUAGCUACAACAUCACAAUACUUCAAUUUCAAACAUGAAAUUAAACAUAUGACUUAAAACAACACUAAAAUUCUUUAUUAUAAUAUGUGGAGCCUCAAAAAAAUAAUUAAAAAGAAAUUACUUCUAUAUAUUGCUAGGAAACAGAAUCAUGAUUCCUCUAAAUCCAAGCUUUCAAACCAUUUUAUAUCCUAUUUAAGUCAAAUCGUUAAAACGUAUCUUUGUAUCCAUUUUAUGAAAGUGAAAAUCAUCUUUAAAAUAUUAAUGCUUUAGGCUAAGACAAAUCAUCCCCAUUUUCAUUGCAUCGGUUGGAAAUCAUUGUAGCACCCGGCCAUAUCAAAUAAAUUAGUAUGUAAAGCACUAUUUCUUCCUACUUAGUCUAACCAAAAUUAAUUAAAAUUAAUAGGAGAUUUGUUUUAAUUAGAGUUAGAGUCCUACAUUACAAAUUGAGAUUAUUUGAUUCAUUAAUAAAUUUUAAGAGCCAAACAUUUCACAAAAUUAAUCUUCUGUGUUUAACCCAUGAUAACCGAUAAAUAUGGAUUAUUUUUUAUAAUAAAAAUAUAUUAAAAAUAUCUUUAAAAUUAUUUAUUUAAUAAUUAUUUUUAGCUUAAAUAUUAUAAAUUGAUAUUUUUUCUAUUUAUAACUUACAUGUAUGAAAAAGAAGAAUUAAAAAAGAAAAAAAGAUUAAAAAAUAUAAAAAAUAUAAAUAAGAAAAAUGUUGACAUUAAACCCAAGUCUAAGGAAAACAAUCACGUUAACAUUCCUAAGAUUGAGAACUCUCUCAACCUAUUUUUUUUUGUUAUUUUAAAUUUAAUUUCUUAUCUCUUGUCUGUCAAUUAAAUUUAUAUUAAUUUAAGUAUAAAUAAAAUUAAUACUUAAAUUUUUUAAUAUUUUACUAUUUAAGAUAAUUUGAUGCAUUUAUGAAUGAGUUACCAACCCACUCAUACACUACAAUUAUUCCCUUGAAAUUCAGCUAUUAACAAUGAAGAAUUGGCCCUAUAUAGUAGCAGAAGUGGAUAUAUACCGAUAGGGGAGGAUAGCAAAAGCCAUUCAAAAACAAAGAAAAACAUAAUAUGUAGCUUUAUCCAUGUAUUAGGAUCAUAUUCGUGUAGCAUUAAAAGAACAAAGUUUUUUCAGUGACAAACUCCUAAAAGCAUCAUGUCAAAGCCGUAGAAUCAACGAGCAUCCCAUAAAUAAAAAUAAAUAAAAUCACCAUAUUCAUGCACAAUUACACGUAGAAAUUAAUAAAAUCUUGUCCCCCGACAUCCGUACAACAAGAUAACGAAGAAAAAUCUGGUUGAAGUCUACCAUAAACCCAAGGCCUUCAAUCCAAAACAUAUUGCAUUAAAUCAGGAGUUUCAACUUUCAAGCUAUUAAUCCAAUUAAGAUUUUAUAUCCUUUUUUUUAAUAUUCAACUUGAGCUAUCUGUCUCCAUUAUUAAAUCUUUAAAGUUCUGAAAAUGAAAAUUCAUCAUCCCUAUAGAACACAAAAUAAUACAGAUAGACAAGUGCAAGUUAUUACACAAAGUUGAUAUUCAAACUAUACAAUAAAAAGAGGAUCGAAUGACAAUAAUGAGAGUGAUUAAAAAAAUAUACAAAUUCAAGGUCAUGACAACUCUGAUUCUGUGAAAAGGGAAGUCCAAAUGAAUGAAGAAUAAAAGACACUCAUUACCUAGUGUUUAGUUAACUUUCUGCUAGAAAUACUCUUACUUCGAGCCACAUCAGGUGCCAACUAAUUCUAUUUCUGCUCUGAGAAACUACCAUAAAAAUUUGUUUGGGAAUCCACAACCCUACCACCUUUUUCUGCAAACCCCUAAUUGAAAAGAGAGUAUAAUAAACACAAAAAGCUUGUGGGGAAAAUUAAAAGAGAGGGAGAGGGAGAGGGAGAGAGCACGAGAGAAAAAUUAAAAGUAAAAUAAUAUUUUUAGGAUAGUUGUAAAUAUUGUAUCAUGUACCAUAGAAAUGAUUAUAAAUGUAUCUAGAUUCAUGUACUUGUCCCUAUAAAAGACUAAUAUUUUUAACAGAAAAUAAAAAAAAAGAGUUAAAAUGAAACCAUAAAAAUUUAAAAUAAAACUUUUAAAAUUUGAUAUACUAAAUCAGAAAAGAAAAAUACUAAAAUAUAAACGAUGAAAAUAUUUUUUUUUAAAACUUAAUAUUCCUAAAAAUAAAAUAAAAAAAUACAAAGAACCAAAAGUAAUAUAUAUCUGGAGGCCUAAAUGCCAAAAACAAUCACACAACUAAAACGAAAAGGCAUCAUCUGGAUGGGGCAACGCAUUCAACAACUAAUGAUACUCCAAAUUAAAUGAGUAAAUUUAUAAAUGUACAAUCCAUUUUUGUGUGGAUUGGACAAGGCAAUUAAGAGAGAUGUGAUAUCAUAGCAAAUAUAGAUAUUAAAAAAUAUAAGAUGAAAGAGAAUGAGUUUUAAGUAGGAUGUAUGUUUAUAAUGAUAACUCCUAAUACUAUUCUUCCUAAGCUCAUAAAUCCAUAACAUCCAAGUUUGUGUGAAACAUAAGACUUAGACUUGGUGUAUAUUUGAAUUAAAGUUGACGAUUUUAAUAUUAUAGUAGUUUUAUUGUAUAAGUUCAAGAAGGACUUUGGUCUUGCUUUUUUGUAAAUUUGAUUUCGAAUAUAAGUGUGUAAACAUACUCUUAAAGAUAACUAAACAUACUCUUAAAGAUAACUAAAUAUAUCAUAUGAAAUAAAAAUGAGUUUAUGCUCCAAACCAAGUUUAAAACACCAAAAUAAAAUCCAAACAUGUUGAUAUCGAUGUUAUUAAUAGUCUAAUGCAAAAGAAGCAAAUCGUAGACAGAAAAUGAUAACUAAAAGCAUUCACCAAAGCCCACCAUGGCAAAAGUUGUGAUUAGUAUAUAAUGUUGGAGCAUGUUGUGCUUAUUAGAAAUCGAAAGCUCCACCUUUGGUUUCUUUGAUGACAAUAUAUAAGAGUGCCGUUGAGGUAGGUGACGUUGUAGUAGAAAUUCAUGUCGGGGACAACACAUCGUGGUAGCACCUACUGAUGGGGUGACAACACAUCUUUAGCAGGACAAUUAAAGAAUAGUCGAUGAAGAACAAUUGAAUAAAAAGCAAAAAAGAAUCACCAAUUCGAAACAAAUAGUAUAGCACUGCACUACUAACUCACCCCAUCAACCGCAAGUGGCAAAUGACUCCAAACCCAAAACAAUGAAGAAAAUAACCAUUAGUUAAAAUUCGUGAAAUGGGAAUAUCUGAGUAUAAAAUUACAACUAAUCUGAAGGAAUCUGCUAAACAACCUAAUCUUCUAUCAUUUUCAUUUGAUAUUUAAAUUAUUGACUGCUGAAACAAAACUCAUAAAAGAUAAAAUCUGCAACAAUAAUAAUAGAACUCUAUCUAAAACUUAUUCAAAAUUCAAAUAAGGCAGGUCUCAUAUCUUUAGCUAGACAAGAAGAUAUACUAUGAGGGCACUACUGACCCCGACCCUAUCACGUGCAUGCAUAUGAACUAUUAUCUACAAGUUGUCCCCACUGCCCAAGAACGAGAGCNNNNNNNNNNNNNNNNNNNNNNNNNNNNNNNNNNNNNNNNNNNNNNNNNNNNNNNNNNNNNNNNNNNNNNNNNNNNNNNNNNNNNNNNNNNNNNNNNNNNUGCCAAAUGGCUCCAGCCCCAAACCACAGCGAGCAACACAAAACCAGUCCCCCAUGCCACUAGCUGUAUAUAUGCAGAUUACAAAAAGAGACGUGCACCACAUACAGAACAAAUUGAUGAAAAGUAUAAUAUAGUAUAUUUAUGAAUCACGAUUAAAAUAAAUUUCUAACAAUUACUUGAUUUUAAAAGCUUUUAUAGUUUUAAUUUCCAAAGGUUAUUAGUUUUAUUAAUAGUUUUUUAUACUUGUAUUAUAUUACAAAUAUAAUAAUGACUAAAUUAAGCUUAAUAUAUAUACCUCCUGAAUAUAUUUUGUAAAAAUACACAAACUUUCUCUAUUUUUUUAUUAUAAAAAAAUAAGGUUGCCAAGCCAUUGUUCAAAUCAAAGGGCGAUCCAAUAGUAGGUGAGAACUAAAAUAAAUUUUUAUUUUUUUUAUUUUAAAUGAAGAAUAAUAUAUCGUAUUUUUUAAAUAAAUAUGGUCUUUUUAUUUUAUAAUAGCUAAUGAAAAAUUUAUAGAACUAAAAUUUAAAUUUUACUUGUUUUAUUGUUGUUUUCACUCUCAUUCAAAGGAGUAAAAGAAUGAACUUGUCCCCGAUCCGAUAACCACACCCCACGCAGCGUAGUAAAUUUUCUUCAUCAAAAUUAUCUAUGUAAAACUCCAGCAGCAACUGGAAAAAGAUUUCGAUUUCUUUAGUUUCAGUACACCAAAGCACUCUCCAUGCGUGAAGUGAAACUAGAUGGUAUAUUCUGAAAGUGAUCCCGUGGAGAAUUUGGAAGAACAGAGAGGGUAUUCAGACAAAUUAUAGAAGCCACCGAUGAAUCAAUGAGUAGAAUAUGCUUCUUCUUUGAAGAUUAACUAUCCCCACCACGCCUGAAGGACUUAAAAGCUUCUAAAAUAAAUUUAAGAAUGAAAUUUUUUAUUUAUUUAUAAAACUUAGUGUUCUUAUUUAUCAUUUAAAAAUGACACAUUUUAUUUUAUAAUAAUUUUCUUAAAGUAUAUUAGUACUAAAAAAUAUUUUAAUUUUUUUUUUUUAAAACCUAAAGCCUUUCCUUGAGCUCCUUAGACCUUAAGCCGGUCCUUAUUAUCCCUGGGUGGGCAACUUGUUAAUGAUGAAUUGAAGACCCUUCAAACCUGUGUGCUACCUUAAGUAGGAGUGGAAUAUCAAUUGUUUCCACACUAGGGACAAAACUUCAUCAAACUCAUGAACUACUCAAUCCCUUCCAGCGUGGAAUUUGCAACAACGACCCUCAGUCAUCUUCCUCUAUAUAUUACUACUCAGCUCUUAUACAUAGACCCACACAGUUAUACAACUCUAGAGAAUCAAGAAAAUUAUUUUAUAUAAAAAUAAUAUAUAUAUAUAUAUAUAUAACAUAUAAAUUAAAUAUUUUAACAAUAUAAUAAAGCAAAAUAGUAAAUUAAUAAUAACGUCAUUUCAUCAUUAGUUCAUCCAUAUUCACCAUAAAAUAGGAUAUAAUUUUUGUAUAGGAACGUAACAGGAUAUGAUUUUUGUAUAAAAACAUAGGAUAUGAUAAGAUAUAAUUUUUAUUUGUUUUAGAAUACAGUAACGUAAUAAAUGAAAAAAAGAAACCUAAUAGGAAUAGUAAAAUGAAUUGUUAACAGAAAUAGGAAAACUAAUAAAAAUAAUGAGAAAUAUAAAGAAACUCACACCUUUAAUUAAAAAUUUAUUUAAUUAUAAGAAUGAAAUCGGCUAAUUUUUUUAAAAAAUAAUAUUAAUUAUAUCCAAAAAAUAAUAUAUAUAUAUAUAUAUAUAUAUAUAUAUAGGUCGGUCUAUCAGGCUUAUAAGACUUUUUAAUAAGUCUAAGUCUGACCUAUUUAAUUUAAUAGGCUUUUGUAAAAGCCUAAACCUAGCCUUUUAAUUAAAUAGGUCAGGUCAGGUCAAACUUUAUAUAGACCCUGUCGUAGAUCCAUGUAAGUCGGCAUAACCUAUCCUCACCCUGUCACGCCACUGCUGACCCCGACCCUAUCAGAUGCAUGAACUUUUAUGGACAAGUUGUCCCCACUCCCCAAGAACAAGAGCAAGUGCCAAAUGACUCCAAACCCAAAACCGCAGCCAGCAACACAAAACCAGUCCCCCAUGCAAUAGCUGUAUAUAUGCAGAUUACAAAAUUAAAAGAGACACCACAGAACAAAUGAAUGAAAAGUAUAAUAGUAUAUUUAUGAACGAAGAUGAAAAUAAAUUUCUAACAAUUAAUUAAUUUUAAAAGCUUUCAUAGUUUUGAUUUACAAAUGCUAUUAGUUUUAUUAAUAGUAUAUAGAUACUUGUAUUAUAUUACAAAUAUAAUAAUGAAAAAAUUAAGGUUAAUAUACCUCCUAGAAUAUAUUUUGUAAACCUAAAACAAAUUUAAGAUUUUCUUUUUUAAACCUAAAGCCUGUACUUACUUGUACUGCUGGAAACUUGAGCCCGCACUUGUUAUCCCUAAUGGGCAACCUUGAAACUUGAGCCCGUACUUAUUAUUCCUAGUGGGCAACUUGUUAAUGAUGAAUUGAAGACCCUUCAAACCGUGUGUGCUACCUUAGGUAGGCGUGGAAUAUCAAUUGUUUUCAAAUUAGGAAUAAAACUUCAUCAAACUCAUGAACUUACUCAGUCCCUUCCAGCGUGGAAUUCGCAACAACGACCCUCAGUCAUCAUCCUCUAUAUAUUACUCCUCAGCUCUUAUAUUUAGACGCACACAGUUAUACAGCUCUAGAGAAUUAUCAUACCCUUCAAGAUGAAACCGUACCUACGUCCAAUAUUCCUAUUAUUCCUUAUCCUUCUCGACCAAUCCAUUUCGGCGAGUGCUGCUAUAAAUAUUAAUGGUCUGAGAAACAAAAUUAGAGAAGUUCUAAACAAGCACCCGAGCAUCAAUCUUCCGGCAGAUAAACUGAAGAAGGUGAAGAGACCACUGAAGGCACUGGAUUAUCUGCUUGGCGAAUGUAAGGACAGGCCGCCUCAAGAAUUUCAAGAAUUUUGCCCGAAAUUUAAGAACGAUUAUCAACAAAAUUGCCCGAAUGCCGCGUAUGAAGCAGUUUGCCCGUUACUGAAGCAAGCGAUUCAAAUAUGUUGCCAGAAACACGCAUAACUCUGCAAGCCACGGUGGGCGUUUGGAUGUGCUUUUAGUUACCACUUUCUCUCUUGGAUUUGCUUACGUAUUGCUCCUUUUGUAUUAGUGGCUCCUGUCCCACCUUGCUUUUGGACUUGAGCUUUUUAUAUUUCUGAUUGUUCAAUGUCUGUUGUGUGUGCUCUCCAACCUGUGGUGACUUUCCGGUUUAUUCCUGUGGCUGUUUCUUGUAGGCCUUUCGACCUCCAGUAUUAAAUAAAAGAUCAUCUUGUAGCUUUUUAAUUUUAAUUAUUUUUUAUUUAUAUCUCUUCUAAUAUUAAUAAUAAAUAAUAAAAUAUAUAAAUAAAUAAAUGAUUAUAUACAAUUAAUCUUUUAGGAUGAUUAUUAUUUUAAGAUAGAAAAAAAUAAUAUAUAUUUAUAUAUUGUUAUGAGAGGUCUUUAGUUAUAUGCAUAAUGCACCCUUGGCAACUUGGGAGUUGGGAUUUCAGUAAUUAUUAUUGUGGUGGGUAAAGCUAUAAACUCGGUUUUGUGUAAGUUCCUUUACUUUCUUGAGGAGUCUAAGGUGGGAAAGAGAAACACCUCUUCCAAUGUAAGAAAGUUUUUUAAAACUGGUAUAUUAGUUUAGUUUCAAUCUAAUGCCUCAAAUUUUUUUUUCUUUUCUCCUUGUAUUUUUUAUUCCUUUUCUUCUUAUCUUUCCUUGUUUGCCCCUUCAAUUCUCUUCUUUCUCUCCCAUCUUCUUUCUCUCUCCUUCUAUCCGCCACCAUAGUGCACCGUCACUUGUAGUUGCUUUGGUGGUACUCUACCACAGAAGAAGCAAGUGGAGCCUUGUUUCCAUUACUUUACGGAAAUUCACUUAAUCACAUUCAAUUGGUUCAUUGAGGAAUGAUUGCGGCGUUGUGUUUUUUCUUUCGUGUUUCUGUGUGAGUCAUUUGAGCGGUGCUGCGAAAGAAGAAAAAACUCCGGCGGGUGCCCACUGGUUGUCUGCGGUGGAGAGAAGGAGUGUUUUGUGCGGAAGAAAAGAAGUGGGGCAAACAAGGAAAGACAGGAAGAAAGGAAUAAAAGAAAAAGAGAAAAGAAAAAAUAAUUGAACCAUCAGAUCGACGAAAACUAAACCAAGUGUCAAGGGAAACGAAAAGCAUAAUAGCAUGAGUCAAGUUCAAAAAUUAUACAAAGUUUCACAAAGAAGAUCCAUAUAUGUUUCAAAUGCUAGAUUCCUUCGAAUAGAUGGCUAUGGGUGAUAAAUUAUAUAUGAAUUGCAAAAUACAAAAAAUUCGUUGCAACUUGCAAGGGAUGCAUCAGUAACAAUUGUCUAUUUGAUAUAAAUAUUUAAUUUUAUAUUAACGCAAGGUAAGCAUAUUUUUGUUUUAAUAACAUACUAUUUAUAUUUUAUUUAAAAUAUUUAAUCAGCAUGUUUACGGACAACCCGCAUAUAUAAGCCACUUAAUCUGAAAUCACUUUACUCUUACACAAAAAUAAUGAAUCAAAGAGAAAUAGAGAACUAAGGCUAAACCUAAUCAGAAAAAUCUGAUAGUUGCCAAACACAAACCCUUCCUUUUACACUUCUUCAUCUGUGUGUGUUGACUGCUACUUGCUGCUAAUUUAGGAUCUUGGCAGUUGUAUACGAUAUGCAUGCAUGAGGUCUUGCUGCCUUGUGUUUCUUGUACGACUAUUUCAGCGAUACCAACAUGCAUGGUGCAUGGUUGUUGCUAGUUUGUACGUACAAAAUUUAUACAUUAAUUAUGUUAUAAAAUUAAAUUUUAGAUUUUUAGUUAUACGAUAAGUAUUUACGAUUGCCAAUUGUGAGGCAAUCAUUACACACAUUAAAAUAGAGCCUUGUGCUUGUGGAUGGAGGCUUAUGAGGUAAAAAUAUGCCCACGUGGGAUAUCCUAAAUGUUUUACGGCAAAAUCAAGAUCUAGAUGGUGUUUGAUGAUCACAUAAAGGUGCAACUUCACAACAUAUCAUGCUUUACCGGCUUCAUUCAAUUUGGCAAUCAAUUUUGUGCCCAUCUACUCGUUUCAUCACGAAAGAAGACCCCUAUACCUUAUUUUAUUUAUUUGGGUUACCAAAAGGAAUAUUUCUUUGAAAAGACAUGCAACAACAUCACAACAGAGAAGGUUACAUAAAAUAAGAUGAAAUUAAAUAAAAUUUUAUAAUUUUAUUUAUAAAAUAGAUUCAUUUUGUAAAAUAAAUUUGUCCAUAGUUUAAAAAUUUGAAUUAUUUUAUACAUUUCCUUUAAAGUAUCUAUUUCAUUUUGUAAUUCAUGUCAUUAAAGUAUUUGUAUCAAAUUGAUUUGGUAACAUUUUCUUUAAUUAGUUACUCAGUUAAGAUAUUUAUAUUAUUAUUCAAAUUUAUUCAAUAAAUAUUAUAUAUAAUAAUAUAUGUAUAAAUCACAAUUAAAAUAACUUUCUAUCACAUGAAUUAAUUUAAAAAGUUCUCAUGCUUUAAAUUUCAAAUUCUAUUUUUAUAUUUUAAUUAUAUUUAUAUAAAAAAUAAAAUAAUGAGUAAAAUACGUAACAUCCCCUUAAAUUUUGUAAGAGUAUACAUCUUUUUGUAUUUUUUAACAUUUUCACUUUUUUUUAGCAACCUCCUUGAUCUAUAGGUUAACAUAGUGUAAUAUCCAAACAAUUAAAGAGAUUUAGUUUAUGAAUAUGGAGUGUUGGUAAUAUUUUUUUAGUGUAAUGUACUCGGAAAAUUAAUCUUCUACCAGUUGAAUAAAACUAUUUUUUUAUCAUGUAUCUUUUUAAAUUCUAUAUGUGUACAUAAAAUAAGGUUACACAAAUUUAAAUAAAUGACCAAAUUAAAAUACAUAACAAAAUUAAAAAUUUAAACACGUACAUAAAUUUAAUACAAAAUAACUUAAAAUACUACCUAAAAUACUCUACAAAUAAAAAAAUUAAAAAUUAAAUAACUACAUAAAUUUAAAUAAAUGACCAAAUUAAAAUACAUAACACAAAAUUAAAAAUUAAAUACCUACACAAAUUUAAAUAAAUGACCAAAUUAAAAUACAUAAAAAUUUAAAAAUUUGAACACGUACAUAAAUUUAACACAAAAAAACUUAAAAUACUACCUAAAAUACUCUACAAAUAACAAAAUUAAAAAUUAACAUACCAACAUAAAUUUAAAUAAAUGACCAAAUUAAAAUACGUAAUAACAAAAUUAUAAAAUAAAACACGUACAUAAAUUUAACACAACAAAACUUAAUUUACUAACUAAAAUACUCUACAAAUAACAAAAUUAAAUAUUAAAAUACCUACAUAAAUUUAAAUAAAUGACCAUAUUUUUUUCCAAUUAUUAAAAUUUAAAUUAAAUAACAUAUAUUAUACACAAAAAAUGGUAAUAAAUCAAAAAAUUACUAUGGAAUAAAAAAAUUAAGCAAUCUAUAUAUAUAAAAUUAAUAAAGUAUCAUAUAUUUCAAUAAAAACUAUAAAUAAGUAAACUAAAUAAUAUUCACAUUCUAACUAAACCUAAAAUACCAUAUAUAUAAUACAAAAAAUAUCAUACAAACCUAAUAAAUCUAAACCAAAUAAUAAUAACAUAACAACUAAAAUUAACGUACAAAUAAUUUUAUCACAAAUAAUAACAUAAAUUUAAAAAAUCUUAACAAAAUCAUAUUAAUAAAUCAACUACAACUAACGUACAAAUAAUAAUAUACCAACUCAAAUUUAUAACAUAUACAUAUAACACAAAUAAUAUUAAUAUUUCAACAUUACUUAAGAUUUAAAAGUUCCACCUAACAUCAACAAACGUAGCAUAUAUAUAUAUACAAAAUUUUUAAAAAAUAUUAUUAUCAAAUUAACUAAAACUAACCUAACAUAUAUAUAUAUAUAUAACACAACUAAUAACAUACAAUUUUGAAAAACCUAACUUAACUAAUAUUAACAUAUCAACUAAAAUUACCAAGUUAAAAAACACUUACUAACAGAGAAAUCACGUAAUAGGAAGAGGAGAGAAACCACGUAAUAGGAAGAACAAAGCACUGUCCUACAAACAUAAACAAACCUAACGUAAAUAAUUUUCAUAUAUAUAUAUAUAUAUAUAUAUAUAUAUAUAUAUAUAUAUAUAUAACAACAAAUAUUUACCAUUAAAAAAUACUUACCAAGAAGAAAAAGCAGAACAAAAUAAGAACACCACAAUGUACUGCAGGAACUUAUGAAGAAGAGGAAGAAAGCAAUGCAAGGAAGCAGCUGUGGAAUCCGUCAUGGAGCUUCUUCUUUUAUAAUGCAACAUUUUUCAAUUACCACAACUCGCCAGCCACGCUAACGAUUUCCGUCAAAUGCAAAUUGCCAUCCCUAUUGGUGGUUCCCUCCUGCACUGCUGACCACUGAACCCUGCACACCUGCAUGGCCUGACGGACUCCUGCAAAGCUGCAUGGCCUGACUCCUGCAAAGCUGGACCUCCUGAGCCUACCUAGUGGAACUCGCCAGUCAAAUUGGCGGUUCCCUAUGCAUGACAGUAUCACCAUUGCUACUUGCGAUUUGUUCACGGAGAGUAAACUCGCUAGUUCCACUGGCGAUUUGCGUGGUGCAUGCAUGCAAAACAUGUAAAUAACAGCCCCCUCCCGGAAAAACUUUAAAAAGGACCCCAUCUGGGAAAAUACUUUUUAAAAGUACCCAAAAUGAGAAAUUUGCCUAGUACUUGAUCCUUUUUCUCUUUGAAGAGGAUGAGCUCGAGAUUCACUUAUGAUCCUUGUGUUUAUUAUAAAAUUUAAUCCAUUAAUCAAGUUUGAAUCAAUAAGUUAUAUAUUAGUUCGAAUAAAAUUAGACUUGGUAUUCUAUAUUUAUUUUUUCAUGUGUAUUUUUUUAUUUAUUAAAAAGUUCUAGCAUAGUUCCAAAUAUAUUAAUUUUAUGACUUACUCAAAAUUGUUUUAAAUUUUAAAAAUAACUAUUUGUUUUUAAUAAAAAUGUAUAAAAAAUUAGGGGUGGCAUAAGAGAAAGGUCUAAGCAUAGUAAAAAAAAUAAUUAAAAAAUGCUUUUCUCACGAUGCAUAAGAAAAUGUCCCUUAUGCAUUUUCUUAUGAUCGAUUGAUUAGUUGGAGCAAACAAAAAUGAGAAAAAAUGCUCCACAAAAUAAUUCAAUCAUGUAUUUUUUUAAAAUUUCUUAAAAAUUUCUAGCAUAGUUCCAUAUAUAUAUUAAUUUUAAUUAUGACUAAAAUAGUUUAAAUAUAAAAAACUAUUUAUCUUUUAGAAAUAUCUUAAAAAUAAUUAAACAAAUAAUAAUUUAAGUGAAUAAAACAAAAAAAAGUUAUAAAAAAUAAUUUUAAAAGAUUUUUGUGGAUAAAUGAGAGGGGGUAUUUUGAAAUAAUUAAAAAAUAUUAAUUUUUUAAAAUACUGUAAUGGAUUAAUUGGAUAUUCAUCCAUAAAAAUGUUAAUUAAUGCAUUUAUUAAAUUGAUCAUGAACACAUUAAGUUUGUUUUAUGAAUUUUGAAUGGAUAUUCAUAAAUGAAAUUGUGGUAUUUUUGCUAAUGAUAAUAUUUUUUCUCAUCAUUAUAUGUAGUUCAUCUCUCUUCUAAGAAGGUAAAAAGUUAUGCUUUGUUUGACAUGUUGUGGUAUGGUCUACUUUGAUUAUGCAUAACAAAAUUGUGUUUCAAGGCGUUUUCUUUUGACUUUAAUGGUGUUUUGUACUUGAUAAAAAAGGUUGUUUUGUAGACAUGGUAUGAGACUAUGAGCAAUACUGUCCGUUCUUUUUUAAUUAGUGUAUUGAUCAUGUAAUUUAUCUUUAUUUGUUCCUUUGGUUUUGCAUUAAUUGUAAUACAUAUGUAUUAGGAUUGGAAUACCCGUUGUACUCUUUUUCUUAAAAUAAAUAAAUAAAUAAAACUUUGCUUUUAAAAUAAAUGUACGUUAGCCGCACUCUCUUUUUAAUAUUUUCUCUUAUACCAUUAGCUGAAAAAAUUAACAAUUUUGGUGGGAUUUUGUUUCUUUUAAUGAGGUAUCUCUAUCUAUCUAUAUCGAUUUUGAAAUGAAAUCCAUCCAAAUUGAUGACAUUUUAUAAAUUUCAAGCAAUGGUAAUAGAGUAUUAGAAAAAGAGUGUCAAUUUUUUUUGCUAAUAUUCCUUAAAAAAAUAAGAUCGUAUGAGUUUUUUAGGUAGAAGCACUUUGGACAUUUAUUACCAAUCCAACUUUGAUUUUUUUAUUUAUUUAUUAUUCACUACGGUGUGUUUGGAUCAACUGAAAAAAGUAGGUUAUUUUAAUAUUUGAUUAUAUUAAUAACAAUUAUUGGUAUAAUACAUUAUAAUCCGAAUAAGUUUUUGUUUGAGUUUGUUUCUUGUAAACUUAUAUAUUUUAAGAUAAUUAUUUUUUUAUGGAUGAAGAAAAUAAUUAUUUUUUAAUUAAAAAAAUACCUUUAAUUUUACAAAUUUGAGUUGUUUUUCAAAUUAUAUAAGAUUAACACACUAUAAAAAAACUAAAAUUUUCAAUAUACCGAAUCAUCAUUCAGAUAGUCUCUUCUCUCCAUGUGAAGAGUUAUAAAAAUUCUAUUAAGAAAUAAAAAAACUUCCGGUUGAAGAAGAAUAAUGAAGUCACCUAUAUCCAUGUAAAUCUUGUUUCCUAUCUCUACAAAUAUGAAGGAAUUUUUUAAUUAUUAUUCAAAAAAGUUUCUUCUAUUAUUUUCUCUUGUAUUAUUCACUAAAAAGACUAUAAUAAUAACGGAAUUACGGUUAGAGAGUAAAAAAAAAGAAUUCAAGGUUAACACCAUUGAGGAAAAAAAAAAUCCUUUCUAUUAGAACAUCUAAAAAGUUUUUUAUAUGAUUUUUAGUAAAAUAAAAAAAUAUUAAGCAUAAACAACACAUUGGGAAACAUUCUCGAAAGUUUUGAGUAAAUGAAUGUAACUAACAAGUAGAAAUAAUAAGAUUUCUCUUUUAUCCCAUUUCAUUAAUUCAUUAAGUAUGUAUAAAAAAGCGAUCAAUAUAGAAUCUCUUGCAUACUUAUACUCUUUCUUAUUUCUAUUUGAAAAUUUUUCUUAAUGUUAACAUUCUCGAACAGGUGUUAAGAAAAGUGCUUAAUUAGAUUAGACAUCAUUUACGGAUUCAGAUACAUUAUGUUAUUUAGACAAUUAUUAUAGAUUAAAAUAUUUCUAAAAAUUUUCAUGAUAAUUUGAUAUAAUGUAUUCAUAAUGAUUAUAUUAGUAUUUUAUAAGAAUUUUUCUAAAAUUACCAACCAUUUAUGUUCACAAUUGAAACACAAUUAAAGACCAAUAAAAUUUACUAGAACAAAUAACGUAUUUGUUAGAUUUUAAACUAGAUAUUGGGUUCAUAUAUUUCUAAGCACAAACAAACUAGAACAAAUCCAAGUUGAAUUGCAUCAAAUUUUCUAAAAGGCUAUUAGACAAUGAAUAUAAUCAUUAUUGGUCUUGGUGCUUAUAAUUAUACAAUAAAUAUGAACUUAGCAGACAAAAUGAAAAUUAUUUUUAACUUUAUUAAAAGAUGAGGAAACCAAAAAUUCACCUGGCAGAAGAAACUACUAAUGUACAGAAGCAGAACAAAUCUAAAUCUACAAAAAUGAAACGAAAGCUUGAGUAUAUUGCUGCAUAUACCAUCAAGAAUGAACAGUUAACAUGGCCUAGUGUCAUGAAUAAACACUUAAUCACCCAAAGAACCUAGAAGGAGAACAUAUGAGAUGGAAAUUAAGUCAUUUACCUUUCAACAACCAAGGUCAUGCCAUAAGUUGCUAUCUCAGGAAAUUUCCCGAAGCUAUCAUUAGUUCAUUACCAAACUAUUUAAUUUCAUUGACAUAUGUCUUGCUACCAGAUUUUAUGUAACAAAGAUUUUAAAAGCCUUAUAAAAAGCCAAGAUUGCAUGUGAAUCAAAUCGUAAAAAGGGUACAAUUCAAUAGUUUUGCAAAAAUAUAAUUGUAAUAGCUACAACAUCACAAUACUUCAAUUUCAAACAUGAAAUUAAACAUAUGACUUAAAACAACACUAAAAUUCUUUAUUAUAAUAUGUGGAGCCUCAAAAAAAGAAUUAAAAAGAAAUUACUUCUAUAUAUUGCUAGGAAACAGAAUCAUGAUUCCUCUAAAUCCAAGCUUUCAAACCAUUUUAUAUCCUAUUUAAGUCAAAUCGUUAAAACGUAUCUUUGUAUCCAUUUUAUGAAAGUGAAAUCAUCUUUAAAAUAUUAAUGCUUUAGGCUAAGACAAAUCAUCCCCAUUUUCAUUGCAUCGGUUGGAAAUCAUUGUAGCACCCGGCCAUAUCAAAUAAAUUAGUAUGUAAAGCACUAUUUCUUCCUACUUAGUCUAACCAAAAUUAAUUAAAAUGAAUAGGAGAUUUGUUUUAAUUAGAGUUAGAGUCCUACAUUACAAAUUGAGAUUAUUUGAUUCAUUAAUAAAUUUUAAGAGCCAAACAUUUCACAAAAUUAAUCUUAUGUGUUUAACCCAUGAUAACCGAUAAAUAUGGAUUAUUUUUUAUAAUAAAAAUAUAUUAAAAAUAUCUUUAAAAAUAUUUAUUUAAUAAUUAUUUUUAGCUUAAAUAUUAUGAAUUGAUAUUUUUUUCUAUUUAUAACUUACAUGUAUGAAAAAGAGGAAUUAAAAAAGAAAAAAAGAUUAAAAAAUAUAAAAAAUAUAAAUAAGAAAAAUGUUGACAUUAAACCCAAGUCUAAGGAAAACAAUCACGUUAACCAUUCUAAGAUUGAGAACUCUCUCAACCUAUUUUUUUUUGUAUUUUAAAUUAAUUCCUAUCUCUGUCUGUCAAUUAAAUUUAUAUUAAUUUAAGUAUAAAUAAAAUUAAUACUUAAAUUUUUUAAUAUUUUACUAUUUAAGAUAAUUUGAUGCAUUUAUGAAUGAGUUACCAACCCACUCAUACACUACAAUUAUUCCCUUGAAAUUCAGCUAUUAACAAUGAAGAAUUGGCCCUAUAUAGUAGCAGAAGUGGAUAUAUACCGAUAGGGGAGGAUAGCAAAAGCCAUUCAAAAACAAAGAAAAACAUAAUAUGUAGCUUUAUCCAUGUAUUAGGAUCAUAUUCGUGUAGCAUUAAAAGAACAAAGUUUUUUCAGUGACAAACUCCUAAAAGCAUCAUGUCAAAGCCGUAGAAUCAACGAGCAUCCCAUAAAUAAAAAUAAAUAAAAUCACCAUAUUCAUGCACAAUUACACGUAGAAAUUAAUAAAAUCUUGUCCCCCGACAUCCGUACAACAAGAUAACGAAGAAAAAUCUGGUUGAAGUCUACCAUAAACCCAAGGCCUUCAAUCCAAAACAUAUUGCAUUAAAUCAGGAGUUUCAACUUUCAAGCUAUUAAUCCAAUUAAGAUUUUAUAUCCUUUUUUUUAAUAUUCAACUUGAGCUAUCUGUCUCCAUUAUUAAAUCUUUAAAGUUCUGAAAAUGAAAAUUCAUCAUCCCUAUAGAACACAAAAUAAUACAGAUAGACAAGUGCAAGUUAUUACACAAAGUUGAUAUUCAAACUAUACAAUAAAAAGAGGAUCGAAUGACAAUAAUGAGAGUGAUUAAAAAAAUAUACAAAUUCAAGGUCAUGACAACUCUGAUUCUGUGAAAAGGGAAGUCCAAAUGAAUGAAGAAUAAAAGACACUCAUUACCUAGUGUUUAGUUAACUUUCUGCUAGAAAUACUCUUACUUCGAGCCACAUCAGGUGCCAACUAAUUCUAUUUCUGCUCUGAGAAACUACCAUAAAAAUUUGUUUGGGAAUCCACAACCCUACCACCUUUUUCUGCAAACCCCUAAUUGAAAAGAGAGUAUAAUAAACACAAAAAGCUUGUGGGGAAAAUUAAAAGAGAGGGAGAGGGAGAGGGAGAGAGCACGAGAGAAAAAUUAAAAUUAAAAUAAUAUUUUUAGGAUAGUUGUAAAUAUUGUAUCAUGUACCAUAGAAAUGAUUAUAAAUGUAUCUAGAUUCAUGUACUUGUCCCUAUAAAAGACUAAUAUUUUUAACAGAAAAUAAAAAAAAAAGAGUUAAAAUGAAACCAUAAAAAUUUAAAAUAAAACUUUUAAAAUUUGAUAUACUAAAUCAGAAAAGAAAAAUACUAAAAUAUAAACGAUGAAAAUAUUUUUUUUUAAAACUUAAUAUUCCUAAAAAUAAAAUAAAAAAAUACAAAGAACCAAAAGUAAUAUAUAUCUGGAGGCCUAAAUGCCAAAAACAAUCACACAACUAAAACGAAAAGGCAUCAUCUGGAUGGGGCAACGCAUUCAACAACUAAUGAUACUCCAAAUUAAAUGAGUAAAUUUAUAAAUGUACAAUCCAUUUUUGUGUGGAUUGGACAAGGCAAUUAAGAGAGAUGUGAUAUCAUAGCAAAUAUAGAUAUUAAAAAAUAUAAGAUGAAAGAGAAUGAGUUUUAAGUAGGAUGUAUGUUUAUAAUGAUAACUCCUAAUACUAUUCUUCCUAAGCUCAUAAAUCCAUAACAUCCAAGUUUGUGUGAAACAUAAGACUUAGACUUGGUGUAUAUUUGAAUUAAAGUUGACGAUUUUAAUAUUAUAGUAGUUUUAUUGUAUAAGUUCAAGAAGGACUUUGGUCUUGCUUUUUUGUAAAUUUGAUUUCGAAUAUAAGUGUGUAAACAUACUCUUAAAGAUAACUAAACAUACUCUUAAAGAUAACUAAAUAUAUCAUAUGAAAUAAAAAUGAGUUUAUGCUCCAAACCAAGUUUAAAACACCAAAAUAAAAUCCAAACAUGUUGAUAUCGAUGUUAUUAAUAGUCUAAUGCAAAAGAAGCAAAUCGUAGACAGAAAAUGAUAACUAAAAGCAUUCACCAAAGCCCACCAUGGCAAAAGUUGUGAUUAGUAUAUAAUGUUGGAGCAUGUUGUGCUUAUUAGAAAUCGAAAGCUCCACCUUUGGUUUCUUUGAUGACAAUAUAUAAGAGUGCCGUUGAGGUAGGUGACGUUGUAGUAGAAAUUCAUGUCGGGGACAACACAUCGUGGUAGCACCUACUGAUGGGGUGACAACACAUCUUUAGCAGGACAAUUAAAGAAUAGUCGAUGAAGAACAAUUGAAUAAAAAGCAAAAAAGAAUCACCAAUUCGAAACAAAUAGUAUAGCACUGCACUACUAACUCACCCCAUCAACCGCAAGUGGCAAAUGACUCCAAACCCAAAACAAUGAAGAAAAUAACCAUUAGUUAAAAUUCGUGAAAUGGGAAUAUCUGAGUAUAAAAUUACAACUAAUCUGAAGGAAUCUGCUAAACAACCUAAUCUUCUAUCAUUUUCAUUUGAUAUUUAAAUUAUUGACUGCUGAAACAAAACUCAUAAAAGAUAAAAUCUGCAACAAUAAUAAUAGAACUCUAUCUAAAACUUAUUCAAAAUUCAAAUAAGGCAGGUCUCAUAUCUUAGCUAGACANNNNNNNNNNNNNNNNNNNNNNNNNNNNNNNNNNNNNNNNNNNNNNNNNNNNNNNNNNNNNNNNNNNNNNNNNNNNNNNNNNNNNNNNNNNNNNNNNNNNCUGGUUCUAAUGUCACGACAGGGGACAUACGCCUCAAAGGUGCCAUAUGGUCGCUGCCGAGUGAAAACGAGAGCCUGUCGUGGGAGGACGGAGUUUUGGACUUGGAGAGUGCGGCGAUGCAUCAGAUAGGGCAUCUUCUAGGGCUUGACCACUCUAACAAAGAGGACUCUGUUAUGUACCCUAACGUAUUGCCAUGGCAGCAACGAAAGGUGGAGCUCUCGGUUUCUGAUAUGGAAAACAUUCAGCGUCACUACACUAACGGCAUCUCUGGCCACAGUGGGCGUUGGGGAGUGCUUUUAAUGAAUAUCUUGUCUCUUGGAUUUGCUUACGAGCUUCUUUAAUUUUGUAUUGGUAUUUGGGUUUAUGAGCUUUUGGGAACAAUUUCAUGACUGUUGACUUGAGUAUAAUGCAUGUGUUCCCCAAACCAGGCAUGACAAUCAAACCCAUAUCCGUGAUAUUGUUCAAAGAAAAUACACGUACCUUAAAAGAAAAUACUCUGGGAGCCAGAACAAAUUAAAUCUUACUAUAUAUUAACUACCUUUUUUAUAUUUUUAAUUUUGGAUAAAAAUAUUUUUACUCCAUCUGAAAUAUGGGAAAUUUAAAAUUAGUCUCUUUAAAUUUUUUUGUCUCAAUGUCUCUAAAAUUUUAACAUGUUAUUUCAUUUAGCAUGUUAAUUAGUUUGUUACUAAACAAUGUAUCUAACACCUUAUGAUCACCAAUUUUUCAUUUUCUGUCAGUUCACCCUGUGACAUUUUUUCACUUUCUUUGGCCAUUCUUAGGGAUUCUUGGAGCAUCAUUCACCUCUUGAUCAUGGCGCACUUGAUGCCUUGGAUUUUUUGGAGGUUUAAAAUGCAUGGGCUGGGAUUUUUGAAGAUCAAGGUUAUUGUCACCUAAACACGUGGUUUUCUUUUCUAUUUCUACCAUCUUAAAAUACUUUUAUGCUUGUAUUUAUUGAUCUUAGUUUGGGGUUUGAAUUUCUUUUUAUCAUGACCAUCUAAGCUUAUAUUAUGAGGGAUGUUGUGACUUGAAUAUUAUGAAUUUUUCUAAUGUGUUGUGUAUAUUUGUCUUAUUGUACUUAAUUUUGAGUUUGGGAAUUGACUUUAAAGUGUUAAUUAAUAGACUAAUUAGUAACCAUCCAUAGAGACGUUCCCUAAUGUUCCAUUCAAUUAAUUAUACUUUUAGUAGUUUUUAACCUGUGAAGUUCAAAUAAUUAAGACGAAAAAAAUAGCAAAAGAAAUAUAUUAAAUGGCCACAACAUAGGGGACGUACGGUGCUUUAACUUUGAUAUUAUUAGCAUAAUCUUUUAACAAAUUGAGUUAAUGAGUCAAUUACGUUAUAAAAUAAAUAAUGUUACUAUACGUAAUAUUAAAAUUUCUAAUGUAUAUUUAAUACGGAUGUAAAUUUAAAUAAUAAAUUUUGUGACAAUUAAUUUUGAUAUAAGUCAUACAAAUUAUUUAAUUCGUAUAAUUUAUAUCAAAAUUAAUUGUAAUAAAAUUUAUUAUUUAAAUUUAUAUGCGUAUUAAAUAUACAUUAGAAAUUUUAGUGUUAUGUAUAGUAACAUUAUUUAUUUUAUAACAUAAUUGAUUCAUUAACUCAGUUGAUUAAAGCGUUAUGUUAAUAACCUGAAAAUUUACAGAAGAAUUUUUUUUUUGUAAGAGUUACGAGUGAAGGACAAGGCAAAAUUAGAAAAAUAAAAAAAUACUGGGUACAUCAGAAAUACUAUUGAUACACCUAGCAACACUCUUUUAGAAGGUAGCUUAAUAUAGAACUUAGCUAAGAAGUAAAUAAAUGUUUGUUAAAAAUUAUUUUUCUUUCACGAUCGAACUCAAAUAAUUUAAUUUUAUUUUCAACACAUUAAUCAUUUUAUUUUAUGUUGAAUCAUUUGAUUUCAAGUCAUAUGUUCUUAUCAAUCCUUAUCAAUGAAGUUUUCUCAUAUGUUAAAAAAAAGCCCCGAAAAUAAAGAAGGGCAAAAAAAGAAAGGGCCUCAAUAAAUGGAGAUAGAAAAAAAUAGUGAGUUCAUACAAGCAAGCCUUCGGUGAAUGCCACUUUAUCAAUCCAGAAAAGUACGAUUGCUCGAAAGGAUAAAUAUAUUUAGAUGCCGAAAAUACUAUUAUACACCUAUUAAAAAAGAGUGAAUUUUAUAAGUAUAUUAAAUAUAUGAUGUGAUGUGAGAAGAAGAAAAAAAAGAAAUGUUAAAAAACUAUUUAAAAUAAUGGAGUAUUCAAAAAUAACAUAUUUAGUACUUGGGCAAAUUUCCCCAUUUGGGGUACUUUUAAAAAGUAUUUUCCCAGAUGGGAUUGUUUUAAAAGAUUUUUCGGCAGGGGACUGUUUUGCACGUAAAAUGCAUGCAUGUUCCAAGCAAACUGCCAGUGAGACUGGCGAGUUUGCUCUCCAUGAACAAAUAACAGGUAAUAAUGGCGAUACUGCCAUGCAUAGGAAACCGCCAGUUUGACUGGCGAGUUCCACUAGGUAGGGCUUCAGCUUUGCAACAGGGAGCUCAGGAGCUCAGGCUUUUGCAGGAUGCAGGCGUGACAGGGAAAUCGUCACUCCUAUAGGCGAGUUAGUCUAAAGUGGAGUUGCCAAUGGUAUUGGCGAGUUAGGUGGGAGGUGCCACCUGCAUUGGCGAUUUAGCGUGUAAAUAUAGGUCCUUUUACGUUGCAGUUUCAGUGUGUGUUGCACUUUUUUAAAAGCUCUCAACUCAAAAUUUCCUUCUUCUCACGUAGUUUCAGUGUGUGUUACACUUUUUUAAAAGCUCUCAGCUCAAAAUUUCCUUCUUCUCACGUUUACAUUUGUUUUGUCAUAAGCUUUCCAAAUUUGGUGGUUCAGGUUUAAUUUGUAGCAUCAAUAUUUUCAGUCAAGUAAUUUUUUUUUAAUGUGAAGUUUUGAAUAAUUUUUUUAAUUAAAUUAGCUUUAUAUUUCUUAUGGUUGUUGGUGUGUGUUUAAAAUAAAAGAAAUUUGUACCAUCAUCUUUAUUUGAAGAAAAUAUUGAGUCCAAAAAUUGUAUUUUGAAUUUCAAGUUUUUAUUAUAUUUUUAAUUAGAUUAGGUUAGUUUUGAUGUUUUGUUAUUGUGUUAAAAAUUGAUCAAGUGUAUACUUUUAAAAGAUUUUAAAACUGAAAAAUUUUGUACCAUCAUAUUUAUUUGAAGUAUUUUGAGUGUGGAAUUUUUUUUAAUAUGAGGUUGUAGUAAUAUUUUUUUUAAAUUACUUUAGGUUGAUGUUAAUGAUUUGUUGGUAUGUGGUAAAAAUUAAUGAGCGUUGAACUUGAAUGGUAUUUUAAAUUUUAAUAUGAAGUGUGUAGUAUAUAAUUAAUAUGUGUACUUUUAAAGUGUUGUUUAGUUCAGCGUUUUUAAAUUUAUACUUUUAAGUCUAUGACAUCAUUUUUAUUUUAAUGUAUUUAUAGUAAUUUUGUAAUUACGUUUAUUUAUUUAGAAUUUAUUAUUGUUAACAUUAAUUAUUUAUAAUACUAACUUUGGUUAUGGUUUAUUUUGCCUUUAAAAUUAGUUCGUUGGAAUCGUUUAUAUUUUUUAAGUGUGUACCAUUAUAUUUAUUUAAAGUUAAUAUUUUUUGUAUAUAAUAAAAUUAUAAUGUGAAGUUCCAGCAAUGGGAUUUUUUGUGAUUUCAUUUUGUUAUUUUGAAUUUAUUAUGAUUAAUUAUUUAAAAUAUUGUUUUUGUAGGUACAUCAUGAAUUCAGUUAUAAUAGUAUUAUAUUUCAAUGAAAGGGUAUAUGAAGAUAAUGAUGGUGUAAGAUUUGAAGACAAUAAAAAAGCGAUUCAGAUUAAACGUGGAAUUAGUUUCAAUGUUUUGAAGAAAAAAAUUGGAGAUAAUGUAAAGUUAGAAAAUAAUGAAAUUAUUUGUGCUAUCAGUUGUAGAUUUUUAGUGUCUGAAAAAUAUGUUGCGUUACAAAUUUGUGAUGACGAAGAUGUUGAAACCAUGCUCAAAAGUUUUAAACAACAAGAUCAAAUGUCAGCUUUGAAAUUGACAACAAAAAUUUUACAUUAAAAAAAUUAACUACACUUACAAAAAAUCAAUUGAAUAUACAUACCACAUAAUUAAAAUCUGAAUAAAUAACAAAAUACAUCAAUUUGAACAAAUAACAAAAUUAAAAAUAACAAUACGUACACAAAUUUCAAUAAAUGCUCUAAAAUACUCUACAAAUAACAAAAUUACAAAUUAAACACGUACAUAAAUUUAACACAACAAAACUUAAAAUAUUACCUAAAAUACUCUACAAAUAACAAAAUUAAAAAUUACAUGCCUACACAAAUUUAAAUAAAUGACCAAAUUAAAAUACAUAACAAAAUUAAAAAUUUAAACACGUACAUAAAUUUAAUACAAAAUAACUUAAAAUACUACCUAAAAUACUCUACAAAUAACAAAAUUAAAAAUUAAAUAACUACAUAAAUUUAAAUAAAUGACCAAAUUAAAAUACAUAACACAAAAUUAAAAAUUAAAUACCUACACAAAUUUAAAUAAAUGACCAAAUUAAAAUACAUAACAAAUUUAAAAAUUUAAACACGUACAUAAAUUUAACACAAAAAAACUUAAAAUACUACCUAAAAUACUCUACAAAUAACAAAAUUAAAAAUUAACAUACCAACAUAAAUUUAAAUAAAUGACCAAAUUAAAAUACGUACAUAACAAAAUUAUAAAAUAAAACACGUACAUAAAUUUAACACAACAAAACUUAAUUUACUAACUAAAAUACUCUACAAAUAACAAAAUUAAAUAUUAAAAUACCUACAUAAAUUUAAAUAAAUGACCAUAUUUUUUUUCCAAUUAUUAAAAUUUAAAUUAAAUAACAUAUAUUAUACACAAAAAAUGGUAAUAAAUCAAAAAAUUACUAUGGGAUAAAAAAAUUAAGCGAUCUAUAUAUAUAAAAUUAAUAAAGUAUCAUAUAUUUCAAUAAAAACUAUAAAUAAGUAAACUAAAUACUAUUCACAUUCUAACUAAACCUAAAAUACCAUAUAUAUAAUACAAAAAAUAUCAUACAAACCUAAUAAAUCUAAACCAAAUAAUAAUAACAUAACAACUAAAAUUAACGUACAAAUAAUUUUAUCACAAAUAAUAACAUAAAUUUAAAAAAACCUAACUUAACUAAUAUUAACAUAUCAACUAAAAUUACCAAGUUAAAAAACACUUACUAACAGAGAAAUCACAUAAUAGGAAGAGGAGAGAAACCACGUAAUAGGAAGAACAAAGCACUGUCCUACAAACAUAAACAAACCUAACGUAAAUAAUUUUCAUAUAUCAACUACAAUUAAGUUAAUAUAUAUAUAUAUAUAUAUAUAUAUAUAUAUAUAUAUAUAUAUAUAUAUAUAUAACACAACAAAUAUUUACCAUUAAAAAAUACUUACCAAGAAGAAAAAGCAGAACAAAAUAAGAACACCACAAUGUACUGCAGGAACUUAUGAAGAAGAGGAAGAAAGCAAUGCAAGGAAGCAGCUGCGGAAUCCGUCAUGGAGCUUCUUCUUUUAUAAUGCAACAUUUUUCAAUUACCACAACUCGCCAGCCACGCUAACGAUUUCCGUCAAAUGCAAAUUGCCAUCCCUAUUGGUGGUUCCCUCCUGCACUGCUGACCACUGAACCCUGCACACCUGCAUGGCCUGACGGACUCCUGCAAAGCUGCAUGGCCUGACUCCUGCAAAGCUGGACCUCCUGAGCCUACCUAGUGGAACUCGCCAGUCAAAUUGGCGGGUCCCUAUGCAUGACAGUAUCACCAUUACCACAACUCGCCAGCCACUCUAACGAUUUCCGUCAAAUGCAAAUUGUCAUCCCUAUUGGUGGUUCCCUCCUGCACUGCUGACCACUGAACCCUGCACACCUGCAUGGCCUGACGGACUCCUGCAAAGCUGCAUGGCCUGACUCCUGCAAAGCUGGACCUCCUGAGCCUACCUAGUGGAACUCGCCAGUCAAAUUGGCGGGUCCCUAUGCAUGACAGUAUCACCAUUGCUACUUGCGAUUUGUUCACGGAGAGCAAACUCGCUAGUUCCACUGGCGAUUUGCGUGGUGCAUGCAUGCAAAACAUGUAAAUAACAGCCCCCUCUCGGAAAAACUUUAAAAAGGACCCCAUCUGGGACAAUACUUUUUAAAAGUACCCAAAAUGAGAAAUUUGCCUAGUACUUGAUCCUUUUUUCUCUUUGAAGAGGAUGAGCUCGAGAUUCACUUAUGAUCCUUGUGUUUAUUAUAAAAUUUAGUCCAUUAAUCAAGUUUGAAUCAAUAAGUUAUAUAUUAGUUCGAAUAAGAUUAGACUCAGUAUUCUAUAUUUAUUUUUUCAUGUGUAUUUUUUUAUAUAUUAAAAAGUUGUAGCAUAGUUCCAAAUAUAUUAAUUUUAUGACUUACUCAAAAUUGUUUUAAAUUUUAAAAAUAACUAUUUUUUUUAAUAAAAAAUUAGGGGUGGCAUAAGAGAAAGGUCUAAGCAUAGUAAAAAAAAAAUUAAAAAAUGCUUUUCUCACGAUGCAUAAGAAAAUGUCCCUUAUGCAUUUUCUUAUGAUCGAUUGAUUAGUUGGAGCAAACAAAAAUGAGAAAAAAUGCUCCACAAAAUAAUUCAAUCAUGUAUUUUUUUAAAAUUUCUUAAAAAUUUCUAGCAUAGUUCCAUAUAUAUUAAUUUUAAUUAUGACUAAAAUAGUUUAAAUAUAAAAAACUAUUUAUCUUUUAGAAAUAUCUUUAAAAUAAUUAAACAAAUAAUAAUUUAAGUGAAUAAAACAAAAAAAAGUUAUAAAAAAUAAUUUUAAAAGAUUUUUGUGGAUAAAUGAGAGGGGGUAUUUUGAAAUAAUUAAAAAAUAUUAAUUUUUUAAAAUACUGUAAUGGAUUAAUUGGAUAUUCAUCCAUAAAAAUGUUAAUUAAUGCAUUUAUUAAAUUGAUCAUGAACACAUUAAGUUUGUUUUAUGAAUUUUGAAUGGAUAUUCAUAAAUGAAAUUGUGGUAUUUUUGCUAAUGAUAAUAUUUUUUCUCAUCAUUAUAUGUAGUUCAUCUCUCUUCUAAGAAGGUAAAAAGUUAUGCUUUGUUUGACAUGUUGUGGUAUGGUCUACUUUGAUUAUGCAUAACAAAAUUGUGUUUCAAGGCGUUUUCUUUUGACUUUAAUGGUGUUUUGUACUUGAUAAAAAAGGUUGUUUUGUAGACAUGGUAUGAGACUAUGAGCAAUACUGUCCGUUCUUUUUUAAUUAGUGUAUUGAUCAUGUAAUUUAUCUUUAUUUGUUCCUUUGGUUUUGCAUUAAUUGUAAUACAUAUGUAUUAGGAUUGGAAUACCCAUUGUACUCUUUUUCUUAAAAUAAAUAAAUAAAUAAAACUUUGCUUUUAAAAUAAAUGUACGUUAGCCGCACUCUCUUUUUAAUAUUUUCUCUUAUACCAUUAGCUGAAAAAAUUAACAAUUUUGGUGGGAUUUUGUUUCUUUUAAUGAGGUAUCUCUAUCUAUCUAUAUCGAUUUCGAAAUGAAAUCCAUCCAAAUUGAUGACAUUUUAUAAAUUUCAAGCAAUGGUAAUAGAGUAUUAGAAAAAGAGUGUCAAUUUUUUUUGCUAAUAUUCCUUAAAAAAAUAAGAUCGUAUGAGUUUUUUAGGUAGAAGCACUUUGGACAUUUAUUACCAAUCCAACUUUAAUUGUUUUUUUAUUUAUUAUUCACUACGGUGUGUUUGGAUCAACUGAAAAAAUUAGGUUAUUUUAAUAUUUGAUUAUAUUAAUAACAAUUAUUGGUAUAAUACAUUAUAAUCCGAAUAAGUUUUUGUUUGAGUUUGUUUCUUGUAAACUUAUAUAUUUUAAGAUAAUUAUUUUUGUAUGGAUGAAAAAAAUAAUUAUUUUUUAAUUAAAAAAAUACCUUUAAUUUUACAAAUUUGAGUUGUUUUUCAAAUUAUAUAAGAUUAACACACUAUAAAAAAACUAAAAUUUUCAAUAUACCGAAUCGUCAUUCAGAUAGUCUCUUCUCUCCAUGUGAAGAGUUAUAAAAAUUCUAUUAAGAAAUAAAAAAAACUUCCGGUUGAAGAAGAAUAAUGAAGUCACCUAUAUCCAUGUAAAUCUUGUUUCCUAUCAAAUCGUAAUAGCUACAACAUCACAAUAGUUUUGCAAGAUUGCAUGUGAAUCAAAUCGUAAAAAGGGUACAAUUCAAUAGUUUUGCAAAAAUAUAAUUGUAAUAGCUACAACAUCACAAUACUUCAAUUUCAAACAUGAAAUUAAACAUAUGACUUAAAACAACACUAAAAUUCUUUAUUAUAAUAUGUGGAGCCUCAAAAAAAGAAUUAAAAAGAAAUUACUUCUAUAUAUUGCUAGGAAACAGAAUCAUGAUUCCUCUAAAUCCAAGCUUUCAAACCAUUUUAUAUCCUAUUUAAGUCAAAUCGUUAAAACGUAUCUUUGUAUCCAUUUUAUGAAAGUGAAAAUCAUCUUUAAAAUAUUAAUGCUUUAGGCUAAGACAAAUCAUCCCCAUUUUCAUUGCAUCGGUUGGAAAUCAUUGUAGCACCCGGCCAUAUCAAAUAAAUUAGUAUGUAAAGCACUAUUUCUUCCUACUUAGUCUAACCAAAAUUAAUUAAAAUUAAUAGGAGAUUUGUUUUAAUUAGAGUUAGAGUCCUACAUUACAAAUUGAGAUUAUUUGAUUCAUUAAUAAAUUUUAAGAGCCAAACAUUUCACAAAAUUAAUCUUAUGUGUUUAACCCAUGAUAACCGAUAAAUAUGGAUUAUUUUUUAUAAUAAAAAUAUAUUAAAAAUAUCUUUAAAAAUAUUUAUUUAAUAAUUAUUUUUAGCUUAAAUAUUAUGAAUUGAUAUUUUUUUCUAUUUAUAACUUACAUGUAUGAAAAAGAGGAAUUAAAAAAGAAAAAAAGAUUAAAAAAUAUAAAAAAUAUAAAUAAGAAAAAUGUUGACAUUAAACCCAAGUCUAAGGAAAACAAUCACGUUAACAUUAUUAAGAUUGAGAACUCUCUCAACCUAUUUUUUUUUUGUUAUUUUAAAUUUAAUUUCUUAUCUCUUGCCUGUCAAUUAAAUUUAUAUUAAUUUAAGUAUAAACAAAAUUAAUACUUAAAUUUUUUAAUAUUUUACUAUUUAAGAUAAUUUGAUGCAUUUAUGAAUGAGUUACCAACCCACUCAUACACUACAAUUAUUCCCUUGAAAUUCAGCUAUUAACAAUGAAGAAUUGGCCAUAUAUAGUAGCAGAAGUGGAUAUAUACCGAUAGGGGAGGAUAACAAAAGCCAUUCAAAAACAAAGAAAAACAUAAUAUGUAGCUUUAUCCAUGUAUUAGGAUCAUAUUCGUGUAGCAUUAAAAGAACAAAGUUUUUCAGUGACAAACUCCUAAAAGCAUCAUGUCAAAGCCGUAGAAUCAACGAGCAUCCCAUAAAUAAAAAUAAAUAAAAUCACCAUAUUCAUGCACAAUUACACGUAGAAAUUAAUAAAAUCUUGUCCCCCGACAUCCGUACAACAAGAUAACGAAGAAAAACCCCGGUUGAAGUCUAUCAUAAACCCAAGGCCUUCAAUCCAAAACAUAUUGCAUUAAAUCAGGAGUUUCAACUUUCAAGCUAUUAAUCCAAUUAAGAUUUUAUAUCCUUUUUUUUAAUAUUCAACUUGAGCUAUCUAUCUCCAUUAUUAAAUCUAUAAAGUUCUGAAAAUGAAAAUUCAUCAUCCCUAUAGAACACAAAAUAAUACAGAUAGACAAGUGCAAAUUAUUACACAAAACUGAUAUUCAAACUAUACAAUAAAAAGAGGAUCGAAUGACAAUAAUGAGAGUGAUUAAAAAAAUAUACAAAUUCAAGGUCAUGAUGACAACUCUGAUUCUGUGAAUAGGGAGGUCCAUAUGAAUGAAGAAUAAAAGCCAGUCAUUACCUAGUGCUUAGUUAACUUUCUACUAGAAAUACUCUUCCUUCGGGUCACAUCAGGUGCCAACUAAUUCUACUUCUGCUCUGAGAAACUACCAUAAAAAUUUGUUUGGGAAUCCACAACCCUAACACCUUUUUCUACAAACCCCUAAUUGAAAAGAGAGUAUAAUAAACACAAAAAGCUUGUGGGGAAAAUUAAAAGAGAGGGAGAGGGAGAGAGCGCGAGAGAAAAAAUAAAAUUAAAAUAAUAUUUUUAAGAUAGUUUUAAAUAUUGUAUCAUGUACCAUAGAAAUGAUUAUAAAUGGAUCUAGAUUUAUGUCCUUGUCCCUGUAAAAGACUAAUAUUUUUAACAAAAUAAAUAAAAAAGUUAAAAUGAAACUAUAAAAAUUUAAAAUAAAACUUUUAAAAUUUAAUAUACUAAAUCAGAAAAGAAAAAUACUAAAAUAUAAACGAUGAAAAUAAUUUUUUUAAAACUUAAUAUUCCCUAAAAAUAAAAUAAAAAAUCCAAAGAACCAAAAGUACUAUAUAUCUGGAGGCCUAAAUGCCACAAACAAUCACACAACUAAAACGAAAAGGCAUCGUAUGGAUGGGGCAACGCAUUCAACAACUAAUGAUGCUCCAAAUUAAAUGAGUAAAUUUAUAAAUGUACAAUCCAUUUUUGUGUGGAUUGGACAAGGCAAUUAAGAGAGAUGUGAUAUCAUAGCAAAUAUAGAUAUUAAAAAAUAUAAGAUGAAAGAGUAUGAGUUCUAAGUAGGAUGUAUGUUUAUAAUGAUAACUCAUAAUACUAUUCUUCCUAAGCUCAUAAAUCCAUAACAUCCGAGUUUGAGUGAAACAUAAGACUUAGACUUGGUGUAUAUUUGAAUUAAAGUUGACGAUUUUAAUAUUAUAGUAGUUUUAUUGUAUAAGUUCAAGAAGGACUUUGGUCUUGCUUUUUUGUAAAUUUGAUUUCGAAUAUAAGUGUGUAAACAUACUCUUAAAGAUAACUAAACAUACUCUUAAAGAUAACUAAAUAUAUCAUAUGAAAUAAAAAUGAGUUUAUGCUCCAAACCAAGUUUAAAACACCAAAAUAAAAUCCAAACAUGUUGAUAUCGAUGUUAUUAAUAGUCUAAUGCAAAAGAAGCAAAUCGUAGACAGAAAAUGAUAACUAAAAGCAUUCACCAAAGCCCACCAUGGCAAAAGUUGUGAUUAGUAUAUAAUGUUGGAGCAUGUUGUGCUUAUUAGAAAUCGAAAGCUCCACCUUUGGUUUCUUUGAUGACAAUAUAUAAGAGUGCCGUUGAGGUAGGUGACGUUGUAGUAGAAAUUCAUGUCGGGGACAACACAUCGUGGUAGCACCUACUGAUGGGGUGACAACACAUCUUUAGCAGGACAAUUAAAGAAUAGUCGAUGAAGAAAAAUUGAAUAAAAAGCAAAAAAUAAUAUAUAUAUAUAUAUAUAUAUAUAUAUAUAUAUAUAUAUAUAUAUAUAUAUAUAUAUAUAUAUAUAUAUAUAUAUAUAUAUACCUUUCUAAUUAAAUAUUUUAAUAAUAUAAUAAAAUAAAAUAGUAAAUUAUAAAUUUAAAAAUACUAAAAUAAGUAAAUCUAAUAAUAUAUUACUAUGGGAUGAUAAUUUACUGAUGUUAUAGUAAUGAUAAACCAUUUUUAUCUUAAAUUUAAUAUUAUUAGAAAAUAAUAAAAACAUGUUAAACAAUAAUAAAUAUAAAAUAAUCUAAAUGAUUAAUUGUUGUUAUUAUGAAUCAUUUUCAAUGAAAAAUAUGAAUGAUAUCUUUUAUCUUCUUAGCUUUAAUGGUAGUUUUAUGUAGUUUUAGAAUAACCUAACUUUUAACCCUCUUACAAUUGAAAAAUAGUAAUAUAUAGAGGAAAUGAGGCUUAACUUGGGAACAAUAUAUAUUUAAAUACAAUAAAGUAUAAUCAGCAUUUGUGGUAUAAAUCUAGUCGGAAUCAUGUCUGUUUUCGUCAUGCAGGGGCAUAACAUUAGGCCUUCUAAUAAAAUGGUAAAUAUUAUUUUAUCCGUAUAUAAUACAUUCGUUGUUGGAGGAAGACAUAUUUUUACCAUAAUUUCUUAAAAAAAUAAAUCACUCAAUAAAGUGUUUCCUCCCAAGUCGUAAGAAAAUAAUCAAGCUAUAGAUGCGCUACGAAAUUAAUGUUUUGUAAAAUGAAAUAUAUAAAUAGGAAGAACUUGUAAAAAAAAAAAAUAGAGAUAAACAAUGAAGAAAAUAACCAUUAGUUAAAAUUCGUGAAAUGAGAAUAUCUGAGUAUAAAAUUACAACUAAUCUGAAGGAAUCUGCUAAACAACCUAAUCUUCUAUCAUUUUCAUUUGAUAUUUAAAUUAUUGACUGCUGAAACAAAACUCAUAAAAGAUAAAAUCUGCAACAACAAUAGAACUCUAUCUAAAACUUAUUCAAAAUUCAAAUAAGGCAGGUCUCAUAUCUUUAGCUAGACAAGAAGAUAUACUAUGAGGGCACUACUGACCCCGACCCUAUCACGUGCAUGCAUAUGAACUAUUAUCUACAAGUUGUCCCCACUGCCCAAGAACGAGAGCAAGUGCCAAAUGGCUCCAGCCCCAAACCACAGCGAGCAACACAAAACCAGUCCCCCAUGCCACUAGCUGUAUAUAUGCAGAUUACAAAAAGAGACGUGCACCACAUACAGAACAAAUUGAUGAAAAGUAUAAUAUAGUAUAUUUAUGAAUCACGAUUAAAAUAAAUUUCUAACAAUUACUUGAUUUUAAAAGCUUUUAUAGUUUUAAUUUCCAAAGGUUAUUAGUUUUAUUAAUAGUUUUUUAUACUCGUAUUAUAUUACAAAUAUAAUAAUGACUAAAUUAAGGUUAAUAUAUAUACCUCCUGAAUAUAUUUUGUAAAAAUACACAAACUUUCUCUAUUUUUUUAUUAUAAAAAAAUAAGGUUGCCAAGCCAUUGUUCAAAUCAAAGGGCGAUCCAAUAGUAGGUGAGAACUAAAAUAAAUUUUUAUUUUUUUUAUUUUAAAUGAAGAAUAAUACGUCGUAUUUUUUAAAUAAAUAUGGUCUUUUUAUUUUAUAAUAGCUAAUAAAAAAUUUAUAGAACUAAAUUUUACUUGUUUUAUUGUUGUUUUCACUCUCAUUCAAAGGAGUAAAAGAAUGAACUUGUCCCCGAUCCGAUAACCACACCCCACGCAGCGUAGUAAAUUUUCUUCAUCAAAAUUAUCUAUGUAAAACUCCAGCAGCAACUGGAAAAAGAUUUCGAUUUCUUUAGUUUCAGUACACCAAAGCACUCUCCAUGCGUGAAGUGAAACUAGAUGGUAUAUUCUGAAAGUGAUCCCGUGGAGAAUUUGGAAGAACAGAGAGGGUAUUCAGACAAAUUAUAGAAGCCACCGAUGAAUCAAUGAGUAGAAUAUGCUUCUUCUUUGAAGAUUAACUAUCCCCACCACGCCUGAAGGACUUAAAAGCUUCUAAAAUAAAUUUAAGAAUGAAUUUUUUUUAUUUAUUUAUAAAACUUAGUGUUCUUAUUUAUCAUUUAAAAAUGACACAUUUUAUUUUAUAAUAAUUUUUUUAAAGUAUAUUAGUACUAAAAAAUAUUUUAAUUUUUUUUUAAAACCUAAAGCCUUUCCUUGAGCUCCUUAGACCUUAAGCCGGUCCUUAUUAUCCCUGGGUGGGCAACUUGUUAAUGAUGAAUUGAAGACCCUUCAAACCUGUGUGCUACCUUAAGUAGGAGUGGAAUAUCAAUUGUUUCCACACUAGGGACAAAACUUCAUCAAACUCAUGAACUUACUCAGUCCCUUCCAGCGUGGAAUUCGCAACAACGACCCUCAGUCAUCUUCCUCUAUAUAUUACUACUCAGCUCUUAUACAUAGACCCACACAGUUAUACAACUCUAGAGAAUCAAGAAAAUUAUUUUAUAUAAAAAUAAUAUAUAUAUAUAUAUAUAUAUAUAUAUAUAUAUAUAUAUAUAUAUAUAUAUAUAUAUAUAUAUAACAUAUAAAUUAAAUAUUUUAACAAUAUAAUAAAGUAAAAUAGUAAAUUAUAAACUAUAAAAUACUUCAACAAUUAAGUUUAAUAAUACAUUAUUAGUGAAUAAUAACCUAUUGAUCUUAUAAUAAUGAUAAAUUAUGCUCAUCUCAAAUUUGUUGUUAUCAGAAAAUAAAACAUAUUUACUCAAAUUUGUUGUUAUUAGAAAACAAAACAUAUGUUAAAUAGUAAAUAUACAUAAAAUAAUCCAAAUAACUUACUGAUGUUGUUAUGAAUCAUUAUGAAUGAAAAAUGUGAAUGUUAUCUUUUAUCUUCUUAGCUUUAAUGAUAGUUUUAUGUAGUUUUAUAGUAACCUAACUUUUAACAUUCUUGCAAUUGAGAAAUAAUAAUGUAUAGAGGAAAUGAGGCUUAACUUGCGAACAAUAUAUAUUUAAAUACAAUAAAGUAUAAUCAGCAUUUGUGGUAUAAAUCUAGUUGGAAUCGCUUCUGUUUUCGUCAUGCAGUGGCAUACCUUUGGGCCUUCUAAUAAAAUGGUAAAUAUUAUUUUAUCCGUAUAUAAUACAUUCGUUGUUGGAGGAAGACAUAUUUUUACCAUAAUUUCUUAAAAACAAUAAAUCACUCAAUAAAGUGUUUCCUCCCAAGUCGCAAGAAUCAAGCUCUAGAUGCGCUAGGAAAUGUUUUGUAAAAUGAAAUAUAUAAAUAGGAAGAACUUGUAAAAAAAUAGAGAUAAACAAUGAAGAAAAUAGCCAUUAAAAUUCAUAAAAUGAGAAUAUCUAAGUAUAAGAUUACAACGAAUCUGGAUGAAUCUGCUAACAACCUAAUCUUCUAUCAUUUUCAUUUGAUAUUUAAAAUAAUUAACUGCUAAAACAAAACUCAUAAAAGAUAAAAUCUGCAACAAUAAUUGAACUCUAUCUAAAACUUAUUCUAAAUUCAAAAUUCAAGUAAGGCAAGUCUCAUAUCUUUAGCGAGAGAAAAGAAAAUACUAUCACGCCAAUACUGACCCCGACCCUAUCAGAUGCAUGAACUUUUAUGGAAAGUUGUCCCCACUCCCCAAACCCAAAACCGCAGCCAGCAACACAAAACCAGUCCCCCAUGCAAUAGCUGUAUAUAUGCAGAUUACAAAAUUAAAAGAGACACCACAGAACAAAUGAAUGAAAAGUAUAAUAGUAUAUUUAUGAACGAAGAUGAAAAUAAAUUUCUAACAAUUAAUUAAUUUUAAAAGCUUUCAUAGUUUUAAUUUGCAAAUGCUAUUAGUUUUAUUAAUAGUAUAUAGAUACUUGUAUUAUAUUACAAAUAUAAUAAUGAAAAAAUUAAGGUUAAUAUGCCUCCUAGAAUAUAUUUUGUAAAAAUACACAAACUUUCCAAAUUUUAUUUUUUAUUUUAAAUGAAAAAUAGUAUGUCGUAUUUUUUAAAUAAAUAUGAUUUUUUUAUUUUAUAAUAGCUAAUAAAAAAAAUUUGGAGAACUAAAAUUUAAAUUUUAGUUAUUUUAUUGUUGUUUUCACUCUCAUUUAAAGGAGUAAAAGAAUGAACUUGUCCCCGAUAACCACGCUACACAGCCUAGUAAAUUUUCUACACCAAAAUGAUCUAUGUAAAACUCCAGCAGCAGCUGGAAAAUACUCCGAUUCCUCUAGUUCCAGGUACACCAAAACACUCUCCAUGCGUGAAGUGAAACUAGAUGGUAUUUGCUGAAAGUGAUCCCGUGGAGAAUUUGGCAGAACAGAGAGGGUAUUCAGACAAAUUAUAGAAACCACCGAUGAAUCAGUGAGUAGAAUAUGCUUCUUCCUUGAAGAUUAACUAUCCCUAGUGGGCAACUUGUUAAUGAUGAAUUGAAGACCCUUCAAACCGUGUGUGCUACCUUAGGUAGGCGUGGAAUAUCAAUUAUUUCCACACUAGGAACAAAACUUCAUUAAACUAAUGAACUUACUCAGUCCCUUCUAGCGUGGAAUUCGCAACAACGACCCUCAGUCAUCUUCCUCUAUAUAUUACUCCUCAGCUCUUAUAUUUAGACGCACACAGUUAUACAGCUCAAGAGAAUUAUCAUACCCUUUAAGAUGAAACCGUACCUACGUCCAAUAUUCCUAUUAUUCCUUAUCCUUCUCGACCAAUCCACUUCGGCGAGUGCUUCUAAGAGUAGGUUUAUAGAAUUCUUUUCAAAAUUAAAGAAUUCUUUUAAUCCUAAGUCUGAAGAACUCAAAUCAAAAGAUAUAAAGAAGCUCCCGAGCGUCGAAUUUUUGAAGAAGAAACAUGACGGAGUUAAGGACUUCUCUCAAGAAGCUAACCUGAAAAUACCAACCUGGAUAGGAAGAAUAAUACGAAACCGGAAAGGAAAGCCGUCCCAGAAACCAAAGCACCCUCCCCCACCGCCAGACUACCGUGUACAACUAAAGUCCGAUCCCCCAGCGCCAAACGCACCACCGAAGCAAAUCAAUAUUAAGGGCCUGUCCGUCGUCAAAGAUUACUUAUCUGACUACGGCUACAUUGAAUCCUCUGGGCCAUUUACCGAUUCUUUCGACCAGGAAAUAAUAUCAGCCAUUAAGACCUACCAGAAUUUUUCCAAUCUUCAAGUUACCGGCGGCCUGAACAAACAGCUUAUUCAGCAAAUGUUGUCCAUACGAUGCGGUGUCCCCGACGUUAACUUCGACUACAACUUCACCGACGACAACAUUUCCUAUCCCAAAGCCGGACACCGCUGGUUCCCAAACAGAAACCUCACAUACGGUUUUCUUCCCGAAAACCAAAUCCCAGACAACAUGACUAAGGUGUUCAGAGAUUCCUUUGCGAGGUGGGCCCAAGCCUCGGGGACUUUGAGUCUCAGGGAGACAACCUACGACAACGCCGACAUCCAGGUAGGGUUCUACAACUUCACUAACUCGAGGAUUGAAGUGUAUGGUGGCAGCACUAUAUUUUUGCAACCGGAUUCUAGUAAGAAAGGGGUGGUACUUCUGGACGGUAACAUGGGCUGGUUACUUCCAAGUGAAAACGCCACACUGUCUAAAGAUGAUGGAGUUUUGGACUUGGAGACUGUGGCGAUGCACCAGAUAGGGCAUCUACUUGGACUUGAUCACUCUCACAAAGAGGACUCUGUUAUGUAUCCUUACAUAUUGUCAUCACAGUCAGAGCAACGAAAGGUGCAGCUUUCCAAUUCUGACAAGGCCAACAUUCACCUUCAGUUUGCUAAGCAUGAUUAGGAUGUGACUUCUCUGCUGCCAAACUCGCAUGACUCAGCAAGCCACGGUGGGGGUUUGGAUGUGCUUUUAGUUACCACUUUCUCUCUUGGAUUUGCUUACGUAUUGCUCCUUUUGUAUUAGUCGUUCCUGUCCCACCUUGCUUUUGGAAUUAUGAGCUUUUUAUAUUUCUGAUUGUUCAAUGUUUAUUGUAUGUGCUCCCCAACCUGUGGUGACUUUUCGGUUUAUUCUCACGUGGCUGUUUCUUAUAGGCCUUUCGACCUCCAAUAUUAAAUAAAAGAUCAUUUUGAGCUUUCUAAUUUUAAUUAUUUUUUAUUUAUAUCUCUUCUAAUAUUAAUAAUAAAUAAUACAAUAUAUAAAUAAAUAAAUGAUUAUAUACAAUUAAUCUUUUAGGAUGAUUAUUAUUUAAAAAUAGAAAAAUAAUAUAUAUUUAUAUAAUGUUAUGAGAGGUCUUUAGUUAUAUGCAGAAUGCACCGUUGGCCACUUAGGAGUUGGGAUUUCAGUAAUUAUUCUUGUGGUGGGUAAAGCUAUAAACUCGGUUUUGUGUAAGUUCCUUUCCUUUCUUGAGGAGUCUAUGGUGGGAAAGAGAAACACCUUUUCCACUGUAAGAAAGUUUUUUAAAACUGGUAUAUUACUUUAGUUUUAAUCUAAUGGCUCAUUUUUUUUUCUUUUUCUCCUUGUAUCUUUUAUUGCUUUUCUUCUUAUCUUUCCUUAUUUGUUCCUUCUCUUUUUUUUCUCCUUCUAUCCAAUCACAAAAUUUUAAAAAUAAAUAUUUUUAAUUAAAAUAUUUAAAAUUCUAAAAAUUCAAAUUUUCUCAGAAUUUUACAUUCGAUCUUUAUCUAAAUACACAAUUAAUCACAUUUAAUUGGAUCAUUAAGGAAUGAUUGCGGCGUUAUGUUUUUUCUUUUGUGUUUCUGUGUGAGUCAUUUGAGCGGUGCUGGAAAUAAGGAAGUAAGAUUUUUUACAUGAGCCUAAGUGCACUCUAGAAACAAUUAUAAAAAGAGAGCAAUCCAUUUCGACGAACUCCCUAAAAGCAUCAUGUCAAAGCCAUAGAAUCAAGGAGCAUCCCAUAAAUAAAAAUAAAUAAAAUCACCAUAUUCAUGCACAAUUACACAUAAAAAUUAAUAAAAUUUUGUCUGUCCCGACAUCCGUACACAAGAUAACGAAGAAAAAUCCGGUUGAAGUCUACCAUAAACCCAAGUCCUUCACACCAAAUCAUAUUGCAUUAAAUCAGGAGUUUCAACUUUCAAGCUAUUAAUCCAAUCAAGAUUUUAUAUUCCUUUUUUUUUAAUAUUCAACUUGAGCUAUCUAUCUCCAUUAUUAAAUCUAUAAUAUUUUGAAAAUGAAAAUUCAUCAUUCCUAUAGAACACAAAAUAAUACAGAUAGUCACGUGUAAGGUAUUACACAAAACUGAUAUUCAAACUAUAUAAUAAAAAGAGGAUCGAAUGACAAUAAUGAGAGUGAUUAAAAAAAUAUACAAAUUCAAGGUCAUGACAACUCUGAUUCUGUGAAUAGGAAAGCCCAAAUGAAUGAAAAAUAAAAGACACUCAUUACCUGACGCUUAUAUGCUAGAAAUACUUUUCCUUAGGUCGUAUCAUGCAUGUGCCAACUAAUUCUGCUAGAAAUACGCUUAGUUUUAAAUAUUGUAUCAUCUACCAUAUAAAUCAUUAUAAAUGAAUCUAGAUUCAUGUACUCAUCCCUAUAAAACAAUAAUAUUUUUAACAGAAAAUAAAAAAAAUUAAAAUGAAACUAUUAAAGAUUAAAAUAAAAUUUUUGAAAUUUAAUAUACUAAAUCAGAAAAAAAAAAAUAUAAACGAUGAAAAUAAUUUUUUAAAAACUUAAUAUUCCUAAAAAUAAAAUUAAAAAAAUACAAAGAACCAAAAGUAAUAUAUAUCCGGAGGCCUAUAAAUGCCAAAAACAAUCACACAACUAAAACGAAAAGGCAUCGUAUGGAUGGGGCAACACAUUGAACAACUAAUGAUGCUCCAAAUUAAAUGAGUAAAUUUAUAAAUGUAUAAUCCUUUUUUGUGUGGAUUGGGUGAGGAAAUUAAGAGAGAUGUGAUAUCAUAAGAAAUAUAGAUAUUAAAAAAUAUAAGAUGAAAGAGUAUGAGUUCUAAGUAGGAUGUAUGUUUAUAAUAAUAAAAUCCAUAACAUCCAAGCUUGAGUGAAACAUAAGACUUGGACUUGGUGUAUAUUUAAUUUAAAUUAAAGUUGACGAUUUUAAUAUUAUAGUAGUUUUAUUGUAUAAGUUCAAGAAGGACUUUGGUCUUGCUUUUUUUGGAAAUUUGAUUUCGAAUAUAAGUGUGUAAACAUACUCUUAAAGAUAACUAAAUAUAUCAUAUGAAAUAAAAAUGAGUUUAUGCUCCAAACCGAGUUUGAAACACCAAAAUAAAAUCCAAACAUGUUGAUAUCGAUGUUCUUAAUAGUCUAAUGCAAAAGAAGCAAAUCCAAGACACAAAAUGAUAACUAAAAGCAUUCCCCAAAGCCCACCAUGGCAAAAGUUGCCAUUAGUAUAAUGUUGGAGCAUGUUGUGCUGAUUAGAAAUCGAAAGCUCCACCUUUGGUUUCUUUGAUGACAAUAUAUAAGAGUACCGUUGAGGUAGGUGACGUUGUAGUAGAAAUUCAUGUCGGGGACAACACAUCGUGGUAGCACCUACUGAUGGGGUGACAACACAGCUUUAGCAGGACAAUUAAAGAAUAGUCGAUGAAGAACAAUUAAAUAAAAAACAAAAAAGAAUCACCAAUUCGAAACAAAUAGUAUAGCACUGCACUACUAACUGACCCCAUCAACUGCAAGUGGCAAAUUACUCCAAGCCCAAAACGCAGCGAGCAAAACAAAACCGCCAGUCCCCUGCUAGCUAUAUAUAUAUGCAGUUUACAAAAAGAGACACCACAAAUCAUCAACAAAUGGAUGAAUAGUAUAAUAGUAUAUUUAUGAAUCACGAUUAAAAUAUAUUUCUAUUAAUUAAUUAAUUUUAAAACUCUCACAAAUAAAGAAAGAUAUGUUAUUUUAAUUAUAUUUAUAUCAAGAUUAUUAAACUCAAGUGAUAAAAUUUCAUAAGAGUAUAUUUUAUAUAAAAAUAAUAUAUAUAUAUAUAUAUAAUAUUCUAAUUAAAUAUUUCAAUAAUAUAAUAAAACAAAAUACUAAAUUAUAAAUUUAAAAAUACUAAAAUAAUUAAAUCUAAUAAUAUAUUAUUAUAGGAUGAUAACUUACUGAUAUUAUAGUAAUGAUAGAUCAUUCUUAUCUUAAAUUUAAUAUAUGUUAAACUAUAAUAAACAUAAAAUAAUCUAAAUGAUUAAUUGUUGUUAUUAUGAAUCAUUUUCAAUGAAAAAUAUGAAUGAUAUCUUUUAUCUUCUUAGCUUUAAUGGUAGUUUUAUGUAGUUCUAGAAUAACCUAACUUUUAACCCUCUUACAAUUGAAAAAUAGUAAUAUAUAGAGGAAAUGAGGCUUAACUUGCGAACAAUAUAUAUUUAAAUACAAUAAAGUAUAAUCAGCAUUUGUGGUAUAAAUCUAGUCGGAAUCAUGUUUGUUUUCUUCAUGCAGGGGCAUAUCAUCAUGGUUAUCAAACUCUCAAGUUAACUCGCUAACUCUUACGAGUUUACGAGUCCACUUGUUCUCUGCGAGUUGACUCUUGAGUAAACUCUUUUCUUAGUAGACUCAGUAAACUCUAUAAACUCUAAGUAAACUCGGUAGACUCUCGAGUUUACCACCGAGUCAACGAGUUAGCAAGUUAAAAAAAUUAGACAAAAAUGUAAGUCAUUUUUUAUUGUUUUCUGUCUGUUUAGCAUUCAACAUACCUUUUAACAUGUUAUUCUCAAAUACAAAAUUCUCACCUUUAAUAAUAUCAAACUCUUGUUCUCUAAUAAAAUCAAAUACUCGAUGAGAAUAAUCUACCACUACUAUAACCUCUACAAGUUAUUGUUUAGUGGUGAUGUAUUAUUAUUAGACUUGGUUAUUUAAAUAUUCUGAACUUUAUGAUUUACUGUUUUACUUUAUUAUAUUGUUAAAAUGUUUAAUUAGUAUGUUAUUUAUAGAUAUUUUGUUAUUAUUUUUAUAUGAAAUAGACUCUUACGAGUCUACGAGUUGAAUCUACGAGUCGAGUCUAUAAAACUCUCACGAGUUGCGUAAACUGUCGAGUUUGAUAACCUUGCAUACCAUUAGGCCUUCUAAUAAAAUGGUAAAUAUUAUUUUAUCCGUAUAUAAUACAUUCGUUGUUGGAGGAAGACAUAUUUUUACCAUAAUUUCUUAAAAAAAUGAAUGACUCAAUAAAGUGUUUCCUCCCAAGUCGUAGUAAGAAUAUAAUCAAGCUAUAGAUGCGCUACGAAAUGUUUUGUAAAAUGAAAUAUAUAAAUAGGAAGAACUUGUAAAAAAAAAAAAUAGAGAUAAACAAUGAAGAAAAUAACCAUUAGUAAAAAUUCGUGAAAUGAGAAUAUCUGAGUAUAAAAUUACAACUAAUCUGAACGAAUCUGCUAAACAACCUAAUCUUCUAUCAUUUUCAUUUGAUGUUUAAAUUAUUGACUGCUUAAACAAAACUCAUAAAAGAUAAAAUCUGCAACAAUAAUAGAACUCUAUCUAAAACUUAUUCAAAAUUCAAAUAAGGCAGGUCUCAUAUCUUUAGCUAGACAAGAAGAUAUACUAUGAGGGCACUACUGACCCCGACCCUAUCACGUGCAUGCAUAUGAACUAUUAUCUACAAGUUGUCCCCACUGCCCAAGAACGAGAGCAAGUGCCAAAUGGCUCCAGCCCCAAACCACAGCGAGCAACACAAAACCAGUCCCCCAUGCCACUAGCUGUAUAUAUGCAGAUUACAAAAAGAGACGUGCACCACAUACAGAACAAAUUGAUGAAAAGUAUAAUAUAGUAUAUUUAUGAAUCACGAUUAAAAUAAAUUUCUAACAAUUACUUGAUUUUAAAAGCUUUUAUAGUUUUAAUUUCCAAAGGCUAUUAGUUUUAUUAAUAGUUUUUUUAUACUUGUAUUAUAUUACAAAUAUAAUAAUGAAUAAAUUAAGGUUAAUAUAUAUACCUCCUGAAUAUAUUUUGUAAAAAUACACAAACUUUCUCUAUUUUUUUUUAUAAAAAAAUCAAGGUUGCCAAGCCAUUCUUCAAAGCAAGGGUGAUCCAAUAGUAGGUGAGAACUAAAAUAAAUUUUAUUUUAUUUAUUUUAAAUGAAAAUUAAUAUGUCAUAUUUUUUAAAUAAAUAUGGUCCUUUUUAUUUUAUAAUAGCUAAUAAUUUUUUUUAUAAGACUAAAAUUUAAAUUUUAGUUAUUUUAUUGUUGUUUUCACUGUCAUAUUUUAGUUAUUUUAUUCUGUGAUUCUUGAGUAAAUUUUUUUCCACAUAGACCGAGUAAAUUCUAUACACUCUAAGUAAACUCGAUAGACUCUUGACCAACUUAGCAACAGUAAGCCUAAAGAAAUUUGCCCGAAAAUUAAGAACACGUAAAUUUGCCCGAAAGACCCGCAUCAAAAAGUUUGCCCGAUGAUGAAGUACGUGUAUCAAAAAAUUUGCCAAAACUAAGGUCCCUUUACUUCAUUCCCCCACCUGCAUAACUCUGCAAGCCACGGUGGGCGUUUGGAUGUGCUUUUAGUUACCACUUUCUCUCUUGGAUUUGCUUACGUAUUGCUCCUUUUGUAUUAGUGGCUCCUGUCCCACCUUGCUUUUGGACUUGUGAGCUUUUUAUAUUUCUGAUUGUUCAAUGUCUAUUGUGUGUGCUCUCCAACCUGUGGUGACUUUUCGGUUUAUUCAUGUGGCUGUUCCUUAUAGGCCUUUCGACCUCCAGUAUUAAAUAAAAGAUCAUCUUGUAGCUUUUUAAUUUUAAUUAUUUUUUAUUUAUAUCUCUUCUAAUAUUAAUAAUAAAUAAAUGAUUAUAUACAAUUAAUCUUUUAGGAUGAUUAUUAUUUUAAAAUAGAAAAAAUAAUAUAUAUUUAUAUAUUGUUAUGAGAGGUCUUUAGUUAUAUGCAUAAUGCACCCUUGGCAACUUGGGAGUUGGGAUUUCAGUAAUUAUUAUUGUGGUGGGUAAAGCUAUAAACUCGGUUUUGUGUAAGUUCCUUUACUUUCUUGAGGAGUCUAAGGUGGGAAAGAGAAACACCUCUUCCAAUGUAAGAAAGUUUUUUAAAACUGGUAUAUUAGUUUAGUUUCAAUCUAAUGCCUCAAUUUUUUUUUUCUUUUCUCCUUGUAUUUUUUAUUCCUUUUCUUCUUAUCUUUGCUUGUUUGCCCCUUCAAUUCUCUUCUUUCUCUCCCAUCUUCUUUCUCUCUCCUUCUAUCCGCCACCAUAGUGCACCGUCACUUGUAGUUGCUUUGGUGGUACUCUACCACAGAAGAAGCAAGUGGAGCCUUGUUUCCAUUACUUUACGGAAAUUCACUUAAUCACAUUCAAUUGGUUCAUUGAGGGAUGUUUUUUCUUUCGUGUUUCUGUGUGAGUCAUUUGAGCGGUGCUGCGAAAGAAGAAAAAACUCCGGCGGGUGCCCACUGGUUGUCUGCGGUGGAGAGAAGGAGUGUUGUGCGGAAGAAAAGAAGAGGGGCAAACAAGGAAAGACUGGAAGAAAGGAAUAAAAGAAAAAAUACGAAAACUAAACCAAGUGUCAAGGGAAACGAAAAGCAUAAUAGCAGGAGUCAAGUUCAAAAAUUAUACAAAGUUUCACAAAGAAGAUCCAUAUAUGUUUCAAAUGCUAGAUUCCUUCGAAUAGAUGGCUAUGGGUGAUAAAUUAUAUAUGAAUUGGAAAAUACAAAAAAUAUGUUGCAACUUGCAAGGGAUGCAUCAGUAACAAUUGUUUAUAAGUAGUACUGCCAUCAGUAUCAACUUUAUCAGCAAAAAAUAAGUUGCAACUUGCAAGGGAUGCACCACCCACUUACAGCUUAAUUAAUUGUCACCGAUAAAAAAAUGUUUGAUACACAUCCAAAAUCCUAUUUAACAUUUAGAUUGAGAAAAAAAUGAAAAAUAUAUAAAAUGAUAAAAUUUAUGAUAUAAUAAAAAAAUAAAAAAGUGUGGAUGCAAUAUUUAAAAUAAAAAAUAAUUUAUAAAUUAUUACUCAUGGAAAACGAGAACUCAAACCGAUACAUAGCCAUUAAUAUAAGCCUAAAAGGAAACAUCCAAUUACAAGUUGAAUGUUAAUAUAUGCACAGCCACUUACUGCAUACAAGAAGAUACAAUAGUAACAAGGACGAUUCCAACUUCUCUACUCGCGUAAUAGCUUUGUAGCUUCCCAUGCAUGUGACCCACUAGUUCUAAUCCUAACUGAUACAAUUACACGUAGGAAUAUUCACGAGUUGGUAUGAAUCAAAUCAAAUUUAAGGUAAAAUUAAAUUUACAUUAGUUAUAUUUGAUUAGAUUGAUUUGAUUUAAAUUUUGAUUUUUUUAUCAUUCAAAUUAAUUAAAAAGGGAUUAGUUUAGUUGAGUCAAUCAACUAUAACAAAAAAUUAAAUUGUAAUAUUUUUAAAUAUUUUUUAUGUUUAUUGUCUAUUUGAUAUAAAUAGGAAGAACUUGAAAAAGAAAAGAUAAACAACGAAGAAAAUAGCCAUUAAAAUUCAUAAAAUGAGAAUAUCUAAGUAUAAGAUUACAACGAAUCUGGAUGAAUCUGCUAACAACCUAAUCUUCUAUCAUUUUCAUUUGAUAUUUAAAAUAAUUAACUGCUAAAACAAAACUCAUAAAAGAUAAAAUCUGCAACAAUAAUUGAACUCUAUCUAAAACUUAUUCUAAAUUCAAAAUUCAAGUAAGGCAAGUCUCAUAUCUUUAGAGGGAGAAAAGAAAAUACUAUCACGCCAAUACUGACCCCGACCCUAUCACGUGCAUGAACUUUUAUCGACAAGUUGUCCCCACUCCCAAAGAACAAUUGCAAGUGCCAAAUGACUCCAAACCCAAAACCGCAGCCAGCAACACAACCAGUCCCCGGCCCAUGCCACUAGCUGUAUAUGCAGAUUACAAAAAGAGACACCACAGAACAAAUGGAUGAAAAGUAUAAUAGUAUAUUUAUGAAUCACGAUUAAAACAAAUUUCUAACAAUUAAUUGAUUUUAAAAGCUUUCAUAGUUUUAAUUUCCAAAUGCUAUUAGUUUUAUUAAUAGUUUAUUUAUACUUGUAUUAUAUUACAAAUAUAAUAAUGAAUAAAUUACGGUUAAUAUACCUCCUGAAUAUAUUUUGUAAAAAUAGACAAACUUUCUCUAUUUUUUUUUUAUAAAAAAAUCAAGGUUGCCAAGCCAUUCUUCAAAGCAAGGGUGAUCCAAUAGUAGGUGAGAACUAAAGUAAAUUUUUUUUUUUUUUUAAAUGAAAAAUAAUAUGUCGUAUUUUUUAAAUAAAUAUGGUCUUUUUAUUUCAUAAUAGCUAAUAAAAAAUUUAUAGAACUAAAAUUUAAAUUUUACUUGUUUUAUUGUUGUUUUCACUCUCAUUCAAAGGAGUAAAAGAAUGAACUUGUCCCCAAUAACCCCCCAUACAGCGUAGUAAAUUUUCUACAUCAAAAUCAUCUAUGUAAAAUUCCAGCAACAGCUGGAAAAGACUCCGAUUACUUUAGUUCCAGUACACCAAAGCACUCUCCAUUCGUGAAGUGAAACUAGAUGGUGUUUGCUGAAAGUGAUCCUGUGGAGAUUUUGGCAGAUCGGAGAGGGUAUUCAGACAAACUAUAGAAGCCACCGAUGAAUCAGUGAGUAGAAUAUGCUUCUUGUUUGAAGAUAAUUAACUAUCCUAUGACACUCAAGGACUUGAGAGUCUAAAUUUUAAGAAUGAAAUUUUUUAUUUACUCAUAAAAUUUAAUGUUAUUUAUCAUUUAAAAAUAUUUAUUAUUUAAGAAGGAGACAUUUUAUUUAUUCAUAUAAUUUUAUAAUAAGUUUUUUAAGAUAUAUUAGUACUAAAAAAAAUUAAGAUUAUUUUUUUGAAACCUUAAAGUCCUAACUUGGGGCUGCUUGGACUUAAGCCCGGCCUUAUUAUCCCUAGUGGCAACUUGUUAAUGUCCUUAUUAUCCCUAAGGGGUAACUUGUUAAUGAUGAAUUGAAGACCCUUCAAACCUGUGUGCUACCUUAAGUAGGAGUGGAAUAUCAAUUGUUUCCACACUAGGGACAAAACUUCAUCAAACUCAUGAACUUACUCAGUCCCUUCCAGCGUGGAAUAUCAAUUGUUUCCACACUAGGGACAAAACUUCAUCAAACUCAUGAACUUACUCAGUCCCUUCCAGUUUGGAAUUCGCAACAACGACCCUCAGUCAUCUUCCUCUAUAUAUUACUCCUCAGCUCUUAUAUUUAGACGCACACAAUUAUACAGCUCUAGAGAAUCAAGAAAAUUAUUAUACCCAUUAAGAUGAAACCGUACCUACGUGCAAUAUUCCUAUUAUUCCUUAUCCUUCCUUCGGCGAGAUGGGGCGAGGCUAAAAUUGAUAGGAAGACGAUAACAAUGUUUUGGGGCAAGGUUAAAGAUGCGACGAUAAAAAAUUUCCCGAGUCGUGAUGAGCGGAAGAAACUGAGGGAGUAUUACGAGAAAUUCAGGGAAUUCAUGGAUCGUGUAGAACAAAAGACGACCCCUCCCCCACCGCCAAUGUACCGUUUACAACCAAAGUCCCCUCCCCCACCGCCAAACGCACCACCGAAGCAAAUCAAUAUUAAAGGCCUGUCCGUCGUCAAAGAUUACUUAUCUGACUACGGCUACAUUGAAUCCUCUGGGCCAUUUAACGAUUCUUUCGAUCAGGAAAUAAUAUCAGCCAUUAAGACCUACCAGAAUUUUUCCAAUCUUAAUGUUACCGGCGACCUGAACAAACAGCUUAUUCAGCAAAUCUUGUCCAUACGAUGCGGUGUCCCCGACGUUAACUUCGACUACAACUUCACCGACGACAACACUUCCUAUCCCAAAGCCGGACACCGCUGGUUCCCAAACAGAAACCUCACAUACGGUUUUCUUCCCGAAAACCAAAUCCCAGACAACAUGACUAAGGUGUUCAGAGAUUCCUUUGCGAGGUGGGCCCAAGCUUCGGGGACUUUGAGUCUCACGGAGACAACCUACGACAACGCCGACAUCCAGGUAGGGUUCUACAACUUCACUGCCUUGAGAAUUGAAGUGGAGGUGUAUGGUGGCAGCCUUAUAUUUUUGCAACCGGAUUCUAGUAAGAAAGGGGUGGUACUUAUGGACGGUAACAUGGGCUGGUUACUUCCAAGUGAAAACGCCACACUGUCUAAAGAUGAUGGAGUUUUGGACUUGGAGACUGUGGCGAUGCACCAGAUAGGGCAUCUACUUGGACUUGAUCACUCUCACAAAGAGGACUCUGUUAUGUAUCCUUACAUAUUGUCCUCACAGCAACGAAAGGUGCAGCUUUCCAAUUCUGACAAGGCCAACAUUCACCUUCAGUUUGCUAAGCAUGACUCGGAUUUGACUUCUCUGCCAAACUCGCAUGACUCUGCAAGCCACGGUGGGCGUUUGGAUGUGCUUUUAGUUACCACUUUCUCUCUUGGAUUUGCUUACUUACUGCUCCUUUUGUAUUAGUGGCUCCUGUCCCACCUUGCUUUUGGACUUAUGAGCUUUUUAUAUUUCUGAUUGUUCAAUGUUUAUUGUAUGUGGCUGUUUCUUAUAGGCCUUUCAACCACCAGUAUUAAAUAAAAGAUCAUUUUGAGCUUUUUAAUUUUAA
RNAcentral lists this long non-coding RNA (96298 nucleotides) under Glycine max (soybean). RNAcentral describes it as "long non-coding RNA (GMAX_LNC000266)". The record is from RNAcentral. Lineage: Eukaryota; Viridiplantae; Streptophyta; Magnoliopsida; Fabales; Fabaceae.